GAUUUUAGGACAAGAAUUUGGAGCUUUGGAAGCGUUUCUAGAAAGUAGGGAAAUGUAUCCUCAAUCUUAUUGUUGCCAAGAUCAAUAACUUGCAACAUUGUGCAGUUGAUGAUAGACGGUGGUAUUUUCCCUUCUAAUUCAUUUCCAUUGAGGUUGAGAUAUUCCAAGCUAUUAUCCUUUGAAAAUGUUGAAGGGAUAGUGCCUUGAAGAUUGUUCAUGCCUAGAUGCAAUAAGAGCAUGCUGCUGAAGUUCCCAUAAUGUGUAGAACCACUCAAGCUGUUGUUGGACAAGUCCAAGACCUGAAGGUAUCUCAGCUUGCAAAUAGAAGAAGAAAUCUCACCUGUCAAAUUACUAUUGGAUGCAAGAAUAAGGGUUGUCAAGUUCUCUUGUUUGAAAAUUGAACUUGGGAUUGGACCACGCAAGUGGUUAUUGCUCAAAUCAAGGAAUCUCAAAGAAUCAUGUUGGAGUUCACUUAUAUUACCUAUGAAAUUAUUGUUAUGAAGGUCAAGAUAUUGUAAAGAAGGAAGAGCAAACAAAAGGGAUGGUAUUGUUCCAUUGAACAAGUUAUUGGAUAAAAAUAGAUAUUGUAGAUUUGAAAGGGUAUUUAAUUGAGAAUGGAUUGGGCCUACUAGUUGAUUAUUUGAUAAAAUUAAAUAUGAAAGAUUGACUAGGUUACCGAAAGAAUCUGGAACUUGACCCAUAAAUUUAUUGAAAGAGAGAUACAAGUAUUGAAGAUGUACAAGGUUUCCUAGUGAUGAUGGGAUCUGACCGCUAAAAUUAUUACCUGAGAGGUCUAAAGAGAUGAGUUGUGUGAGAUUACCAAGUGAUGAUGGGAUCUGACCCCUAAAAUUAUUAUAUGAGAGGUCUAAAGAGGUGAGUUGUGUGAGAUUACCAAGUGAUGAUGGGAUCUGACCCCUAAAAUUAUUACCUAAGAGGUCUAAAGAGGUGAGUUGUGUGAGAUUACCAAGUGAUGAUAGGAUCUGACCGUUAACAUUAUUAUGUGAGAGGUCUAAAGAGGUGAGUUGUGUAAGAUUACCAAUUGAUGAUGGUUCUAGACUCAGAAUGUCAUUCCAAGAGAGAUCAAGUGAAACCAAUUUGGAGAGGUGAGUUAUUUCUGACGGAACUUGACCUGCAAAGACUGAGAAAUUUAGGUUAAGAAGUGUCAGGUUGGAAAAGUGGCCAAAUCGAGAAGAAAUAUGGGAGGUGUUGAAAUAAUUGGCAGAGAGGUCGAGCUUUUGAAGAUGAUGGAGGGAGAAGAGGGUGCUAUUGGAAUGGAGGGUGCCAUUAAGCAUGCUGCAAGAGAGGUCCAGUCCAGUAACAUGCCCGGUUUUCAUGUCACAGGAGACCCCAUCCCACAAGCAGCAGUCUGUACCCUCUUUCCACGACUCUGUCUUGGGAUGCUGGCAAUCCUCCAAAGAAGCAGAGCUACUAAUGGAAAAGGACUCUUUGAAUUGGAGCAAAGAAAGGCUUUGGUGAGGAGCACAGAAAUGAGAAGAAGAAAUAGUUGAAUGGAAAUGGAAGAGAAACAGAAUGAAAGAGAGAGAUGAAAUAGGUGGAAACCCCAUGUUUGGCUGGCCUUACAGGAUUCAAAGUAUAUUUGGGAGAGAUGAGGAAUGAAGAAAGACAUUAUUAGUAGUAUUUAUAGACAAACUAAUCUUAGAUUGUAUACUGACUGACAUAGGAUGUGAGUGAGUGUUGGAAACGCGGCAAAGUAUAUUAAAACAAGAUUCCUUGUUGACUUCAAAUUGCGCAAACUGAAUUGUUGUUUCUUGGCAAAGUAAUAAUUACGCAAAGCAAUGACUUUGUGUGCGCUCGGUAAUUGAAUGUUCAGAGAUGUUUUUCCAAAUUGUAUUUAGCAAUGAGAUUUAUGAGGAGAUUGCUUUGCCCACUAAAAUGUAAUUUCCAAGAAAUUCAAAGCCACAAAAGCGGAAGAAAACUUCUUAAUAAGCCACAAGUGGGCUUACAGAGUUAAAGAGUCAUCCUCACCUAUUAUGUCCACGUUCUGGCAAUAGCUUGUUUGAAUAAAAUUUGCUUCCUCUCAUGUAAUUAAUUUAAUUUAAUUAAAAAAAUAUAUUUUUAAAAGUAAGAUUCAAUGAAGAUCGAAAUAAAAAAGUGUGAGUGUGUUAGAAACGCGGCAAAGUAUAUUAAAACAAGAUUCGUUGUUGACUUCAAAUUGCGCAAACUGAAUUGUUGUUUCUUGGCAAAGUAAUAAUUACGCAAAGCCAUGACUUUGUGGGCGCUCGGUAAUUUCCAAGAAAUUCAAAGCCACAAAAUCGGAAGAAAACUUCUUAAUAAACCACAAGUGGGCUUGCAGAGUUAAAGAGUCAUCCUCACCUAUUAUGUCCAUUUUAAAAAAAAAAAUCACAAAUUUUUUUUUGUCAAAAUUAAUAUUGAGUUAAUCUUUGUCACUUUCAAAAAAAAUUUCACAAAAAACAAAUACAAAAAAAUAAUAAAAUAUUAAUGAAUAAAAUUAAAAAAAUAAACUUUAAAAAAAUUAAUAUUGAUUUCCUAACUAUGCUUUAUUUAGUAAUAUGUUGUUUUUAAAAAUAAUUUUCUUACUUAUCAUUCUUUCAAUUUAUAUAUUUGUUUUAAUUUAAGCAUAGUUAAUUUUAAUAUUAAUAUACAUGCUAGGUUUUUUAAUUUUAUAUCAAUUGCAAAUUUAAAUAUAUAUUUAAUAUGCAUGUUAUUCUAUUAAUUUUUAUUUUUUAUGUUGAAACUACUAAUGGAAAAUUCGAAGGAGAGAAAGACUUUGGUAUUUUAAUAUCUAAUAGUAUUUUAGUUUUAAAUCCUUGAUUGGAUCUAAUCUGAUAUGACUUAUUAUAUUCGAUAAAAACCCAAAUCUAUCUUAGCUUUAUAAAAAAUAUGCACUUAUUUUAUUUUACCACUUCACUAGGUGUACCAAAAAUCCAAUACACUGUAUCACACUGAAACCAAUAUAUAUCCAUCAAGACCGUCCGAUCAAUUUUUAGAUCGAGCCAAGCCAACCGUAGUUGGAUGAUCAAUCCAGAAGUAAUCCAGAGGGUUACAAGCUUCAGGGGCACCAACUCACCAUACUAACAUCCGCACUAUAGCAAAUCUCAAAUCUCAAAUAUUCUCUCUCUCGUAAGAGUAAAACCCAUGGAAAUAUGUAAGGUUCUAUCAAAUUGACUUCAAAUGGCGCAAACUAUAUUGUUUAUUGGCAAAGUAAUAAUUACGCAAAAUAUUAGCUGUUUUUAAUUAAAAAUGUAUUAAUGUGAUGAUUUUUAAAAUUUAUGAAUAUGUGAGUGCGCGCCUGGUUAUGUAAAGCGAUGUUUUUUAAUUAAAAAUAUACUAAUGUGAUGAUUUUUAAAAUUUAUUUUUAAUUCUUAAUAUUAAUUUAUUAAAAUCAUAAAAAAUAUUAAAAAAAUAAUAUUAAUUUUCUAAAUAGAUUAAAUCGUGUUUUAGAGGUUGCUAAUAUUUCUUAAAUUAAUUAAUCCUUUUAGUUUUAAAAUAACUAAAUAGUUAUUUGACAAAUCUUGAUUAGUAAUAUUUUGUUUUUUUUUUAAAUACUUUUCUUGCUUAUCAUUCCUUGAAUUGAUAUACUUUGAUUUUUCCUUUUCUAUUCUAAAUAAUAAAUAAUUUAAACUAUGGGAUUAUGUAUACAUAAUUGAAAAAAUAAAUGAUAAACAAAGUCAUCUUCACCUUCUUAUGUCCAAUCCGCAGCUGCACAACAAGAUUAAGUAACCAAUAAAUUCAUUCAGCUAAUAUUUUCACACCAGGAGAAGUCCUUUAAUUCACUAACACAAGUGCUAAUAAAUAAGGUAGUUAAUUGUGAAAUUUUUAUAGUAAGAUAAAAAAUAAAAUAAAAUCGUGACAGCUUAAUUUGAAUGUUCAGAGAUGUUUUUCCAAUUUGUAUUUAGCAAUAAGAUUUAUGCGAAGAUUGCUAUGCUCACUAAAAUAUAAUUUCCAAGAAAUUCAAGCCACCAAAUCGGACGAAAACUUGCUAUGUACUGAUAGAUUAUUAUUGCUAUCAUUAACAAGAACAGGGGACUGUUUACUUAAAGAGUUAAACAAUUUAUAUGUUUCUCAGAAAAUAGCAAUGAACAUGUGCUAAUUAAUAGAUGCAGUUUGUGCUCUUCCUUUGCAGCUCGUCUUAUGGGAACUGUACGUUGCUGGGGACUUCUACCACUCGUCCUCGUCUUCUACAAGACUCCAUGCCAACAAAAGACAAUAAUGACUAAACAGAGGUGUUGAAAACACGGCAAUAUUAAUUAAUUUCCAAAAUUAACAUUUUUAUUGAGAUCAAGUCUAUGCGAGUGAUGUGCAGCAAGUCUAUGAAAAUCUGCUAAAAGAACAGCCAUUCAUAUGGAUUUUAGACCCGCUCAAGAUUCUUUAAGCAGGAAGGAAUGUUUCUUUUCAAAUAGUUAAUAGAAUUUUUAUAGUGGUGGUUUUAGCAUUGCGGGGGUUGUGGUGAUGCAUAUAUCCCUCAAUAGUACAUCUUAAUAUUAAUAAAAAAUUUAAACUUUCUUUUCACAUACCUUUUGUUCCAAAUUGGGUUAAAGAAAUAUUCAAUUAUGCAUAUUAAUUACCUUGCAAAACUGACAUUUUUGUUGAGAGUAGAUAAAAUCCCCUACAUGCAAGUCUAUGUGCUUAUAGGUACACUCUGUGCUCUUCCUUCGCAGCUCGUCUGAUUGGAAUUGUACGUUCUUCGGGACUUCUACCCUUCUAUGAAAUCUGGUCUGUACAGGUUAAUAAUUAAGGAUUUCCAUAGAGCAGAGCUCGGAGAAGAAAGUCUCCAUAUCCAUUUAAAUAACAGAGCCCUGUUUUUUGACAUUUAGGGAGCCUAUGCCAAGACCUCCUUGCUUCUUAUCACGCAUUUCCACACCAUAAGAAACGUCUGAUGAGUGCGUUUGUUACACUUUUUAAUAGUUAUUUAUGACUUACAAGUCAUCAGAAUUACUUUAUUUUGCUUGCAAAUAUUGCUGCUGUUGUGAGAAUCAGUCGAGUGUUAUUCUUUUAAUUCAUAAGAAUUGUUUUAAUUUGCUUGCACACUCGUAGAUUUGUACAGCAAUCUGUUCAUAACUCUAUAAAUCUUAAAAUACUCCCAGAAAAGGAGAUUGAUUUAAGUGAUCAAGAAUAAAAAAAAUGGACAAAUAAAAAAAGAACCCAAAACAUAAAUGAUUUUAUAAUUUCCAACAAGGGAGAAUCAAUCUUCUUUCAGAUCAAGGAAGUCAAACCCAUGAAACUCUUGGGCGAUGCCAAAUCCAAUUUCUUUUUUACGAUCGUAGUUUACUCACAGCUGAAGCAAGGGGGCAUGCAGAGUUAAAGAGUCAUCCUCACCUUCUUAUGUCCAUUUCAAUCCAGUCUCCAGUCAACACGUUCUGGCAAUAGCUUUAUAUUGAACAGUUGCUAGAAAAGAACAGACAAACAAUGGAGAAUUAAUGGAGUUUGAAGUUUCUUGCACUCAGUUAGAUGCUGUGGGAUUGGUCGUCCUAAAAGGUCUUUCUCUUUCAGCAUCAACAAGGGAGAACCACUCUUCAUUUGUUCUGUCCUUUACCUCCAAGGCAGAGUAAUAAUUACGCCAAGCAAUGGAGCACUAAUGACUUUGCACACAUAUAUAUUGUUUUUCACGACCCAAAAAGUCUUUUUUAAUUACCCAAAAGUUCCUAUCAACUUUUCCUGUCUACUUGGUUGGUCAUGUGAAUGAUGAGUGUAUUUUUUUAAAAUAUUUUUUUAUUAUAAAUAUAUUAAAAUAAUAUUAUUUUUUUUACAUUAACACAUCAUAAUUAUAAAAAAUCAUUUUAAAAAAUUAACUUAAUACUUUUUUAGAUUAAAAAAACAAGAUUAAGUAACCGAUAAAUUCGUUCAGUGAAUAUAUUGCAAUGAAAUUACUACUGGAUUUUUCCCUUCAUUACUUGAAAAAAAUUGAAGAUUAUAUCAAUUAUUUUUGACACACAGUGGAUAAAAGGAUGACAUUGAAAAAGUGAAGUGAAUCACAUUGCCAAUAAGGUAAUAGGACGCAAGUAUUUUCUAGUUUUCUCCGCAAAAAAAAAAGUUAAAAUUUGUACUUGUAAACCAAAAUAACAACCACAACAAUAAUAAUAUUAAUAAAAAACUUGCUUUAGGGGCUAAGUGGAUAAAAUAAAAAGAUCGUUGCUGUCUCUUUUGGGAUGCUAAGGAAUCGUGUUGGGGUGCUUGAAAGUGGAAACGAUGAACGAAAGUUCUGCUCGAAACCAAACUUGAAUAAAUAUGUUUAUAGCUUUGAAUGUUUAGACAUACUCCUUCAUGGUAUCUCUACUCUUUCAGAAUAACUUGUUUAGAAAUAAUAGCUUGACAAGCAUAUUUUUUUAUUAGAAAUUGAUUUUUUUAAUGUUUUCAAAUUAUUUUAAUGUGUUGAUAUAAAAAAAAAAUCUUAAAAAUAAAAAUUAUUAUUUUCAAUAUAUUUUCAAAAAUAAAAUACUUUACAAUACAAUCACCAUUAAACAGCCUCUAAAACUAACAUCAAGAGAGAGCAUGGUUAGCUAUUGAGACGAAUCCAAGCCCACUGCGGCUUAACACAGACAACACAUCUAAUAUAAACUAUUAAAAAAACUAAAAUAAACAACAACAACAAUGAUUUGUGUAAACAACAUGUAAAAUAAUAGCUUAGUAGAACUUAUUUAGCUAUGCUUUUAAAGGGCAUUGAGCUUCGAAAUGAGCUAAACUCAAUAUUAUCUGGAAUUGAUAUUUUGUCAAGCCUAGAAUAAUUUGGAUAUGAAGAUAAACUUCACUCAUACUUAAACAUUAAAUUAUCACCCUACUUUUAAACCUUUUAAAAAAUAUAUACUUAGGCUCAAAAUUAUUUUUUCAAAAUAUGAUGUGCAGCACGUCUAUGUGUUUAUAGAUAUAGUCUGUGCUCCUUCUUCGCAGCUCGUCUGAUUGAAACUGUAUGUUUUUGGGGACUUUCAUCCUUCUAUGCCUUGUUGGUUUAUAAUCUUAAUACUAAUAAGAAUUUCUAAUUAUGCUCUAGGGAUUGGAAUUUUAUUCAUAAUUCAUUUUUAAUUCUAUUCAGAAUCAAGGCAUUAAUUAAUUUGUAAUUUUUUAAAAAGUUUAGGGACUAAACUAUAUUUAAGGAAGCUCAAGGAAACUGACUUCUUUAAUUUUUCUCACUGCUGGGAGAAGCACUAAGGAAGCUUUAUGCAUGGGAGGGUGAAACAUCCUUAGCUGAGUGCUGACCGACCACAUUUUAAACAUAAGACCAUAGGUCAUUUGGUGUUUUUUAUGUAGAAAUUGAUUUUUAAAAUAUUUUUUAUUUAAAAAUAUAUUAAAUAAUAUAUAUUUUAAUUUUAAUUUUUUUUUUAACACCAACACUUUAAAACAAUUUAAAAAUAUCAAAAAAAUUAAUUUGAAACAAAAAAUAUUUUAAAAACAUAAUUGUACUGCAAUAUCAAAUACACUAAUAAAUAAGAGUAAGCGUUGAAAAUUAACCAUCUAGGUGGUGGCCCAGCGGUAAAAGCUUGGGACCAAGAGGUUUGCUCCCUCUGUGGUCUCAGGUUCAAUCCCUAGGUUGCUCAUAUGAUGGCCACUGGAGGCUUACAUGGUCGUUAACUUCAGGGCCCGUGGGAUUAGUCGAGGUGCGCGCAAGCUGGCCCGGACACCCACGUUAAUAAAAAAAAAAAAAAAAAAAAAAAAGAAAAAAGAGUGAGCGUUGAAAAUACGGCAAUAUUAAUUUGUGGAAAUCAUUGAUAUACUGAUAAAAUGAGUGAGAAUAAUACCUCUUUUAGGAUUUAAAAAAAAAAACAAAAAAGCAAAAAAAAAAAAAACUGCAAUAUGUAUUCCCAUCACUAUUUACAUAAAGUAAGGCUCCAUGACCCGAAAGUCUUCAUUGACGAGACUAUAUGUACAGGAACGACAGUAUUUGAUUUCCUAAUUACUGUUUACGGGUUGCUGAUUUUUCUUAAAUUAAUUCAUUCUUGUGGUCUUAAAAAUAAUUAAAUAGUUUUUGACAAAUCUUGAUCAUGUUUAAUUUAGUAAUAUUUUGUUUUUAAAUACUUCUCUUUCUAUCAAUCUUUCAAUUUAUAUAAUUUGAUUUUUUCUUUUUUCUAUUUUCAAUAAAAAAUAGAUAAAAUUAUAGUAUGAAAUAUAUAAAAAUUAUAAGUUAUAAAUCCAAUUAAAAAUAUAGAGAUUAAAUGUUUAGUUUAUAAAACCAUUAAGACUAAGUUAUCAUUAACCCAAAAUAAAAAGAAAUUCUAUUCAUGUCUAAUCUUACAUCAAAAUAUUGUAAGUUUUGUUAAUACUCUAUGUUAUCCUUUAUCUUUAAUAUAACAUGGAGUAUUCUAUUUUGAUAAUUCGAAUUUAUUGAAAUAAUAUUACUUUGAGAAUGUAAUUUCCAAGAAAACAUCGGAAGAAAACUUGUUAAUAAUUUACGAUCGUAGUUUACUCACAGCUGAAGCAGGGGGCAUGCAGAGUUAAAGAGUCAUCCUCACCUUCUUAUGUCCACUUCAAUCCAGUCUCCAGUCAACAGUUGCUAGAAAAGAACAGACAAACAAUGGAGAAUUAAUGUGGUGCUGAAUAUGGAAGUGAGGGUUGAAUGAUUCAAUUGCGAAUAUUUAGAUAUUUAGAUAUUGUCUGAUCUUCAUGUGGUGCUGAAUAUGUAACUGAGGGUUGAAUUAUUCAAUUGCGAAUAUUUCCACGCAGGGUGAUGUGCUCCCUUAAUUAGUUGAUGACUAAACAGGAGCACUGAGUGUUGGAAACUCGGCAAUAUUAACAAAAUUAACAUUUUUGUUGAGAUCAAGUCUAUGCGAGUGAUGUGCAGCAAGUCUAUGAAAAUUUGCUAAAAGAACAGCCAUUCAUAUGGAGUUUAGACCCGCUCGAGAAAUCAGCAAGGAAUCCUUAAUUUAGUCCACAUUUCAGCUGCACACCAUUCUAGCUAGAUCUUGCUGGAAAUCAGCAAGGAAAUCAACAAUUUAGUCUACAUUUCUAGUUGCACAUCAGCUUUAAAGGCUAUUAUAAGAAACUAGGUCGGUUAGUCAAAUAAAUAAAUAAAAUAAAAAUGGUUUGAAACUAGAUGGGAUGAAUAAGAAAUUAAGAACUAUUGAUUAAUAGAGAGGAUAAAUAGCAUCAUUAGACUCUUCCUCUAAAUCACCUACUACUAACUUCCUUCCACAUGAAGUACUUUCCCUUGUUGAUGGAGAAUUUUGCGUAGAAUUGUUUUUCAUGCGAUUGUUCAUUCUAAAAUGCAAAACUAAGAGUCUGUCGCUGAAGUUUCGUAAAUAUGCAUGGUGGUGUGGAACCGCUCAAACUAUUAUUUUACAAGUUAGACUUGAAGGAAUUUCAGAGCAGCGCACCGGAAAUUAAAACAAUAUUUAGUGAAUGUUUAGGAAUAACAUUAUACUGAACCAUUACAGGAAAACAGAGAAGCCUACUAAAACUGACAAAGAUUGGAGUUCCAAGAUUACCAAGUUAGUGUGGGAUUGGAAAGGUCUUUCGUUUCCAGCAUCAACAAGGGAAAACCAAUCGUCACUUGGUCUGUCCUUUUCCUCCUUGACCUCCAAGUCUUCGGAACCAGUGAGUGGUUCUGAAAAAAAAUUGUGUAAGAAAUGAAAUUUCUUGAGCACUACUAACAACUUAGUGCAGAGAUGUUUUUCUAUACUGCAUUUAGCAAUGAAAUUUCUGCGAAGCUUGCCUUGACCAUCAACAAGGAAAACGAAUGUUCAGGAUAUAUUGUAUAUGAAACUGAAUUCAAUUGCAAAUAUUUCCACACAAAGUAUGUCCCUUAGUUGACUGAACCAUUACCGGAAAACAGAGCAGCGUGCUAAAACUGUCUCUCUGCUACUUAAAACUUCCUUUGUAGCUUGUUUUAGGUAACGAUAUUUCUUACAUUAUCACGUGAAAAUAAUAUAAAAGCAAGUUAGAAACAUGACAAAAUUUUUAUUUUUUAUUAAAAAUAAAAUUUAAAAAAUAAGAAAAACCUUUGUAGCUUGUUUUGUGGUAACUAUACUCUUUUGUUGACAAUAUUUAUUUUUUAUCAAAUUUUUUAAAAAAAUAAUUAUCCAAAAGUUCCUAUCAACCUUCCUUGUGUACUUGGUUGGUAAUGUGUAUCAACCCAAAAAGUCUUUCUCAGCAUCAACAAAGAAAACCAAUCUUCAUUUUGUCAGAAAGUAUGGAACUGAGGGUUGAGUUAUUCAUUUGCAGAUAUCUCCACGAAGGAGAGCUCCCUUAGUUGAUUACUAAACAAGAGUAUAAUAUGUAAAAACUUGAUAUCAAUAUAUUAAAACGAUGUAAAAAUAUGCUAAGAACAUGAUAAUAUUAAUUUGUUAUAAAAAAUAAAUUUUAUAAAAUAAAAAACACAAGAUAUUAUUUUAAUUUAUUUUCAAACAAAAAAUAUUUUAAAAAAUAAUCUCAACCACACUAAAAUACUCUAAGAAUAGAAACACGGCAAUAUUGAUUUCCUAAAUGAAUUAAAUAGUGUUUCAUGGGUUGCUAAUUUUUCUUAAAUUAACUAAUCCUUUUAGUAUUAAAAGUAAUUAAAUAGUUAUUUUAAUCAUACUUAAUUCAAUAAUAAUUGUUUAAAAAAAAACACUUUUCUUGCUUAUCAAUCUUUCAAUUUAUAUACUUUGAUUUUUCCUUUAUCUAUUUUAAAUAAAAAAAUAAUUUAACAAUGAGAUUAUGUAAGCAAAUAAUUAAAAAAUAUGUAUACAAUAAAAAAUAAAAAUGUAAACCAUUUACCUGUAUUUAUAACCCCUGAAUCUUGUUAUGUUAAUGGAGUUGAGGGACUGGAAAGAUUUUUUUUUUCAUAGCAUUAAUAAAAGAUAAAUAUAUCUUACAAAACAUUAAGUAAUGAACAAAUACUCUUUGCACAAUAUUAAUGAGGGAUAAAUAUUUAUUAUAAAAUAUUAAUGGUAAUGAAAAUAUGAUAGGUUUUUAGAAAACUUUUAUAUACCUAGGGAUAUAGAAAGAUGAAUAUCCUUAACUUUAACAUUUUAUAUUAAAAAUCACAAGAAUAAACAAAUGAAACCUUGUAGUCUAACAUAGGGCCUAUAAUGAUCGCCAUACCCAAACCCACUUUGGCUUGGCACGAUGCCAAGUCCAACAGCGGUGGAUUCCAUAUCCGUUUGGGCUCUGCAAGUAGCUGAACUCAAGGGUGUGGGGUCUAGCAACUCACCAAAUGCUCAACAAGUAGCUAAACCUGAAAGUGUUGGGUUUGAUAACUCGUCAUACCUACGUCCACUUGGGGUUAUCGAGUACCUGAAUUCAAGAAUGUUGGGUUUGAAAGCUCGCCAAACUCGUGUCCACUUAGAUUAAGCGUGUAGCUAAACCUAAGGAAGUUUGGACUGACAACUUGUCAGAUCCAUGUUAAUUUAUGUUCAACACAUAGCUUAACUCAAUGAUAGUGGGUUUAGCAGCUCGCCAAAUCCAUGUUUGUUUGGGUUUAGUGCAUAGUUGAAUCAAGAAUGUUGGGUUUGAUAAAUUAUCAUAUUUAUUUUUGCUUGAGCUCACCAUGUAGCUGAGCCCAAGAAUGUUAGAUCUGGCAACUCUCCAUACCCAUGUCUGUUUGGAAGCUUGUUAGACCUAUACCCACCUGAGCUCUGCUCUUAACCAUACUAAAAGGCAUUGAGCUUGAAAACAAGCUAAACUCAUAUCAUUUGGGCUUGAUAUUCUUUGCUUGGGCACUCCGAGCUAGAAUUCCGGCAACAGCAAAAACAAUUCAUUGAUAAAUGAAACCUCCCAGGAAAUCGAAGUUCAUAAUUGGAGCUGAAAAAUCUGAGAAAUGCAAUUUGGAAUGCUUUCCACUCCCUUCAAGUUACUUGUAACACCACUUCUAGAGUUUCGACAACUCACUUCCUCAAUGGAAACACGGUGGUUUUUUUAUAUAGAAGAAACAUCUCGUCUAGGUAAUGAAAAGAUUAGCUGGUUAAAGUAAAGAGAACUUGUGAAGGAAAAAAUAACACAUACAGUACUCAAAAGUUGCACUAGAUUCCAUGGAGCACAAGAUCAGAAGAAAAAGAUCAUUGAUGGAUGAUGUGUGAAUCUUAGAAGCAGGCAUUUCCCUCAUCUGAUUAAGCCCACCUCUGGAUUUCGAGAAAGAGCUCUUGAAAAAAUGGGAAUGCUAUUUGACCUGUGUUCGAUCCCUUGGGAAACAUCAAUGGCCAGAAACAAUGAAAGGAAAGUUCAGCAGAGUCAGGAACUUUAUAGGAAAUCCGUUUCCUAUCCUCCUAGAAUGGUUGUGUAGAUGGAUCAGAUAGACUGGGUGUUCUUGAAACACUAUCCUUCCCUUUCUUGGCAUUUGAUCCCCAACUCCUCUAUCAUGUAUUUCCAACCAUCAAUAGGUCUAAAUAUGCGAGUCUUGAUAAAGAAAAUUGCUAGUUUAACUGGAAAGAGUCGAAAGACAUGAUGACUAGGCUGGAUAGUAUAUUCAUUGCUUCAUUAUUUAUCUUCUAAUUUUUUACACUUCAUAGAGGACCUAUAACAUGAGACUACCUGAAUAAGCUAGCAGAAAACAUUGUAUCACACUGACUACAAACAAAACGCACCUGAAUUCUUAGUCCAUACAAAUUCAAAAUAGCUUUUAGGGAGCUUUGUUGGAUUCUUUAAUGUAGAAGAAAGGUAGCAUUAUUGCUUCAUAAUGAUAAAGUGAAUCACCUCCAUUUUUAUUUCUAUCACCUUGUGGCUGUGGAUGGAUUUUCCGCCGCUCGAUCCACUUAUCAAUCAUUUCCUCUACAAAAGCCUUGGUCUCAGCGUUCUCCAUCCCCGUGGAUGAAGAAAAAUUCACAUCCGUUUCCCAUGAAGCUCUGUUCUUAACCAUCAGAUCCACCUACAGCAAUGCCGAUUCCCAUGCAUCAUUCCAUUCAUCCUCCUCUGUUUUGGUAGAGAAUGAUUGAAAAAAUGUUUUGGUAGAGAAUGAUCUUGUGUGGCUGGUGUUCUUCAGUUAGAUUGAAGAACAAUACUGAUACAAGUAACCAACCAUCUUGGCUUUUCUUUGCUUGUCUCCAAAUUUGAUGUUGCUGAUUUCGCAGCCUAAAAAUUCAUUACUUUCACUUGAAAGGAGCACAUGAAUAGCCAGUUCAAAGACCAGCGGUGGCACUGCUGCUGGGAUAAAGAGCAACUCAGGAAUCUGCCUAUUGUAUAUAGAUUUUUAGUUCCUUCAUUUUUUUUUAUGGGUAGGUCCUUCAUUUUUUUAGUAUGAUGGAAAAAAAUAAUAAUUUUAUUAAUGAUAGAAGCCUAGUAAAACUAAAACACUUUCCCUAGCUAUAUAUACAAUGCAAGAACCAUGAAGCACUCGAUUUUUCGGUCUACUACUGUGUGAUGCCGUCAUUUGUUUAGUGUGAUUUACAAAAAUAAUAAUUUUAUUAGUGAUGGUAACCUAGUUAAACUAAAACACUUUCCCUAGCUUAAUUAGCCAAAAAACAAGGCCAGCCAGCAUGCGUGGAUGCCACAGUGACCAUCUUCCACGGGCAGAUAGUUUUAUGACUUCCGCCGGCACCUGUACAUGUCAUGUUUUCUCAGCCCUCUUCACCAACUUUCCUUAUAAUGCCCUAAUGCAAUUAAUCAAGCCCUUUAUUUAGCCUUCUUUUUUCCUACACCAUCUCAAAAGGAUUUGAUGCAAAAAUAAAAAUAAAAACAGUGCCAUAUAUAUAGAAUCUGAAACAAAAACAAAAGGGAUUUAACCAAUCCUCUCAACUCGAAAUCUAACAUAGAGAGGAGAGGCAGAGGCAGAGCUAGAGAAUAGAUGGAGGGAGGGAGGGUAAAGAAAUGUUUUGUCUCAUCACAAGCAGUGAUGGGCAUGUUGAUGGUUCAAGUGAUGGCAACAGGAAUGCAAUUGCUUUCCAAAAUCAUAUUUGAAUAAUGGAACAUUUGUGCUUGCACUUAUGACCUAUAGGCAUAUAGUUGCUGCCGUUUGCAUGGCUCCCUUUGCUUUCUACUUUGAAAGGUAUGUCAUCUUUUCAUCAAUCAAUUUCGUCUCUGUCUUUGACACCUUUUUUCUCAGUUUCUUUUUAUUACUGCUGUGGUUGCAGAGGCAUGAUCAAAAGUAAGAUGAACUGGUCUGUUUUUUUCUGGCUUUUUGUUAACAAAAUACUGGUAGAUAAAACUAAAACAAAAUAAACUGAAAAAAAUCAAUAUUGAUUUCCUAAACAAUUAAAUAGUGUUUUAGGGGUUGCUAAUAUUUCUUAAAUUAAAUAAUCCUUUUAUUAUUAAAAAUAAGAAGUGAGAAACAAUAAUGUUUUAAGGAGAAAGGACUCAUCAUUGACAAUAAAAUAAGAUUUAUAUUACGUGAAAGUAUUUCAACAAGUAAAUUUCUUUCUUAUUUUAAUUUAAACAUAAUUAAUUUUAAUAUUAAUAUGCAUGCUAGGUUUUUUUAUUUUAUAUCAAUUACAAGUUUAAAUAUAUACUUAAUACAAAUGCUAUUCUAUUAUUUUUUAUUUUUUGUAUUGAAAGCAAAACUAAUGAAAAAUUACGAUUGUUUGAAUUGAAUGAGAAAAAGACUUUGGUAUGCUGAGCACACAAAUGAGAAGAAGAGGAGGGAGGAGGAGUAAUUUGAGGAGAAUAUUGAAGAUGAAAUUGUUGAAUGGAAAUGGAAGAGAAACAAAAUGAAAGAGAGAAAUUGAGAGAGGCACAGUGAAAACCCCUUAGAAAUUGAGAGAGGCAAUAUUAAUUUAUGGAAAACAUUGAUAUACUGAUAAAUUGAGUGAGAACUGAGAGUUUUUCCAAUAUUAAAAAAAAAAAAAAGCCAAGCACUCACGAGUUUUUCCAAGCUUUCAACCCAAAUGCAGGGAACUGAGAAAAUCCACAUUUUUCUCCACCAGAAUAGAACCACUGAAAGAAAGCCCACAGGAAACUUAAUGAAAAGAACUUCAUGAACCCAUGCACCUGUUUCCUGCAAGUUAAUGGUUUUCUUUUUUGAGUUGUUUCGUACUCAACUUCUAUCUAGUGCUAAAUCAGCAAGAAUCGGGAACAAGACUCAUGCUUACCUAGCCAUCUUGUCUCCUGUAGGAGUGUGGAACCCAUUGAUGAGAACUGCAGUUGCAGUUCCACUUGGAUAACUCAAUUUGUAAUCUAUUAUCAUGAUCUGGGGCACCAAAAAAUGCAAGAUCAGAGACCAAUUCAAGCUUCAUAAGUAACAUACAGAAGAAGUCGAGAUCACUGUCGAUUAAGAUUCAAAUUAAGUUGAAAACUUGCAAUCAUCAAUUCAUGAAGAAUUACCUCUAGAACACCAGCACUAAUAAAACAUAAACAAUCGAUUCAUCAAGAAAAUUGAAGAAAACAUAUUACCUUUCGCAGAGGAACUAGAGCAAGUAGCCCAACGAAGCUGCUUACAAAGAGGAAACCAGUCAUCCAACCAAUCCCAGGUUCCUUAGUGCUCCCAGGAGUAUUCCCCUCUGUAUCAACCCCAGCUUGCUCAUAUGUCUUCCUAUUCAAACCCAGUAGAUAAGAUCCAAAACCACCUGCAAUUCAAUAAACAAAUCACAAUUCGGCACACAUAUUAAAAAGAUUAGCAAAAAUUGUUCAAAAUAUAAACAACACAUGAGAUCAAAGUCUCAAACCUCCAACAGCAAUGCUAUAACAAGCAACAGCACAAGUUUGAACUAUGGUAUUCUCUUGUCGGGUAAAGGGAGCGGUUACAAUUCCAGCCUUUGAGAGGAGCUUAGUCCAUGUUCUGAGGAACACAAAUGCAAGAAGAGCAGCAGAGACAUUGAGAUUUGGGACUAGACCAGUGGUGAGAUUCAGCUUCAUGACUAUAACACUGUAUAUGAUCCCAAUUGCUAUGCUAGCAACAAUUCCCCUAACUGUAAUCUGUUUAGUCCAUGGAGCAAUCCUCUUGAUAUCCUCUGGCUCAUCUCUAACUUCUUCCAUGCCCUCUCCCCCAACCUUCUCAAUCUCUUUCAUUUCUUCCAUGUUCAUAUUCAUCACAAUCUUCUCACUAAUACAAUCAACAAACCAAACUCAUCAUCUUGAAUCCAAUAGAAUGAUUUAUAGAAGCUAAACACACAUCAAGAAAAUCUGAUAAAACUACAAAGAAUAAAAAAUUGAAUAAAAACAAAACGUCAUGAAUUAUAUUACCUGAUAAGCCUCCUCCUUUUUCUUGCUCCUCUUCUUCUUUCGACCACAGCUUCAAAAAGCACCCGAAGAAUCCAACUUCCUCAGUCAACUACUAACAAGUCUCCAUCAAUCAAUACAAGUAGAUGCAAGAGCAUAUAGCUUCCUUCAGAAAGACAACAAAACAUUCAAAUCAACACAUGGGCAAGGGCCAGCCUCUAAGUUGACUUAAGGAAACUCUCCAAGAAAAACAGACGGCAGCAGACGAACUUGAUUCGAGGCCUUCAAGAAAAGCCCAAAAACCAUAAAUAUUGCUUCUUCCAAAGCAAAAAUCAAGAGCAUUAAAUGUCAGGCCAAGAGAACAAAAACCCAAGCUUCUUAUAUGGCAAAAAAACACAGCAAUUGUUUUUCUUAUUUAUACUAAAUUUAAGCACCACCAGCCCACCCACCAGCAUUUUCUAUGUACUGCAAAGAAGUACAAGGCAAGGCUGCGUUGUAGUACAACACUCAUCAGAACUCCAACGAUGGCUGCUAUACAUUUGAACAGAUGUCAGGUUCAUAAAUUUGAUCUUCUCGUUGACUUAUUACCACCACUUUUCACCCUCUCUUCAUCCUUGUAGUACAGAUAUAGAGAGAAGAAAAGUGGGCAAUCGUAAGCAUAAAAUUGCUUAAAGUGAAAAGCAAGAAAUGGAACUGCUAACUGGAUUGAACUGGCUACUUCACUUGAAAGUGCCUUCCUUUACAGUCAUAACAUGUGUAUGGCAAGUUAAGAGUCAUUUUGAUCCCUCUACUCUUAUUUCCCUUAAUUUAUCACCUUUGUCUUCAUAUCACUCUCUUUAUUAUAUUCUUUAUUUUAGUCAACUGUAGCCUAGAGUUAGACACCUCAAUCCCAACCUAACUUGUUUGGAUUAGAACCCAAAGACUGCUUCGUUAAAGAUUGAGAUUUAUUUAAUCAACUAUUGUACUAUAAUAGGCAAUGACGUCGUUUUAAUACUAAACAUUUUCAAUAGGAUGUUCUCUUAUCCCACGCAUAAGAAAAAAAUGUUACGAGGGAUUAAUUGUUAAGGGGUUAUAUUGAAGAAUAAAAUAGUAUAAGGAUCGAAUUAAGAUAGAUGUAUAGUGGAAGGAUAAAAAAGACAACACUAGCAAGGCGUGUGGAAACAUGUCAAAGUCAGUUAAGAAAAGGAGAAAGGCCAGUUUUGAGGCCAAUAAUAUAGAAAUCUCAAAAAAAGAUUUGAUGUAAGAGAGAGAUAUCAUAUGAUGGUGGGGUGGCCCCAGAAAUGGUGGGAUGGUAUUCAUCGAAUGCUGAUUCUAUCAACCUUUAGAUGCGAUCACUGUUUCUGACCAUUAAUUUCUAGUUUAUCAAAUGAUGUGAUAAGAAUAAUUUUAAAAAAAAAAUUGUGUUUUGAAUUUAAAAAAUAAGUUUUUUAUGUUUUAAUAUAAAAAUAAAUUUUAAAAAUAAAAAAUAUAUUAUUUUAUAUAUUUUUAAUAAAAAUAUUUUUAAAAUAAUCUUAAAAUAAUAAUAGACUUAGGUUGUUAAUAUGAUUCUUUCAUGCUACUUGAAAUUUAUACAGGUUUAUUAUUAUAAAAUAUAAAAAAAUAUUAUUUUAAUAUAUUUUUAAAAAUUAUUUUAUAUUAUAUUCAAAUAUCAAACAUGUAUUGAUAUUAAUCUUGCUAAAUUUAAAAUAAUAUUAUUCAAGAUUGUUUUUAUAGAAAAAGUUAAAAGUUAUCAACUUAAUCGAUGAGUUUAAUAUCUAUAAGAAAUUAUUUUUAGUAAAUUAGAGUAGGUCACAAAAAAUUAGUUUAUUGGUAGAUGGAAUAAACUACACAAGAAUUUAUAAUAUGAUUGAUUUACUUCAUGUAAUUUAAAUUAAAGAAAAAAAACACACAUUUCCUCUGCCUCAAAAUAAAUGAAAAAAAAAUAAAAACGAAUUAUUGAAUUUCAAGUGAUUUUAUUUUUCCUAUUUUCAAACUUGGAAUGUAAUAAUUCCUCAUCUAAUUUUUUAAUCGGGUGCAAUAAUUUAUUAUUUAUCUCUUAGUUUACAAAAUAAAAUAAAACAUUUAUUUCAAAGCGUUGAUUUACUAAUUAAUUCAAUUGUUUUCUACUGUGAUCACUUUGAUUCUGGGAUUGAGAGUGAUAAAAUUAUCAUCGAAUUAAUUUUGAAAAUUAUCAUCGAAUUAAUCUAAAAAGGGAAUUACGUAGCGUGAGUAUAUUUUCUUAUCAAGAUUGAUAGUUACGUGCAUGAGGGGAACCCUCCCUUUCGUCGGGAGCACAAUCGUCCUUUCGCACCAAAAAGUCAUCAAAAAAUUAUUCCAAAACAAACACCACAGACUCCAAGAAGCCAACAAUUUUGCUGAGAGGAAUAGGCAAUAAAUAUCUCCGUUUAAAUCACCUUAAUUCAGUGGAAAAUUAUGUGCGCAUUAUUUGUACAUUAUUAAGCUAUGUGCAUGCAUCAGAGUGGUUUGAUUAACUACUUUACAUAAAUAAAAUGAAGAGAGUUCUUUGGCAUUUCUUAGAGAAAAAAAAAUUACUUUGUUAUGGGUCAUAAUUGUUUAUGAUAUUUGUUUUUCUCUGAUCCAAGUUUUGUGGAUACGAAGCAGAGAAGAUGUUGAAGUUACAUCUAGACUGUAAAAAUCAAUUCCUUGGUUAUUAAAACUCCAAAAAAAAAAAAAAGAUCACAGGUUAAGUUCUAUUAAUUAAAAUAAUAUUAUUUUAAUUUUUAAAAAAAAUUAACUAAGAUUUUAACUAAAUCAACUGAAUUAUGAACUAAUUCAUCAGGUCAUUUAAAUUAUAUUGGUUCAAUUUCUACGUAAUUUUUUUUAAAAAAAACCAACAUGAACUAAUCGAGAGUUUAAUAGCUUGUUACUGAUAAAUUAUGCCAUUUUACAUUUACUUAUUUUUUGGGAGUAAGAACUCAAUUUUGAAAGGGACGGUGAGUUUCAAUUUUGCACUUUCUUUUCAUCCAUUGCACUUUCUUUUAAACCUUUUAUUGGAACUCAAUAUUGGAAGGGACGGUGAGUUUUAGUUUUAAUUCUAGGUGGGCUCGAUUGGAUUCCUUUGUUAAAAAAAAAUAACAUGAUCGAUAUCUUCAAAAUCAACUUUAGUGAUGUUCAUAUAACAAUUUUUUUUUUUUUGUACAAUAGGAUGUUUGGAUAAGCUUUUGAUUGCACUAAAAAUAUUACAUCCAUGUUCGGACUUAUAUAUUUUUCAAGCAAUUAAUUAUUUUAUCGGAACAAUUCGAGCAUUAAAAUAUAAAAAUAUGGAGAAUACUUAAUAUUUACCAACAAAUUAAACUAAGCCUGUGAAAGUUCACUUUAUACGAAUAUAUAUAUAUGUUGACAAAUUAUUUGCCACUUGAGGUUGAAGAUCAUGUCGUUUAAAAUGAAAUUAACGCAUUAUAAGCUAAUUAUGUGGAUUCCAACUCAUAAUUAGUUUCAUGUUAAGAGCAUGAUUUCAUGUUUUACUUAAAAAACAUUUAUUAGCACUUAGCAGCUUAUUUUAAAAAAAAUAUUAUAAGCUUUUUUUAAAACAAAGAAUGGUUGAGUGGAGUUGGAGUUGUGGAGGUAAUGGAGAACCCUAAUUCUUCAAUUAUAUGGUUACAUGUAAUGUAAAAAGUUUAAAUUGAUAUAUAUGCCACUUGAAACUGAAGGCCUUUGCAUUUAAAAUUCGAGAAUCAAUUAUAUUGUGGAUUAGUGAAAAAAAUUAAAAGAAGGAGCAUUCUUGUUUUAGUUUCUUUCAUGUUAAAAGCAUUAAUUACAUGUCGAAAAAACAAAUCAUGAUUAAUUUGCUAUAGCAUACUUGUUUUAACAAACAAAAAAAUAGAGUUAAUCAUGCAUUGCAUGCGUGAAAAAAAAUAUAACUAUAGGUUCAAACCUAUGUAUCUCGUAUCAAUAUGUUAAAUAAAAAGUGUGGAAUAUAUCUCAUUUUGUCUAUAACUAGAUAUGUUUCCGUGUGUUGCUAUUGCAGAUUAAACAAUUUUUUUUAUGUAAAAAAAGUGAUGGGUUAAAAAAAAUCCAAAUCCCAAGUCAUUGAUUAAAUUGACAAUUUAAAUAUUUAUAAAAAUAAAAAAACAACAACAAAUAAAAAUAAAAAAAAACAUACUUGAGCCUAUUUAAAUUAACAAAUAACCUAAUGCUAAUCUAAUUGAAGGAAAAUCCAAGAAACCAAAAAAAAAAAAAAAAAGGGCUUAAAAAAGAAAGAUAAAAACCAAGCAAACCUAGACGAACCUCCUAAACCUAGUUUUAUCUAAAAAGUUAUAAUUUUUUAAAUCAUGAACCCGAGUUCAAUUAAAAAACUUAAAUGUCAUCCAAUUUAAUUUUGAAAGUUGCAAUCGUUGAAAAAACUAUUAAUAAAAAAUCUUGAAAAAACAAAGAAGCAAGAUUCUUAAUCAAACAAACUUUGAAGGAUGAAAACUAAAAAAGUAUAAUUUUUUAAAUCAUGAACCCGAGUUCAAUUAAAAAACUUAAAUGUCAUUCAAUUUAAUUUUGAAAGUUGCAAUCGUUGAAAAAACUAUUAAUAAAAAAUCUUGAAAAAACAAAGAAGCAAGAUUCUUAAUCAAACAAACUUUGAAGGAUGAAACUGAAAAACAAAAUUAAUAAAACAAAAAUUGCAAAACAAAAAAAAAAUUAAAAGAAUUAUGACUAAAUUUGACAUAAAAAUUAAAUGAAAUAAAAUGUUUUGAUAAAAAUCAAAUCAAAUCAAAUGUUUAGGGAUGAAAUUGUAAAAAAAAAUCCAUUAAGAAAAUAAUUAAAAAAAUAGCAAUUAAAAUAAUUAAACCAAAUUUGACAUAAAAAUUAAAUGAAAAUAAAUACAUAGGGGUGAAAUUGUAAAAGAGUAAAUCAAUCAAGAAAAUGAUUAAAAAACAAAUAGAAAUUAAAAUAAUAAGGAUCAAAUUUGACAACAAAAUUAAAAAACUCAAAUGACCAGAAAUAAAAUAAAAAAUAAAUCCAAUUAGAAAUAAUCAAUGUAAAUAAAAUAAUUACAAAUAAGAGAAGAGGGACUGAAUCAAAAGAAGAAAUAAAUUGAAGGACUGGAAUGAAUUUUUUUAUUGCCAGCAUGCAAUCCGAGAAAGAAAAAAAAGUAAAAGAAAAGAAAAGAAAGAAAAGUAAUUUCAGUCAAAUCACGUCAAACCACAAUACACGCGUCAUCCAAAGAGAAAAAGAAUGUCAAGAUGAAUCAAAUGAUGCUGCAGAAUCACGGCUGCAACCGCUCGAGUCAACCACGGGCAGUGCUAGAAGUUGAAAAUAUUGAAAAUGUCCUUUGACUAAACAAUAUUAACAAAUAAACCAUGGUGAAAUUACAACUAAGCCCCUGAAGCUAAGGUUAAAAAAUAAAAAUUGUAUUGACAAUGUAGUAAUUCAAUUGUUCUAUAAAAAUUAAAAAUACAAAAACACCCUUGUGCAUAAAGCAUUGAAUUAUUUUAUUCAAGGGUUAAAUUAAUGAUUUUUAUGUGCAUUAAAAAACACAAUUAUCAAAAUAACCCUGCACAAUUCUUAAAUGAUAUUUAUAUCAUGGUAAAAAUACUACCUUACCCUUGAAGUAAAGACAAAGGAUAAAAUAAUUAAGGGAUAAUAUAAUAAUUACAUUAUUGUAAUGAAUAAUAAUUUAUGUCUCGGAAGUGUUUUGGAUAAUUAUAUAAAUAUUAAAGUAUGUAUAUUAUAUAUAUAGCAGGGCAAAUGAGAUAUGUUUCCAUAUACCUUUUUAUUUUAAAACUACACAAAUUCAUUAUCAAAUUAUUCUAGAGAUUAAUUUCUUUUUGUCCCGUUUCAUCCCUACUGGCAGACUGUAAAAAAAUUGUAACCAAAAUUAUAAAAAAAUGUUAAAUAAAUGAUAAAUGGGUACAUAUUUGUUUUUUCUCUUGAGAUCAAGUUGUUCAAAGAAAAUUGAUUACCAGAACCACAUGGAAAGUCAAUUGUAAUUUUUAUUAUUUAUAAUAUGAUUUCUAUGGAAUUUUAGAAAAUUUCCAUACCAUAAAUGAUAUACAUUGGGUUUGGAAAAUAUAGCCUCGUUGAUUAAAAUUAAAUUUGGCCUUAUAUCAUUUCUUUUUAUAAAAGUAUUAUUAUUAUUAUUAUUGUUAUUGUUAUUGUUAUUACUAUUUCAUCACAAGGCUUUUAAAGAAACUUUAUUAAGACUUCGUUUGUUUGCUGGAAAGUAGUUUCUUUUUGAAAAAUGAAUUUAGAGAAAAUGAAUUAUUUUCUGAUAUUUGGUAGUGUAAUGAAAAAUAAGUUAGAAAAUACUUUUCAGUGUUUGGUUAUGUCAUGAAAAAUAAGUUGGAAAAUAACUUAUUAAUGAAUUUUUUUCUCAAGUUUGUUAAAAUAAUGAGAAACAAAUCUUACAAAUUAAAAAGUUUAAUGAGAAUGAAAUUAAAAAAAUAUAUAUAAUUUCAUUAAUUAUCUCAAAUAAAAUAAAUAUAAUUAAAAUAAUAAAGAUCAAAUUUAAAAAAUAAAAAAAAUGAAAGAUGAAGAAAUUAAAAUAAUAAUAAUUAAAAUUUCAUAAAUUAUUUUAAAUAAAAUAAGUAACAAUAAAAAUAAUAAGAAUUAAAUUUGAUAGAUAAAAAAUUUUAAUAAACAAAUGACAAGGAAAAAGUAAAUAAUAAUUAUAAAAAUAAGGAUUAAAGUUAAUAUAAAAAUUAAAUUUUAUGAGAUGAAAUUAAAAAAAUAAAUAUUCAAAUCAAAAUAUAUAUAGCUAUCAAAAAUUUGAGAACCAAAUUUGAUAUAAUCAGCAAAUAAUAUGACAUUUAUAAUUUUUUCACAACUUUUAGAAAGUAUUUUUCACCUAAAGUUUCUUGAAAAACAUGUUUUUAAAAAUUAAGUUUAAUUUUUUUUUAACUGCAAAGUAUAUUUUUUGUUAACCAACAUUACUAAUAAUAAAUAAAUACAAAAAAAUUUUAAAAAUAAAUUUUCAAAAAUUACUUUUUAAAAAAUAAACAUAGGCUAAUCCUAGAAGUAGAAAGAGAGCUUGGCUUUAAUGAGGCUUCUCCCCAAAAAUUCAGCUUGUCCUUUCCCAGCCCGACCCUAACCACCCAACAUAGCUCAAACCCUAACCGCCACCACCAGGUCUACUAGCACAUAAAUUUACGACACAACCCUAACAAACCACCCAAAAAGAACUCCAAUCCAAGGAGAUUACUGUACUUUAAACACAAAUACAAAAUCACAGGGGGUUUCGUCAGAGACCAUGUUUCUGCAAGAACCAGUGUUAUAUGUAGCAAGUGCAGCUUUAAGGUGUUUGGUAUUGUUUGCUGAGCUCCGGAAACCUGAUCCGAAUCGUGAAGCAUCAAAGGAAGCCCUUGAACAUAAGAAAGAAAUCACUAAGCAUUUGGGUCGUCCCUUUAUCCAAACAAACCCUUAUGAGGUGUGUGUGUGUCAAAGUUUCUAUUUUUGUUGAAAAGAUUGGAUUUUUUUUGCAUUUUUUGAUUUGGGCUUUGUUUUGGGUUUUAGAGGAUUAUGUGAAUCUUGGUUCUAGGGGUAAUUAAUGGAAUUUAGGUUUGUUUUGGUUUGUCGUUUUCUGGAGGAUUCUGUGAAUUUUGGUUAUAUGGUCAGAUAAUGAAAUGAAGAAUUUUGUGAAUUUGGAUUAUAGGGUUAGUUAAUGGCAUAUAGGCUUUGUUUUUAUUAUGUGCUAUUGGUUUUAUUAUAUGCUUGAAUUGUCAUUCAUCUGCAAAAGUUUGAGUUUUGUUUGUGAUAGUGGGGUUGAGGUUGAUAUUGCAAUAAGGGAUGUGGAUGGUUUAUUGUAGGGAAUAGGGAUUUGGGGGGGGGGUCUGGGUGUUUUGAUGUAGGUAGGUGCUUUAAUCGUUGUUUGGGUUAUGAGGGAGUGAUUGCUUGUGCCAAAUGGGAUGGGAUUAAGUUUCCAGUUUUGCUGUGAUGAAUUAAGUUUCUUUUUGGUAGUGGAAACUAAGUUCAUUUCAGAUUGAGUUAUUUGUUGAACUUUUGAACUGAUGGGUUGGAGCUUAGGCCUCUGGGUUGAUGAAAAGUUCAAAUUCUUGUGUGAAAAUGGAGAUGGGGGCCAUGAGAUUAAGAUUGCGAUGAGGGAUCUUGGUGGUUUAGUGGGUUAUUGUAGGGAAUAGGGAUUAGGGGAUUUGGGUGUUUUAGUGAAGAUAGGCAAUUUCAUCAGUUUUUGGAACGGUGGGGAGUGACUCGUGCUGAAUAGGGUGUGUUUAAGUUUCCAGUUCUGCUGGGAUGCAUGAAGUUGUUUUGUGUUGGUAGAAACUAAGUUCAAUUCUGAUUGAGUUGUAUAUUGAGCUUUUGUACUGGAGCGCUGGAGUUUAGGCCUCUGGGUCGAUGUUAUAGCAUGCUUGAAUUUUGAAUUUUGUGUGAUAAUAGGAUGAGGACCAUAAGGGUAAGACUUCAAUAAGGGAUGUGUGUGGUUUGGUGGGUUAUUGUAGGGAACAUUGAUUGGAGAAUUAGGGUGUUUUGGUGAAGAUAGUUGCUUCCAUCAUUUUUGGGGAUGUUGGGGAGUGAUUGCUCAUGCUGAAUGGGAUAUGAUUAAAUUUCAAGUUUUGUUGGAUGGAUGGAGUUAUUUUUGGUUGGUGGAAACUGGAGACCAAGUUCGUUUCUGAUAUAUUGGAACUUUUGUACUAUUGUGUUGACCUUGGGUUGGUGCUAUAGUACUGUUGUCAUUGUUUAUACAACCAUAAACCGUUAUAAUAUUUCCUGGUGUCUUCAAACGUGCCAUGUGUUUUCUAGGCUGUCUAUACUUUGUUGGCUGCUACCAUGCAACAAAUACUCAAAGUUUCUAACGUCAACUGAAUACAUGAAAAUAUCCAUCAAAUGGAGUAUAUUUGAGUCUCCUUCUAUAUCAUAAACUAAUGGCACAUGAUUAUUAGGUUCAUUUAUAUGAGUCCACCUUUUUUGAAAAUGAUACUAUGUGAACGCCGAUGGCUGCUAUGUUCAGUAAUAGCCUCGUGCGUGACUGACUUGACAGGUUCAUAGUUGGAAGAAAUUAAAUUUGAAGACUUGGCCUUGAACCAAUAUGAUUGCUGUAACUGGGAAACAUAGAUAUUAGUUCUUUCUAUGCCUAAUGAAAGUUGGAUGGAAAACCAAAUUUUCAAUUAUGAAGCCUUCUGAUGGCAAUUGCUUUGUGGAAGAUCUAAACUGCUUUGUAACAAUCAAGCCUAUCCUCUAAACACUAUCCAAUAUGGCCAUGUUCUCAUGUUGAAAAUAUAAUUGAUUGGAAUAGAGGCUUUAAAAUUUAUGGUCGGUUUAAUGGUUUAUCAAUAUGCUGCAAUUGUAUAUCUUUAUUUUUCAAUUGGACGAUUGGAAUCUAUCAAGCAAGCUUUGUAUGAACUGGUGAUUCUUCCUCUGUGGAAACCUGAGCUCUUCUCACAUGAGAAACUUCUUGGUCCACAAAAGGGGGUAUUGUUAUAUGGACCUCCAGGCACCGGGAAGACCAUGCUUGCAAAAGCUAUUAUCAGAGAGUUUGGAGCUGUUUUUAUAAAUAUGAGGAUCUCUAAUCUGAUGAGCAAGUGGUUCGGCGAUGCACAAAAGCUCGGUGAGUAUAGAUCGCAUUUGAAUUGCCUCUCAUGUGCUUGAGCUUUGCCUUGCAUUUAGCAAAACAAUGAUGAUUUAAAAUUAUUGCCUUGUUAUUCUAAAACUUGCUGUCACCCACCGACUAUGUUGAGUGAAAUUUAGUUUCACUUUGAUAAUGGAAGCAAGGUAGUACUUUGUGAACAUUCUCAACUAAGAUUGAACAUUCCUAACUUGUCCUUUUUGAAGAUCUUUAUUAGCAGCAAGAUUAUUUUGAAUGCUCUAUUAGCUUUAAAAAACAGGGCGCUGUAGCUUGCUUAUCUAAUGGAUCUUACUCCGAUGAAUGAGAUUGUGAAAUGAUCAAAAUAUUGGUAUUUUUGUUGCUGUGUGGUAUUUUUAUAUAUCCUGCAUCAGGGAUAUAACAGAAGUAACUGAAUGGCAUACACUCUUGCUAUUGUGAAAUUGGUCAUUACUGUAUUUUGCAACUACAUCUUUGUGUUGAAACCAUCCCUCAUUACAUUCUUUUCUGCACCUGAAUCCAAGCAAGGUUAAGCCCAGUUACAUGCAAAAUACAUUCUUUGAAGGUUCACUUGCAAAUAUUUCCACACAAGAGUGAGCGUCGGAAACACGGCAGUACUAAUUUCCGAAAUUGACAUUUUUGCAGCAAGUCUUUGUGCUAACAGAUACAGUUCAUGCUCUAAUUUGAACUUCCUUUGUAGCUCGUCUGAUGGCAGCUGUUCUCGGGGACAUCUACCCCGCUAUUAUUCCUUGCUGGCUUAUAAAUUUAAUACUAAUUGGAUCCCCCUUCGCAUGUACUGAUUAAUUAUUCUUGCAAUUAUUAGCAAGAAUACGUGACUGUUUACUUGAAGGGUUAAGCAAUUUAUAUGUUUCCCAGAAGAAGAAGAAGCAUUUCAUAGCUUAGAAAAUAGCAAUGAAUAUCUGCUAAUAGAUACAGUUUGUGCUCUUCCUUUUCAGCUCGUCUGAUGGUAAGUGUACGUUUCUGGGGACUUCUACCACUCGUCCUUGUCUUCUAUAAAACUCCAUGCCAACAAAAGGCAAUAAUGCAAUCCUUGGUACAGAUUUUUGCUGGAUAUUUCCACUCAAGGAAAGCUCCCUUAACUAGUUGAUGACUAAACAAGAGUAUUGGACAGAGGGAAACAGGAUCGUUCUCAGGUAUCAUUAGGAAUUGUUUCAAGGAGGAAAAAGUACAAGGUUAGGUUUCUUAAUGCCAGAGGCAGUUUGACAGAGAUGGAUAAGGAGGUUAGUGACAACUCUAUGGACUCUACUCUUGCCAAUGUCAAUGGAAGGUUGGAAAAUUUGGCAACUUGUACUGAACCCACAAUAGUCUAUAGCUCUGAACGAGAGGUGGCAGCUACACAUCACCUUGGCAAGGUUUUAGGGAUUCAUAGAGAUACAAAUGAUGGUUUGGUUGCUGAACAUAUUCGGAGGCAGAUUGAUACGAAAUAGAAGGAAUGGUUGGACUCCCUCCAAGUUCUUGCUCUGGUGCCCAGUUUAUGAGUUUUGUUCUAAUCUUAAGCAGAUGCUACCAUAGAAUUAUAGAGAUUUAGGCAGUCUUUGUAGAAGAGGGGCUGCGCAAAAGUAUGUUAGUUCCAGUGAUAUUGAAGCUUUUUGUUUCUUGGAAAGUAAAAUUUCUAAUUAUACGAACACCCUAGUCAAAAGUAUUUGGAGUGGGUCUAAACUGGAAUGGUAUAGUUUCUUAGCAAUUUUAGCAAUUUUAUUGUAUGUGUGUUAAGCAUUAUUGCAUGCAUCACUUAUAAAGUAUUUUUAUUUUUGAACAGGAUGUCAUAGCAUGUGAUGUUAGAAAUCCUGAACACAUAGAUGUGGAAUUUGAAUUAAUUGGAGGGUUGGAAUCUAUCCAGCGAGCUUUGUAUGAACUGGUGAUUCUUCAUUUGCGGAAAGCUGAGCUCUUCUCACAUGAGAAACUUCUUGGUCCACAAAAGGGGGUAUUGUUAUAUGGACCUCUCUGAUAAUGGAAGCAAGGUAGUACUUUGUGAACAUUCUUAACUAGAUUGAACAUUCCUAACUUGUCUUUAUUGAAGAUCUUUAUUAGCAACAAGAUUUUGUUGGAUGCUCUAUUAACUUUAAAAAACAGGGCACUGUAGCUUGCUUAUCUAAUGGAUCUUACUUUAAUGAAUAAGAUUGCAAAAUGAUCAAAAUAUUGGUAUUUUUGCGAAGUAAUUAACUAAGUUUUCGUAGUUGCUUUUUUGCUCUUAUUGAAGUUAUAAUUUGAUUGAUGUUGAUUCUCUUCUAUGCUGUUGCCGUUGCUGCUGUUUUUAGCCUGGCUUAUAAACUCCAGCCUACCUUUAUAUUUAUUGACGAGAUUGACAGUUUAUAUUUAUUGAUCUUGAGUUCUGCAUUAAUGCGGUGUUCUUAUGCAGUGACUUGCUAGAAUGUGUUUUAUGUAAGAUUUGUGAAAGUGUGAUUUAUUCAUGGGCCUGGCCUGGCCGGACUCAGUGACAAUAUCUUACAAAAAAAUUAUUUUAAUGUUUUCCUUAUCAAACAUUGUUUGUACAAACCUAUCUCACUUUUUUUUUUUUUUGCUUUAGAUAUAAACAAUGCUUUAGAACAUUGUUUGUACCUGUUGAGAUGGUUUUAUCACACUUUUUAAUAGUCAUUUAUGUCUUACAAGUUACCAGAAUUACUAUAUUUUACUUGCAAAUAUUGCUACUGUUGUGAUAACAGAAUCUGUCAGUCAAGUGUUCUUUUAAAUUUACUAGAGUUGCUUCAAUCUGUUCAUAACUCUAUAACUUUCAAAAUACUCCCAGAAACAGAGAUUGAUUUAAGUGAUCACGACUAAGGAAAUGAAGACAUAAAAAAAGGACCCAAAACAUAAAUGAUUUUAUAGUUAACACAAACUUGUUACAUGCAUGAAUUCUUUUUCAUAGAAGUAAUGUACACUUAACCUUGAAUAAUGUAAACUACAAAAUAAAAUAAAAAUCCAAUACUAUGAAUUUGCCACCCAAUUGUUGAUCCACUUGAUAUCUUGAUUGUACUGCAAAAUUAGACAAGUAAGACUAAAGAAAACAUAGCCUAAUAUAAACUGUGAACAUAAAAUUUGAAAACUCAAAUGCUUGCAAAACUUACUUGAAAAUAUCAAUUGCAUUAUUUAGUUUCUUCUAGCACCAUAUCUGCCAGCAUUCUUCUUUGUUUUUUUGCUCUGGAGAUUCCAUUUAUCUUCAACCAUCCUAAAAAACCAUGAAGGCUUUUUUGUUCUUAACACAACGUAUCCCAUUGCAACUCCAAACACAAACCCGCAUCCAUACCCCAUUGUCACAGCUUUCCAUCCAAAUCCUUCUCCAAACAAUGUUGAAUCAUCUCCUUCAUCAAAGCUUGAUGGCGGUAAUGAUGGUGCCUCAUCACCGUAACAUUUUUUUAGUACUUGAGAUCCACAUAAACCCAAGUUUCCUUCAAAUGAGCUUGCAUCAAAGGUGUUGAAUUGCUCUCCACUUGGUAUGGCCCUCGAGUUGGUUAUGUGAAAGGUUUAGGAUUGCAAGAAAUGUUAGACCCCCCAGCUGCGUUGGAAUUCUUCCGGUAAGCAAAUUUGAAGAUAGAUCUAAUGAUUCCAAAUUGGUCAAAUUUCCUAAUGAUGAUUGGAUAUGACCUGUAAGGGAAUUAUGAGAAAGGUUGAGCUGUUGGAGUGCUUUAAGCUUUCCUAUUAUUUUUGGAAUCUCUCCGGUGAAAUUAUUAUUUGACAAAUCAAGUACUCUGAUGGUACUUUGUAUCUUUGGAAACUCAAUUUCUACACCCUUCCAUGUCAUUUCUAUGGAAUAGACAUACCUAGAGUAAUUUGUUGUCCCCAUGUAAAUCAUGUUUUGAUCCGAGGCCAUCAUUGCUUCAAGACUAUUGAAAUAUCUAGUUGGCAAAGACCCACUAAAAUCGUUGUCAGAGAUGUCAAGAAUCUGUAAUUUAGAGAAGGAAUUAUGUGCAGUUGGACCCUUCACAAAACCUUGGAGUUUAUUGGAUUUUAGGACAAGAAUUUGGAGCUUUGGAAGCGUUUCUAGAAAGUAGGGAAAUGUAUCCUCAAUCUUAUUGUUGCCAAGAUCAAUAACUUGCCAUUGUGCAGUUGAUGAUAGACGGUGGUAUUUUCCCUUCUAAUUCAUUUCCAUUGAGGUUGAGAUAUUCCAAGCUAUUAUCCUUUGAAAAUGUUGAAGGGAUAGUGCCUUGAAGAUUGUUCAUGCCUAGAUGCAAUACAGAGCAUGCUGCUGAAGUUCCCCAAACAUAGCGGCGUAGAACCACUCAAGCUGUUGUUAGACAAGUCCAGGACCCGAAGGUAUCUCAGCUUGCAAAUAGAAGAAGAAAUCUCACCUGUCAAUUUACUAUUGGACGCAAGAAUAAGGGUUGUCAAGUUCUCUUGUUUGAAAAUCGAACUUGGGAUUGGACCACGCAAGUGGUUAUUGCUCAAAUCAAGGAAUCUCAAAGAAUCAUGUUGGAGUUCACUUAUAUUACCUAUGAAAUUAUUGUUAUGAAGGUCAAGAUAUUGUAAAGAAGGAAGAGCAAACAAAAAGGAUGGUAUUGUUCCAUUGAACAAGUUACCAUAUAAAAAUAGAUAUUGUAGAUUUGAAAGGGUAUUUAAUUCAGAAUGGAUAGGGCCUACUAGUUGAUUAUUUGAUAAACUUAAAUAUGAAAGAUUGACUAGGCUAUCGAAAGAAUCUGGAACUUGACCCAUCAAUUUAUUGGAAUUGAGAUACAAAGAACGAAGCUGUACAAGGUUUUCAAGUGAUGAUGGGAUCUAGCUAAAAUUAUUACUUGAGAGGUCUAAAGAGGUGAGUUGUGUGAGAAUACCAAGUGAUGAUGGGAUCUGACCGCUAAAAUUAUUACUUGAGAGGUCUAAAGAGGUGAGUUGUGUGAGAUUACCAAGUGAUGAUGGGAUCUGACCGAAAUUAUUACUUGAGAGGUCUAAAGAGGUGAGUUGUGUGAGAUUACCAAGUGAUGAUGGGAUCUGACCGCUAAAUUAUUACGUGAGAGGUCUAAAGAGGUGAGUUGUGUGAGAAUACCAAGUGAUGAUGGGAUCUGACCGCUAAAAUUAUUACCUGAGAGGUCUAAAGAGGUGAGUUGUGUGAGAUUACCAAGUGAUGAUGGGAUCUGACCGAAAUUAUUACCUGAGAGGUCUAAAGAGGUGAGUUGUGUGAGAAUACCAAGUGAUGAUGAGAUCUGACUAAAAUUAUUACGUGAGAGGUCUAAAGAGGUGAGUUGUGUGAGAAUACCAAGUGAUGGUGGGAUCUGGUCGAAAUUAUUACCUGAGAGGUCUAAAGAGGUGAGUUGUGUGAGAUUACCAAGUGAUGAUGGGAUUUGACCGCUAAAAUUAUUACUUGAGAGGUCUAAAGAGGUGAGUUGUGUGAGAAUACCAAGUGAUGAUGAGAUCUAGCCGAAAUUAUUACCUGAGAGGUCUAAAGAGAUGAGUUGUGUGAGAUUACUAAGUGAUGAUGUUUCUAGACUCAUAAAGUCAUUGUCAGAGAGAUCAAGUGAAACCAAUUUGGAGAGGUGAGUUAUUUCUGACGGAAAUUGUCCUGUAAAGACUGAGAAAUUUAGGUUAAGAAGUGUUAGAUUGGAAAAGUGGCCAAAUCGAGAAGAAAUAUGGGAGAAGUUGAAAUCAUUGUCAGAAAGGUCGAGCUUUUGAAGAUGAUGCAGGAAGAAGAGGGUGCUAUUGGGAUGCAGGGUGCCAUAAAGCAUGCUGCAAGCAAGGUCCAGUCCAAUGACAUGCCCUGUUUUCAUGUCACAAGUGACCCCAUCCCACAAGCAGCAAUCUGUACCCUCUUUCCACGACUCUGUCUUGGGAUGCUGGCAAUUCCAUGAAGCAGAGCUAUUAAUGGAAAAGGAUUCUUUGAAUUGGAGCAAAGAAAGACUUUGGUCAUGAGCACAAAAAUGAGAAGAAGAAAUAGUUGAAUGGAAAUGGAAGAGAAACAGAAUGAAAGAGAGAGAUGAAAUAGGUGGAAACCCCAUGUUUGGCUGGCCUUACAGGAUUCAAAGUAUAUUUGGGAGAGAUGAGGAAUGAAGAAAGACAUUCUUAGUAGUAUUUAUAGACAAUCUAAUCUUAGAUUGUAUACUGACAUAGGAUGUGUAAAGACGAAAUCAAAUCUCAAGUACAAGAGGGAGUGAGUGUUGGAAACGCGGCAAAGUAUAUUAAAACAAGAUUCCUUGUUGACUUCAAAUUGCGCAAACUGAAUUGUUGUUUCUUGGCAAAGUAAUAAUUACGCAAAGCAAUGACUUUGUGUGCGCAGAGAUGUUUUUCCAAAUUGUAUUUAGCAAUGAGAUUUAUGAGAAGAUUGCUUUGCCCACUAAAAUGUAAUUUCCAAGAAAUUCAAAGCCACAAAAUCAGAAGAAAACUUCUUAAUAAGCCACAAGUGGGCUUGCAGAGUUAAAGAGUCAUCGUCACCUAUUAUGUCCACGUUCUGGCAAUAGCUUGUUUGAAUAAAAUUUGCUUCCUCUCAUGUAAUUAAUUUAAUUUAAUUUAAUUAAAAAAAAUUAUUUUUAAAAGUAAGAUUCAAUGAAGAUCGAAAUAAAAAAGUGAGUUAAUCUUUGUCACUUUCAAAAAAAAUUUCACAAAAAACAAAUACAAAAAAUAAUAAAAUAUUAAUGGAUAAAAUUAAAAAAAAUAAACUUAAAAAAAAUUAAUAUUGAUUUCUUAACUAUGCUUAAUUUAGUAAUAUGUUGUUUUUUAAAAAUAAUUUUCUUGCUUAUCAUUCUUUCAAUUUAUAUACUUGUUUUAAUUUAAGCAUAGUUAAUUUUAAUAUUAAUAUGCAUGCUAGGUUUUUUAAUUUUAUAUCAAUUAUAAAUUUAAAUAUAUAUUUAAUAUGCAUGUUAUUCUAUUAUUUUUUAUUUUUUGUGUUCAAAGCAGAACUACUAAUGGAAAAUUCAAAGGAGAGAAAGACUUCGGUAUUUUAGUAUCUAAUAGUAUUUUAGUUUUGAAUUCUUGAUUGGAUCUAAUCUUAUAUGACUUACUAUAUUUGAUGAAAACCCAAAUCUAUCUCAGCUUUUAAAAAAAUAUACACUUCGAUUUUAUUUUAUGACGUCACUAGGUGUACCAAAAAUCUAGUGCACUGUAUAACACUGAAAGCAAUAUAUAUUCAUCAGGACCGUCCGAUCAACUCUUAGGUUGAGCCAUACGUAGUUGGGUGAUCAAUCCAGAAGUAAUCAAGAGGGUUACAAGCUUCAGGUGCACCAACUCACCAUACUAACAUCCGCAGUAUAGCAAAUCUCAAAUCUCAAGUAUUUUCUCUCGUAAGAGUAAAACCCAUGGAAAUAUGUAAGGUUCUAUCAAAUUGACUUCAAAUUGCGCAAACUAAAUUGUUUAUUGGCACCUAAUGAGUGCGCGCCUGGUAACGUAAAGCGAUGUUUUUUUAAUUAAAAAUAUAUUAAUGUGAUGAUUUUUAAAAUUUAUUUUUAAUAUUAAUUUAUUAAAAUCAUAAAAAAUAUUAAAAAACUAAUAUUAAUUUUCUAAAUAGAUUAAAUAGUGUUUUAGAGGUUGCUAAUAUUUCUUAAAUUAAUUAAUCCUUUUAGUUUUAAAAUAAAUAAAUAGUUAUUUGACAAAUCUUGAUUAGUAAUAUUUUGUUUUUUUUUUUAAAACACUUUUCUUGCUUAUCAUUCCUUGAAUUAAUAUACUUUGAUUUUUCCUUUUUCUAUUCUAAAUAAUAAAUAAUUUAAACUAUGGGAUUAUGUAUACAUAAUUGAAAAAAUAAAUGAUAAACAAAGUCAUCUUCACCUUCUUAUGUCCAAUCCGCAGCUGUACAACAAGAUUAAGUAAGCAAUAAAUUCAUUCAGCUAAUAUUUUCACACGAGGAGAAGUCCUUUAAUUCACUAACACAAGUGCUAUUAAAUAAGGUAGUUAAUUGAACCAUCUAGGUGGUGGCCUAGUAGAAAGAGCUUGGGAUCAAGAGGUUUGCUCCCUCUGUGGUCUCAGGUUCGAGCCCUAAGUUGCUUAGAUGAUGGUUACUGGAGGCUUACAUGGUCAUUAACUUCAGGACUCGUGAGAUUAGUCGAGGUGCGCGCAAGCUGGCUCGGACACCCACGUUAAACUAAAAAAAAUAAAAAUAAAAAUAAAAAUAAGAUAGUUAAUUGUGAAAUUUUUAUAGUAAGAUAAAAAAAAAUUAAAAAUCGUGACAACUUAAUUUGAAUGUUCAGAGAUGUUUUUCCAAAUUGUAUUUAGCAAUAAGAUUUAUGAGAAAAUUGCUGUGCUCACUAAAAUAUAAUUUCCAAGAAAUUCAAACCACAAAAUCGGACGAAAACUUGUUAAUAAUUUACACUCGUAGUUUACUCACAGCCUAAGCAAGUGGGCAUGCAGAGUUAAAAGAGUCAUCCUCACCGUCUUAUGUCCACUUCAAUCCAGUCUACAGUCAACACACGUUCUGGCAAUAGCUUUAUUGAACAGUUACUAGAAAACUGACAAACAAUGGAGAAUUAAUGGAGUUUGAAGGUUCUUGCCCUCAAGAUACUGUGGGAGAACUUGGAUGUAUAGAUAUUGUCCACUCUUCAUGUGGUGCUGAAGGUUCACUUGCAAAUAUUUCCACACAGGAGAGCUGUGAGCGUUGGAAUUAAACACGGCAGUACUAAUUUCCAAAAUUGACAUUUUUUCAGCUAGUCGUUGUGCUAACUGAUACAGUUCAUGCUCUAAUUAGGAUUUUCUUUGUAGCUCGUCUGAUGGCAGCUGUUCUCGGGGACAUCUGCCCUUCGCAUGUACUGAUAGAUUAUUAUUGCUAUUAUUAACAAGACCAGGGGACUGUUUACUUGAAGGGUUAAACAAUUUAUAUGUUUCUCAGAAAAUAGCAAUGAACAUGUUCUAAUAGAUACAGUUUGUGCUCUUCCUCUGCAGCUCGUCUUAUGGGAAGUGUACGUUGCUGGGGACUUCUACCACUCGUCCUCGUCUUCUAUAAGACUCCAUGCCAACAAAAGACAAUAAUGACUAAACAGAGGUGUUGGAAACACGGCAAUAUUAAUUAAUUUUCAAAAUUAACAUUUUUAUUGAGAUUAAGUCUAUGCGAGUGAUGUGCAGCAAGUCUAUGAAAAUCUGCUAAAAGAACAGCCAUUCAUAUGGAUUUUAGACCCGCUCAAGAUUCUUUAAGCGAAGGAAUGUUUCUUUUCAAAUAUAAAGUUUUUAUAGUGGUGGUUUUAGCAUUGCGGGGGUUGUGGUGAUGCAUAUAUCCCUCAAUAGUACAUCUUAAUAUUAAUAAAAAAUUUAAACUUUCUUUUCACAUACCUUUUGUUCCAAAUUGGGUUAAAGAAAUAUUCAAUUAUGCAUAUUAAUUACCUUCCAAACUGACAUUUUUGUUGAGAGUAGAUAAAAUCCCCUACAUGCAAGUCUAUGUGCUUUAGGUACACUCUGUGCUCUUCCUUCGCAGCUCGUCUGAUUGGAAUUGUACGUUCUUCGGACUUCUACCCUUCUAUGAAAUCUGGUCUGUACAGGUUAAUAAUUAAGGAUUUCCAUAGAGCAGAGCUCGGAGAAGAAAGUCUCCAUAUCCAUUUAAAUAACAGAGCCCUGUUUUUUGACAUUAGGGAGCCUAUGCCAAGACCUCCUUGCUUCUUAUCACGCAUUCCACACCAUAAGAAACGUCUGAUGGGUACGUUUGUUACACUUUUUAAUAGUUAUUUAUGACUUACAAGUCAUCAGAAUUACUUUAUUUUGCUUGCAAAUAUUGCUGCUGCUGUGAGAAUCAGUCGAGUGUUAUUCUUUUAAUUCAUAAGAAUUGUUUUAAUUUGCUUGCACACUCGUAGAUUUGUACAGCAAUCUGUUCAUAACUCUAUAAAUCUUAAAAUAUUCCCAGAAAAGGAGAUUGAUUUAAGUGAUCAAGAAUAAAAAAAAUGGACAAAUAAAAAAAGAACCCAAAACAUAAUGAUUUUAUAAUUUCCAACAAGGGAGAAUCAAUCUUCUUUCAGAUCAAUCAAGUCAAACCCAUGAAACUCUUGAGCGAUGCCAAAUCCAAUUUCUUUUUUACUUAGAUGCAUGCUAGAUUCAAGAAUAUAUAGAUCUGACAAGAUACUAAAUCCAACUUUCUCAAAGAAAAAUCAGCAAAUCUUUAUUUAUUAAUUACUAAAGACUCAAUAUAUACAAAGUGGAAUUCUAUUCAUGUCUAAUCUUAAUUACAUCAUAAUAUUAUAAGUUUUGUUAAUACUCUAUGUUAUCCUUUAUCUUUAAUAUAACACGGAGUAUUCUAUUUUGAUAAUUCAAAUUUAUUGAAAUAAUAUUACUUUGCGAAUGUUAGAAAUCAAACUCUCUUUUUUCCCCUGUAUAUCCAGGAUAAAUAUUUUAUUAUUAUUUUAAAUACAUUAAAAUGAUAUUAUUUUUUUACAUUAACACAUCACAAUUAUAAAAAAUCAUUUUAAAAAAAUUAACUUAAUAUUUUGGCAAUAGCUUUAUUGAACAGUUGCUAGAAAACUGACAAACAAUGGAGAAUUAAUGGAGUUUGAAGGUUCUUGCACUCAAUUAGAUGCUGUGGGAUUGGUCGUCCUUAAAAGGUCUUUCUCUUUCAGCAUCAACAAGGGAUAACCAAUCUUCAUUCUUCGAAUGCCUUCGCGUAUAUAUCCUUUUCCAUGACCCUAAAGUCUUCAUUGAUGAGACUAGUAUAGGAACACGACUGUAUUUGAUUUCCAAACAGUUUACGGGUUGCUUAUUUUUCUUAAAUUAAUUCAUUCUUUUAGUGUUAAAAAUAAUUAAAAUAGACUAGAUAUCAUGCUCUAUAGAGAUUACAUAUUAAUAAUUUCCUGAACCAAAACUUGUCUCCUAGUAUUGUUAGUAUAUAUAUGUUUGAUCUUUGUCACUGGGAGAAGCAUCAAACAAGUUUCCUUGGCUAGGUCCUUCGUUGACUAAAUCAAGAGUGAGGGAGUGAUGGAAACGCGGCAAUAUUAAUUCAUUAAUGGAAAUUAAACAUGGAUAAUAUAGACUAUGAAGUUAGAGACUCAAAUUUUCAGAUAAAGCCUUAAUUAAUGAAGUUAAGUUAGAUCUUAAAUCUACGAUGUGCCUUUUAAUCGGAGCAAAGAAAGACUAAUUUGUACAUCAGCACAUAAUUGUUAGUAUUAAAAAUGCAACAGAAACAUAAAUGAAUAAUAAAAAAUAAAGUAAAAAUAAAAUUGUGCAGAAUAAUGUCCCACUAAUUAAUUGUUGUUUCGAGACGGAUGGAAACCAAGGCAAAGUAAUAAUUACGCCAAGCAAUGACUUUGCACAUUUAAAUAUUACGUAAGUCAUGUAACCUUCAUGGCAAAGCAAUAUGGAGCACUAAUGACUUUGCACACACACAUAUAUAUAUUGUUUUUCACGACCCAAAAAGUCUUUUUUAAUUAUCCAAAAGUUCCUAUCAACUUUUCCUGUGUACUUGGUUGGUAAUGUGAAUGAUCAGUGCAUUUUUCUUAAAUUUUUUUUUUUAUUAUAAAUAUAUUCAAAUGAUAUUAUUAUUAAGAAAACUCCAUAAUAAUUUACACUCACAGCUGAAGCAAGGGGGCCUGCAGAGUUAAAGAGUCAUCCUCACCUUCUUAUGUCCCCUUCAAUCCAGUCUACAGUCAACACGUUCCGGCAAUAGUUUUGUUGAAACUAGAAAACUGAUAAACAAUGGAGAAUUAAUGGAGUUUGAAGGUUCUUUACCUCCAAGUCUUCGAUCUGGCAAUAGCUUUAUUGAACAGUGGCUAGAAAAGUACAGACAAACAAUGGAGAAUUAAUGGAGUUUGAAGGUUCUUGCACUCAGUUAGAUGCUGUGGGAUUGGUCGUCCUUAAAGGUCUUUCUCUUUCAGCAUCAAUAAGGGAGAACUGUCAAAGAACUGUCUCAACCCAAUAACUUAAGCUGUUAGGUGAGGUCUCAGGAUAUGAUUUAUAUUAUUCUCUAACACACCCCCUUAAGUGAAAGCUAUUUGGGCUUGAAACUUGCACAGACCCACAUUACUUUGUGCAUAAUUUUUAUCAAAUAAAUAAGGAUGGUAAGAUUCGAACUCGUGACCGCUUGGUUAUUAAAGCUUUGAUAUCAUGUCAAAGAACCAUCUCAACCCAAUAACUUAAUUAAACUGUUAGGUGAGAUUCCAGAAUAUGAUUUAUAUUAUUCUAACGAAUCUGCAUUUUGUGAACUGUCAUUGACCUCCAAGUCUUCGAUCGGAACUUAGAUGAAACCAAGGCAGAGUAAUAAUUACGCCAAGCAAUGGAUCACUAAUGGCUUAGCACACAUAUAUAUUGUUUUUCACGACCCAAAAAGUCUUUUUUAAUUAUCCAAAAGUUCCUAUCAACUUUUCCUGUGUACUUGGUUGGUAAUGUGAAUUAUCAGUGUAUUUUUAAAAAAAUAUUUUUUUUAUUAUAAAUAUAAUAAACAAUAUUACUUUUUUACAUUAAGAGAGAGCAUGGUUACCUAUUGAGACGAAUCCAAGCUCACCGGCGUAACACAGACAACACUCUAAUAUAAACUAUUAAAAAAACUAAAAUAAACAACAAAAACAACAAUGAUUUGUGUAAACAACAUGUAAAAUAAUAGCUUAGUAGAACUGUAUCUACUUAGGCUAUGCUUUUAAAGGGCAUAGAGCUUGGAAAUGAGCUAAACUCAUAUUAUCUGGAAUUUAUCUGGAAUUGAUAUUUUAUCAAGCCUAGAAUAAUUUGGAUAUGAACAUAAACUUCACUCAUACUCAAACAUUAAAUUAUCCACCUACUUUUAAACCUUCUAAAAUAUAUAUAUAUACAUGGGCUCAAAAUUAUUUUUUCAAAAUAUGAUGUGCAGCAAGUCUAUGUGUUUAUAUAUAGUCUGUGCUCCUCGUCUGAUGGAAACUGUAUGUUAUUGGGGACUUUUCCCUUCUAUGCCUUGUUGGCUUAUAAUCUUAAUACUAAUAAGAAUUUCUAAUUAUGCUCAGGAUCAAUCUGGAAUUUUAUGUAUAAUUCAUUUUUAAUUCUGUUGAGGUACUAAUUUGUAAUUUUUUUAAAGUUCAGGGACUAAAUUAUAUUUAAGGACGCUAAAGGAAACUGACUUCUUUAAUUUUUCUCACUGCUGGGAGAAGCACCAAGGAAGCUUUAUGCAGGAGGGUGAAACAUCCUUAGCUGAAUGCUGACCGACCACAUUUUAAACAUAAGACCAUAGGUCAUUAAUUUGGUGUUUUAUAUGUAGAAAUUAAUUUUUAAAGUAUUUUUUAUUUAAAAAUAUAUCAAAUAAUAUAUAUUUUAUUUUUAAAUUUUUUAACACCAAUACUUUAAAACAAUUUUAAAAUAUCAAAAAAAUUAAUUUAAAAUAAAAAAUAUUUUAAAUUUUUUAAAAACACGAUUGUACUGAAAUAUAAAAUAGACUAAUAAAUAAGAGUGAGCGUUGAAAAUACAGCAAAAUUAAUUUGUGGAAAUCAUUGAUAUAAUGAUAAAUUGAGUGAGAAUAAUACCUCUUUCAGGAUUUUAAAAUAAAAUAAAAAAGCAAAAAUAAAAAACUGCAAUAUGUAUUCCCAUCACUAUUCACAGAAAGUAAGGCUCCAUGACCCGAAAGUCUUCAUUGCCGAGACUAUAUGUACAGGAACGACAGUAUUUGAUUUCCUAAUUACUGUUUACGGGUUGCUGAUUUUUCUUAAAUUAAUUCAUUCUUGUAGUGUUAAAAAUAAUUAAAUAGUUAUUUGACAAAUCUUGAUCAUGUUUAAUCUAGUAAUAUAUAUAUAUAUAUAUUUUUUUUUAAAUACUUCUCUUUCUUAUCAGUCUUUCAAUUUAUAUACUUUAAUUUAGUAAUAUUGUUUUUUAAAAUACUACUCUUUCUAUCAAUCUUUCAAUUUAUAUACUUUUGAUUUUUUCUAUUUUAAAUAAAAAAAAUAGAUAAAAUUAUAGUAUGAAAUAUAUAAAAAUUAUAAGUUAUAAAUCCAAUUAAAAAUAUAGAGAUUAAAUGUUUUGGUUUAUGAAACCAUUAGGACUAAGUUAUCAUUAACCCAAAAUAAAAAGAAAUGUAUGCAGAUGUCAAUUGCAACUCGCAUGUCGGAGAUAAUAUUUACGACUUUUCUAACAUAGAAAGACUUUUAUGCCAUCAAUUUCAUGCAAAAAAAAAAAAACAUCAAUUUGCACAAUCACAAAUAACUAGUUUUUCAACAUCAAAACACAAUUCACAUAAACAACAUGUAACAUAUUCAAUCGUAAAUAAAAAUUUGACUGACGAUUAACACAACAUAAAAUUUUAUAAAAAAUUAAACUAACAAUAUCUAUUCAAAAUUUUCAUAGCAUAUAAUAACAUGUAACUAUAUCUAAUUCUAUCUAGCUCAUAGAAGGGUAUGGAGCACUCGUGUACAGAUUUGGAGCAUCAGCUUAACUCUUCUAACUUGAGGACAUGUUUGUCAUUUGUGUAGGUGUGACAUCUUCCAACUUGAGACAUGUUUGUCAUCAUCCUCAUAUUCCCCCAUUAACUACAACUCUAUCAAUAUGAUGCUCAUCUUCAUCAUACUUGGUUCAGAUCUUCCAUAGCAAUAUGGAGGAGAUGUCAUGCCCAAUAGAGGUUCCAUAUUAAUGAUUUCUACAUCCAACCUUGUCUAUUAACAUUACCACAUAACCUAAUGGACUGGCUGUUUGUGAUGAUCGUGUUGUUCUCUGAGAGUUACUUGAAAAUCAUGUCAACUCCAUACUAGAAGAGCUUCAUCAUCUAUGUUUACUAUUCAAGUAGAGCUCUAACAUAUUAAUCCCAUUGAUCCUCGCAAAACCAAACAUUGAUUUCACACUUUUAUCACUAUAGAUUGGUAUACCGACAUAACGAGCUUGACUAACCCUGAUUUGCAACGUCCUCCAAGUAAUUUCAACUUCUAUUUUAAACAUGUUUCAGCCAAGUCGAUCACAUAACAUUCUUGAUAAUUCAUAAGGGACAUGUUUGAUGUAGUAAUUAGGAAUUCAUGACUUCCUUUAUUAUAAGUGAUACAAUUGUCAGUAUUGAUAGUGAUACUACCAUAAAAGUAUAAUAUUUCUAAAUUAUAAAUAUUCUUUCAAAUAACACAACAAAAUAUAAUUAUAAUUUAUUAAUAUUUAAGGUUAAUCAAAGUUCAUCAAUUAUCAACUAAAAAUAUAACAAAAAAAAAGAAAGAGAUGAGUGAUGUAGAGAGAGAUGCUGUGGUGAGGGGAAGAGGGGUGGUUUUGAGAACUUAAAAUUCAAAAUGAGUCGUGGUUAGUUUUUUAAUUAUUUUUUUAGCCGUGUUACUUUACCCUUUAUUUUAAUGUGUAAAAAAACUCCAAUAAUUGAACUUUAGUUUUCGUAUAAUGACCGGCUGUAAUUUGGUCAAAAAGAAUUAAAGAAAAACAGCCUUUUCCUCGACGUUUGAAUUGGAGCAGCGAAAGACCGUGUUCAUGAGCUCAUAAUUGAGUUGAAGAGGAGAAAUUUGGGGAGAAGGAUCGAUGAUUAAAUUGUUGGAUUAAAGUGCAAGGGAAACAUAAUGGAAAUGAGAAAUAUUUGAGUGAGGGAUAAUGAAUAAAAAAUAAAGUGGUUCGUAGACUUAGCUUUCUUGACUCAAAACUCAGCAAGACACAAUUAUAUGCAUGAAAAAUAAUGCAGCACUAAUGACUUUGCCUAUAUAUAUAUAUAUAUUUUUUUUUCAUGAUCCAAAAGUUUUCAUUGACUGGGAAUGGGAAACACCACUGUAUUGAUUUACAUUAUAGUUAAUUGGUGUUUCUUUCAUGAAGAAAAUUAAUUAAUCAUAUUAAAAUUUAUAUUAUUAAUCAUUUGACAAGUGUUGAUCAGUACAAUAAUCGAGAAAUUAAGUCAUAAAUACAGUUAAAAUUAUAGAGAUUUAAUGUAUAGUUUGCAAAAACUACGUACGUACCGGGUUAACUUAUAAAGAACUCAAAUAAAAAAGAAAUUUAUGCAAAGGCGCUGGUCCCCUAGCUAGGUUUCAAGGAUGAAGAAGUGCUUCUUAGGACCCGUUGAUAGAAAACUGUAUAAAAGUGAUUGCAAUUACAGAGAAACAAGAUAUUAAGAUUUUAGACGAAAGAGUGAUUAAAAGAGAAGGAGGAGGGGUGAGAAAUGGUGGAUUGGUAUUUUAGAAGAAUUAAAUGCAUUAAUCGAGAUUAAGUCACGUCUUUGGAUGAUUGAGGAUAAACCCGUAUUGGUCUGGUGUAUUUAGAGAAAUUGACAUGGAUGAAUCUAAUCAAAUUCGAAUUUGAAGAUAAUGGAAGUAUAAUUUAUAAAAGGGUCUAAAACACUAAUCAUAUUUUAUUACUAAUAAUUUACUCUACAUUGUUUAAAAGGAUUACAAUUCUUUUUAAACAAUGUAUUCAUGUAGUAGAAUACAUUACAUGUUUUAAGAUUAUGACUCUUAAUCUUAAUAUUGUAUUUAAGUAGCCUAAAUGUAUAUAUGUAGUUAGUUAUUACUUUUUAGUGAUGAAUUUUUUUUAUUUUUUAGAUUGUUUUAGCAAUACUUUUAUGUUGACUUAUUAAUUUAUAUUAUGAGCCUUGAAUAUAUUGGUAAGUAUAAAUAUUGAGAUAUUGUUUGAUGAAUGACAUGUGAUCCAGGAUGAUUGGAUCAAAAUGAAAGUGGAAUGAUAUAUAAGAAGUGCUGUCGAUAACUUGGUACAAACAAAAAUAGAAAAAACUCUGUAAAUUUUUUUUAUACAAAAAUCUCUAAUUUUAGACAUAUUAUUCAAUACUUGACAUUAAUAAAGAAAUGUUUGAAAUUUCAUGAUAUUAUAAUUUGAGGAUGUUACAUCAUGACUUUCUCUAUUAUAAGUGAUACAAUUAUUAGUAUUGACAAUGAUUCACUAUGAAAAUAUAAUAUUCUUAAAUUAUAGAUAUUUUAUCAAACAAUACAAUAAAAUAAAAUUCUAAUUUAUUAAUAUCUUGAGGUUAAUUAAAGUGUGUUGUAACCCAUUUUUGGGUCCCCGCAAAAAAAAAAAAAAAAAAAAAAUAGCCAAAGAAGGUUAGAAAAAUAACAGGAGGCCGAAGCGCUCGGAAAAUGGUCAGAAAAUUGGUCAAGGAGCAUAAAGAUACAAAGAUUGGAUUUUUGACAAUAUAUUCUUGAAGGAUGAGAACCCUAUUGAGAAGGAAAUUUUGAAUUUUGAGGAGAGAAGCCCAAAUUUAGAUGUUUAUGGGUUUAAUUGCUUUUUUUAUUGGAUUUAUAGGGGAUUUGAUUGCAAGAAAAAUUGAUUUUUUAAGUCAAUUUGGGCUUCAAAUUGAAGAAAUUUAAGUUCUGGGGCCAAAUUAUAAUUUUUAGGAUUUUAUUAAGUCAAAUCAGGGGCUUAAUUGCAUAAAUAUUGAAGUUUAAUGGCCAAUUAGGGGUUCAAUUGUGAAAAUCCGAAACCAGGGACCAAUUUGGAAAAGACGCAAAGAUAGGGGGUGUAACGCCCGGCGAUUUUGUAAGCAUUUAAAAUUAAUUUCCUACAAUUUGGUAUGUAAAAAUAAGAGUUUUUUUUUUUUUUUUUUUUUACACUGUAACGGAAUUUCUACCGAAAUUUUGGCAGAGCCUCCCCUAUACCGGGAGGUCCCAAGUUAUCAACAACUCAUCCUAUACAUAUCUCAUGUUCAUUCCAUCAUCAACGCAUAUCCAUAUCGCAUUGCGACCACAAUUAUUAUUAAUCAUAAUAUUUUGCAAAUCUAGGGAUUCAUUUCGAACAUAUAAUUUACAACACAAAAUAAUAGUAAUUAACUUGAUUAAAAACAUUAAUAUUACAAGCAUAAAUUCUAAAGGUCUCUAUGAUUAAGAUAAAGGAACACUAACAUUGUUCCUGUCAUAUAAUUAUCUAAAGAAAAUACAACAACGUCCAUUUCAUCCCAGAGUCACACAAAAGAAAUAAGGAUGCUAACCCUAAGCCAUACAAAAGGAUUGGACAUGCUAAUUCCUUAAUUCAUACAAAAGAACUAGACACCUAGGACACUACUCCUGACAGGAAUGACAAAGACCUGCAACAUCAAAAUAAAGGAAUAAUUAUAUUAAAUAAAUGAAAUACAACCAGAUAAUGGAGGGUCACCACUACAUGUAACUACGCAUAUGUGUACUAACUCGAUAGGGCAUAAUCAUAAUUGAUCCGCAAAAGAAGAUCCUUUACUACAUCUAACGCCUAUCCUUCCACAACCUACUUAUGGUUUCCUUUUCGAUUAUCAUACAUUAAUUUUUGUCUGAUUUACCCUUUUUCUUAUCCGCCCCAAAUUCUGAGGCAAUCGCUGCCGACACUAAUAACUCCUACUAGUGUCAUUAGUCACCCUUACCCGGAUAGACUAAUCAAUUCCUUAGCAAUGCCGGCACCAACUUAAUCGAUCGAUGCCAUUGAGCUAUUUCCAACCCAAAAUAGUCAAUCAAUUGCUCUCCAUCACUUGGAGAUGUUUCCGGAAAUGCCGAUGCCAAGUUCUCUUGACAUCAUUAACUUCCUCCUCAGGAAGUUAAUCAAGUUAUAAUGGGUUUGCCGAUACAGACAUUAUUUGUUUAGUAUCAUUAACUACUCGUGAUACGAAUAGUUAAUCAAGCUCAAUAUUCAUUAUAUUUCCAUCAAGGUCAUGCCGAUGUUAACAAUAUUGUUAACAUCAUUAGCCGCCCCUAUUCUAGGUCGGCUAAUCAAGUCCAUAGGCGGCCGUUUUUCUUUUUCACAUAUACAUAAUAUAGACCCAUAUCCGAACUCCGCAUCUCGGAGUCUACGACCAAAAUUCAGAUUUCAAAUCCAUGUUUGUUUCACCGUAUCUUUCCUUUUUUUUUUUAGUCAUAUUCACCGGGUGGGCAUAUUCAUAUAAUAAUAUUAUUUCUCGUGCUUGCAGGCAACAUUCACAUAGAAUUAGUAUUUGUUUCCUUGUCCGUAGGCAACAUUCACAUUGUAAUAACAUUUCUUGCUCAUUGGCAAUGUUCACACAAUAAUAAUAUUUCUCCUGCUUGUUGGUAACUUUCACGCAACAAUAUUUGUACUGCCCGUAGGCAGUGUUCACAUAGCAAUAUUUCUCAUGAUACACAUUAGUACAAAAUACACAUAAUGUCUAUCAUAUAACUAGCAUUACAAGAAUUUAAACAAUUUAAAGAAGCAAGGGGGCAACCCUUACCUUGAACUCCUGUUGUACUUGCACGUGAGAAAUCCGGUCCCACUCUGUAUGCUUCUCCUACAUUCCAGUAGAACAUCCUGAAUUAGUACUCAGACCCCUUUUCUGAUUCAUUCAUCACAUGUAUUAUUUCACAUGCCCAAUUAGUUUCGAAAACAAGUUCAUGAAUAAGCUAUUUUUAGUCAUCACUUUAAUUCAUUAAAUCAACAUCCAUUCUCACUAAUAUUAAAUGUCCAACCAACUCUUUCUUCUACCUUGGCCGAAUAUAGACCUUAUUUCUACAAUAAAUCCUUUUGUGUUUAUAUUCAAGAUAACAUUAUCAAUUCUCAUCUAUAUUGGCAUGAUAUAAUAUAUUCCACAUAUUUCAAGUCAAAUAGUAUUACCACACAUAUUACAUGUCCAUCAAAAUGAUCAAGAUUAUUAUUAUUAUUAUUAUUUUGCUAGAACUAUUCAUUAAGCACAACAACUAGAUGAAAGAACUUUCUUCCUUGAUAUGGCUACUUGCUAACAAUUCUUGGUCAAAACUUCCUAAACACUCAUGUUAAAUUUUCUUUUACUCAAUACCAAGCAUUGCUGAGCAUGUCAAAUGCCUUAAACCAUAACCCUUCCCAUGUUGUUUUCUUUUUGCCGAACAUGCUUAAAUGAAUUAUAAUGAAUUUUCUUCAAUUCCUUUCAUUAUCCACUCUAAGCAACAUUACCUCACCUAAACAUUUUCAUAUGGAUAUGAUCAUUAAUAAUUGUCUAUCUAGAGAUGUUCACAUUACAUAUAUAAUUUUAUUUGUGCCUCUUGCACAUUUUCUUCUUUCAAACUAAUACAUAUACCCACAAGUAUAUUCUUAUGGUUUCUUACUCCUUUCAUUGAACAAUGUAUAUUAAGAUGAUAUCAAUACUUCCUUUAAAAUAUUGUCACUAAAUGUUUAUUUCUAUUCUUCAUACAAGGUUAUUCAAAGUAAUCAUUUCUAUUUUUCAAGCAACAUUCACCAAACCAGAAUUUCUGCCUUGAAUUUCUUCUCUUGGCCGAAACUUGUGCUCCAUGUCCUCAUUAGUUCAUUCAUUUAAAUCACAUCAUUUUCUUCAUUUACAAUGUAUGUUAUCAUACAUAAAACAUAUACCAAUCUCUCAAACAAGAAAUUAUAAGGGAUUCAACAUUUAUUCAUACAAUUUCAAAGAACAUCCACACUUUUAACCUCUGUUCCAGCCCUGUUUUCCUUAAAUAUUUGUUCAAGAUCAUGAAUCAUUGAUAUAUAUCUUCAAUUUUCUCCUCCCCCCUUCAAGUCCCCUUAUGGCCGGCCCUAAUCUAGGGUUUUCUCCUUAGUUUACAUGAAGUUUUUCUUACUAUACAUUCUUUGAAAUUUGUUCUUUCCUUUAUAAAAUUUAUUGUUCACAAUAUUAGUUUUCAAAACAUUAAUAUGCACAAAAAUCCUAAGUUUUCAUUUGGGUUGUUCACCCUUUUCAACAAAGCUCACUCAAGACAACAAUGGAGAUUGAAGGGUUUUUCUUACCAUAUGAAUUAAGCAAGGAUUAAGGAUGAUUUUUUUUUUUGACAACUCUAUACGUGUUCUUCUUGUUCUCUUCCUUGGUUGAUUCUUCUCCCCCUCUUUCUGCCUUUAGCCGUGAAUCUCUCUCUCUCUCUUUCUACAUCUCUAUUUUGUGGUCUUUCUCCUCACUUUCACUCUUCAUUCACUCUAGCACCGUAUGGAUGAAAUGCAAGAGAACACUUUGCUGGAUAUUUUGUAAGAGAGGGGGCUGCUAGGGGCUGUCUUGGCCGGCAAUAAUGGGAGAGGUAAAGUGACAAUCUUUUCUCCCAACUACUUGUACUCCCUCAUAAAUGAAAUUAGGCCUUGUUUGGUUUGGUUGUUUUUUUUUUCCAAGGCCGGUUAUUACAUUUAUUUUAGGUUGAUAACCGGGUCAAAUCUUCCCUUACAUGCUCUUCUCCAAAACUCACUCAUUUCACUUUUAUUAUUAUUUUACUCUUUCUUAUAUAUAUUAUUCACACUUAUUGACUGUUACAAAGUUGUUGUUGGGUGAAACUUUUAAAUGGGUUUCAUGUCAGGUUUUAUAAAAGAAAACUUCAUCUCUUAAAACUCGUCUUCAUUUUUGCUAAUAUUAUAAAUUUUAAUCCAAAAUUUAUAACGUUCAUUAUGACUUCCACCAUACUUUUAAAUUUAUCUAUAGAGCUUAUUCUCUCUCUUACCCGUUGUAUUUAUUAUUAUUUCUAUUAUUUAUUCAUUUCUUUUAAUAUUAAGUCUUCAUUACUCAUUGGGGUCAUUCUUUUUUCUUUUUUUUUCUUUUUUUUUUUUUCUGCGAUCCUAUGUUCAUGCGAGGGUUUACAUUCUUCCCUCCUUGUAAAAUUUCGUCCUCGAAAUUUUGUCUCUUGUUUAAACUUAACUCCAAAUUUAACUCAUUAUAUACUUAUCUCAUCCUCACUAUUUCCUUUCAACCAUGUUUCUUCUGUGUGCGUAGAUUUGGGCACCUAUAAGCAUCUACUUGCUCUGAUCUUGGUGUACGGGGUUUUUUUUUUUUUUUUUUUUUUUUCAACCAUUAUGAUCUCACCAUUACACCGUAAAGAACUUAAUUAAACUGUACUAUUAUGUGUUGUUUAUAGCAGUAAUCCUUAUGUAGAAUCCCACCAUUAAAGCUAUUAUCUUCUUCAUACGAUUAUAUUAGUAGGAUUCAACCACCAUUCUUACACUAACAAGACAUCAUUAUAGCCUUUAAUCGCACAUCAUCAUGCUAUUUAGCAUAAUCUCUGUUUGUCCGUAGCUUAUUUAUCAGACAAUUGCCUCAAAAUAAUGAUUUUUUCUUCCUCACCCCACACACACUCUCUUAAACAUCAAAAGGGGAAGGUCAUGUAAGGGAGUUCUGAUGGAGAAAACACAAGAAGAGGGGUGCUCUUGGGAGCUGUCUGGUUGGCCCUGUUUGGGAGAGGAAGAGUCAAUUUCUUUUGACUCGUGGUAUUUAUAUCUCCCCUUAAAUAAACCGAGGCCUUGUUUCAUCUUGAUGCACGUCGCUCCAGUUAUUAAACCCUUCUCAUACUUGUAAUAUUACUAUAUACGAUCAUCGUUGGCUUAGUUUUAUGUAGUAUAACGAAUCUUAUCCCUUUUUUUUUUUUUUUUUUAUGUUUUAAAUACUCUUAUCCGACACUCGCUGGUUACAUCCCGUGUCAUAAAUUUUCAUUUUCUUUUCUCUAGUCUAUUUUAAACAAAUUCAACAGCAGGUUUCCUCGUAAUUUCAACAUAUUGGUCCCUUCUAUAACUUAUUUUCCCACCAAUUGUGUUUUCCCACGGAACAAUUAAACACCUACUAACAUCAUUCCAUCCUAAUCAAUAUGGCUUAAACCUUUUUCUAUACCUCUACAGUCGAAACCCAAAUCAAGAACCAUGGGUUUCUCCUCUUCUUUCCUUAUCCUUUCCAAACCCAAUACAUGUUCAUUGCACUAUAUAGUGGUAUAGUAAUUUUAUUUAUUCAUUGAUCAUGCAUCACUCAUUCUAUAAAUUCCCUUCGAAGAUGAUACUUCAUUGGAAUUUAUGUUUUGACACUCAUUACAACAUGUAAUUCUAUGUUCCUUCUAGUUCGCAUCAUCCAAUGACAUGUAUUAUAUACGUGUUGUUAGAUUAACUAAGAAAAUAAUCAUGAUCGUGGUUGUUGUUGUUGUUUUUUUUUUUUUUUUUUCCAGAAUGUAAGUAUGUAUUAAGAUCAAAAGUAACCAUACCAGAUAAUUAGAAAGUUCAAGUUCAUAUACAUAUACGAAAUAUAAUGAAAACUAAAAGGGAACAAACUCCCAAUUAGAACAGAACCGAAUACAGCCAGGUCAUACAUGCAUUUGCCAACUAUCCGGGAAGCAGUGAAUGAGAAGCAAAUAUAUGGUAUUCAAUAAAAACAAAGAGGGAACAUGCUCCCAGCAAAAGGCUAGACACGCAAGGCCAAACAUCCCAUGGUGAGCAGCAAAAGGUUAAGGAAGAAACCAAACAAGGAUUGCAGGUGUUAAAAUUAACCCAAUCAGCAUCAGUAGACAAAAGUGAGGCAUUAUCCACAGCAGCAGCAACAACAAUAGAAGCUAGAGCAUGGAGCAAGUAAUGAACAACGCUGAGCACAAGGAAGCCCGACUACAAAAGAAGCAGCUAGAACACACGCAGAAAUGGAUGAAGCGGCCAUAUAAAUCAAUCCAGCAGCAGAGUUCUCAAAGCCGAAUGAUGAGAAGGCAGCAGCAAUCAUCACCUGCAACAGUUACCCCAACAGACCAGCAGAACGGCUGGAAGAUGAAGGGAUACCUAUGAAUGCUCCAGAUGGAGCGCCACUAGAACAAAACAGAGACAGCAGAAAUAUUUGCAAAAGGCAGCAAUAAUAGCAUGAUGCAGGCCCAGUGACCUGCACCAGCAGCAGAAAAAAUGGCACCAGUAGGAGACAGCAGCAUCCAGGCUAUAAAAGCCAAAGCUGACCAGGACAUCAGCAUCCCUACCAAAACAGAAAUGCUCCAGAGACCACGCAACAUGUGGCAACAACAGACACACAGGACUAUUAGCUGUCCAGCAUAUGAGCAGGCUCUCAUAUGCCAAUGGCGAAGGAAGAGUCAACCAGAACUACAUCAUUGAAAUAAAAGCAAGCCAUGCAGCUGCAGCAGAGGCCAGAGCAUAACCACAACAGCCCGACAAGAGUCAGUAGUAAGACUCUGCAUCAGCCAACAUUGAUAAGAAAUGAUUCUGUUCAUGAAAGUGUAAGACCAUAUAGAAUAAAACUUGAAAUUUGCGAAAGACAUCAGCAUCUGAAUGGCAAGUGCAUUCAACCACCAUUCUUUCUUUCUUUCUUUCUUUUUUUCCUGGUUCUGAGGUUGAUACUUCAAAAGGUAAGUUCAUCGUUUAUUCCAGUCAUAUGUUAACCUUUGCCCCAUAUCAAUAAUACCCGUAUGAAACUUUUACCAUCCAUUAUGUCCUGUACCUAUUUUAGAAUUCAUUAUAUUCCUAGUUACAACCCUUUUUAUACUACUCUUUGAGCAAGACUUGGCACAAUUAUUGCUUUAAGUAUGAAAUACCAGAAACAGGUCCACUUCCCAUGCACAUUUUGAGACACACCUUGAUUCAACUUAUUAGUCACAAUAACAUUUAUUUGUGCCUAGACAAUUAAGUAUUCACUGUAAUCUUCAUACAUUUUCAUUUCUCCCCAAUCCCUUUCAUUAGGACAUCUAACAUCGUAUUGUAUCACUAUUUCAUUGAUAUUCUGGUUUUGUUCCAUUUCAGGAAUUCCAACUAUCAUCUGUCACAUUAUCAAGCAAGUUUCCAACAUUUAACAUUUUUUACUGAUACCACCGUCACACAUUGAUAAUUCAUUUCUUUAUUUACCAGCUUCACGACAAUCAAGCAUCACUUUUUUUUUUUUUUUUUGCUAGUAUUAUAAGCAUAUAUAUAACCCAAAGAUCAUUCGUGCUAUCACGAGAUAUAUAGUUAGUCACACCCUUCAUGAUAUUUAGUCUACUGAAUCAUAACCACGCUCUGAUACCAAUUGUAACGCCCGGCGAUUUUGUAAGCAUUUAAAAUUAAUUUCCUACAAUUUGGUAUGUAAAAAUAAGAGUUUUUUUUUUUUUUUUUUUUUACACUGUAACGGAAUUUCUACCGAAAUUUUGGCAGAGCCUCCCCUAUACCGGGGUCCCAAGUUAUCAACAACUCAUCCUAUACAUAUCUCAUGUUCAUUCCAUCAUCAACGCAUAUCCAUAUCGCAUUGCGACCACAAUUAUUAUUAAUCAUAAUAUUUUGCAAAUCUAGGAUUCAUUUCGAACAUAUAAUUUACAACACAAAAUAAUAGUAAUAACUUGAUUAAAAACAUUAAUAUUACAAGCAUAAAUUCUAAAGGUCUCUAUGAUUAAGAUAAAGGAACACUAACAUUGUUCCUGUCAUAUAAUUAUCUAAAGAAAAUACAACAACGUCCAUUUCAUCCCAGAGUCACACAAAAGAAAUAAGGAUGCUAACCCUAAGCCAUACAAAAGGAUUGGACAUGCUAAUUCCUUAAUUCAUACAAAAGAACUAGACACCUAGGACACUACUCCUGACAGGAAUGACAAAGACCUGCAACAUCAAAAUAAAGAAUAAUUAUAUUAAAUAAAUGAAAUACAACCAGAUAAUGGAGGGUCACCACUACAUGUAACUACGCAUAUGUGUACUAACUCGAUAGGGCAUAAUCAUAAUUGAUCCGCAAAAGAAGAUCCUUUACUACAUCUAACGCCUAUCCUUCCACAACCUACUUAUGGUUUCCUUUUCGAUUAUCAUACAUUAAUUUUUGUCUGAUUUACCCUUUUUCUUAUCCGCCCCAAAUUCUGAGGCAAUCGCUGCCGACACUAAUAACUCCUACUAGUGUCAUUAGUCACCCUUACCCGGAUAGACUAAUCAAUUCCUUAGCAAUGCCGGCACCAACUUAAUCGAUCGAUGCCAUUGAGCUAUUUCCAACCCAAAUAGUCAAUCAAUUGCUCUCCAUCACUUGGAGAUGUUUCCGGAAAUGCCGAUGCCAAGUUCUCUUGACAUCAUUAACUUCCUCCUCAGGAAGUUAAUCAAGUUAUAAUGGGUUUGCCGAUACAGACAUUAUUUGUUAGUAUCAUUAACUACUCGUGAUACGAAUAGUUAAUCAAGCUCAAUAUUCAUUAUAUUUCCAUCAAGGUCAUGCCGAUGUUAACAAUAUUUGUUAACAUCAUUAGCCGCCCCUAUUCUAGGUCGGCUAAUCAAGUCCAUAGGCGGCCGUUUUUCUUUUUCACAUAUACAUAAUAUAGACCCAUAUCCGAACUCCGCAUCUCGGAGUCUACGACCAAAAUUCAGAUUUCAAAUCCAUGUUUGUUUCACCGUAUCUUUCCUUUUUUUUAGUCAUAUUCACCGGGUGGGCAUAUUCAUAUAAUAAUAAUAUUAUUUCUCGUGCUUGUAGGCAACAUUCACAUAGAAUUAGUAUUUGUUUCCUUGUCCGUAGGCAACAUUCACAUUGUAAUAACAUUUCUUGCUCAUUGGCAAUGUUCACACAAUAAUAAUAUUUCUCCUACUUGUUGGUAACUUUCACGCAACAAUAUUUGUACUGCCCGUAGGCAGUGUUCACAUAGCAAUAUUUCUCAUGAUACACAUUAGUACAAAAUACACAUAAUGUCUAUCAUAUAACUAGCAUUACAAGAAUUUAAACAAUUUAAAGAAGCAAGGGGGCAACCCUUACCUUGAACUCCUGUUGUACUUGCACGUGAGAAAUCCGGUCCCACUCUGUAUGCUUCUCCUACAUUCCAGUAGAACAUCCUGAAUUAGUACUCAGACCCCUUUUCUGAUUCAUUCAUCAUAUGUAUUAUUUCACAUGCCCAAUUAGUUUCGAAAACAAGUUCAUGAAUAAGCUAUUUUUAGUCAUCACUUUAAUUCAUUAAAUCAACAUCCAUUCUCACUAAUAUUAAAUGUCCAACCAACUCUUUCUUCUACCUUGGCCGAAUAUAGACCUUAUUUCUACAAUAAAUCCUUUUGUGUUUAUAUUCAAGAUAACAUUAUCAAUUCUCAUCUAUAUUGGCAUGAUAUAAUAUAUUCCACAUAUUUCAAGUCAAAUAGUAUUACCACACAUAUUACAUGUCCAUCAAAAUGAUCAAGAUUAUUAUUAUUAUUAUUAUUUUGCUAGAACUAUUCAUUAAGCACAACAACUAGAUGAAAGAACUUUCUUCCUUGAUAUGGCUACUUGCUAACAAUUCUUGGUCAAAACUUCCUAAACACUCAUGUUAAAUUUUCUUUUACUCAAUACCAAGCAUUGCUGAGCAUGUCAAAUGCCUUAAACCAUAACCCUUCCCAUGUUGUUUUCUUUUUGCCGAACAUGCUUAAAUGAAUUAUAAUGAAUUUUCUUCAAUUCCUUUCAUUAUCCACUCUAAGCAACAUUACCUCACCUAAACAUUUUCAUAUGGAUAUGAUCAUUAAUAAUUGUCUAUCUAGAGAUGUUCACAUUACAUAUAUAAUUUUAUUUGUGCCUCUUGCACAUUUUUCUUUCAAACUAAUACAUAUACCCACAAGUAUAUUCUUAUGGUUUCUUACUCCUUUCAUUGAACAAUGUAUAUUAAGAUGAUAUCAAUACUUCCUUUAAAAUAUUGUCACUAAAUGUUUAUUUCUAUUCUUCAUACAAGGUUAUUCAAAGCAAUCAUUUCUAUUUUUCAAGCAACAUUCACCAAACCAGAAUUUCUGCCUUGAAUUUCUUCUCUUGGCCGAAACUUGUGCUCCAUGUCCUCAUUAGUUCAUUCAUUUAAAUCACAUCAUUUUCUUCAUUUACAAUGUAUGUUAUCAUACAUAAAACAUAUACCAAUCUCUCAAACAAGAAAUUAUAAGGGAUUCAACAUUUAUUCAUACAAUUUCAAAGAACAUCAACACUUUUAACUUCUGUUCCAGCCCUGUUUUCCUUAAAUAUUUGUUCAAGAUCAUAAAUUAUUGAAAUAUAUCUUUAAUUUUCUCCUCCCCCCUUCAAGUCCCCUUAUGGCCGGCCCUAAUCUAGGGUUUUCUCCUUAGUUUACAUGAAGUUUUUCUUACCAUACAUUCUUUGAAAUUUGUUCUUUCCUUUAUAAAAUUUAUUGUUCACAAUAUUAGUUUUCAAAACAUUAAUAUGCACAAAAAUCCUAAGUUUUCAUUUGGGUUGUUCACCCUUUUCAACAAAGCUCACUCAAGACAACAAUGGAGAUUGAAGGGUUUUUCUUACCAUAUGAAUUAAGCAAGGAUUAAGGAUGAUUUUUUUUGACAACUCUAUACGUGUUCUUCUUGUUCUCUUCCUUGGUUGAUUCUUCUCCCCCUCUUUCUGCCUUUAGCCGUGAAUCUCUCUCUCUCUCUUUCUACAUCUCUAUUUUGUGGUCUUUCUCCUCACUUUCACUCUUCAUUCACUCUAGCACCGUAUGGAUGAAAUGCAAGAGAACACUUUGCUGGAUAUUUUGUAAGAGAGGGGGCUGCUAGGGGCUGUCUUGGCCGGCAAUAAUGGGAGAGGUAAAGUGACAAUCUUUUCUCCCAACUACUUGUACUCCCUCAUAAAUGAAAUUAGGCCUUGUUUGGUUUGGUUGUUUUUUUUUUUUUCAAAGCCGGUUAUUACAUUUAUUUUGGGUUGAUAACCGGGUCAAAUCUUCCCUUACAUGCUCUUCUCCAAAACUCACUCAUUUCACUUUUAUUAUUAUUUUACUCUUUCUUAUAUAUAUUAUUCACACUUAUUGACUGUUACAAAGUUGUUGUUGGGUGAAACUUUUAAAUGGGUUUCAUGUCAGGUUUUAUAAAAGAAAACUUCAUCUCUUAAAACUCGUCUUCAUUUUUGCUAAUAUUAUAAAUUUUAAUCCAAAAUUUAUAACGUUCAUUAUGACUUCCACCAUACUUUUAAAUUUAUCUAUAGAGCUUAUUCUCUCUCUUACCCGUUGUAUUUAUUAUUAUUUCUAUUAUUUAUUCAUUUCUUUUAAUAUUAAGUCUUCAUUACUCAUUGGGGUCAUUCUUUUUUUUUUUCUUUUUUUUUCUUUUUUUUUUUUCUGCGAUCCUAUGUUCAUGCGAGGGUUUACAUUCUUCCCUCCUUGUAAAAUUUCGUCCUCGAAAUUUUGUCUCUUGUUUAAACUUAACUCCAAAUUUAACUCAUUAUAUACUUAUCUCAUCCUCACUAUUUCCUUUCAACCAUGUUUCUUCUGUGUGCGUAGAUUUGGGCACCUAUAAGCAUCUACUUGCUCUGAUCUUGGUGUACGGGGUUUUUUUUUUUUUUUUUUUUUUUUUCAACCAUUAUGAUCUCACCAUUACACCGUAAAGAACUUAAUUAAACUGUACUAUUAUGUGUUGUUUAUAGCAGUAAUCCUUAUGUAGAAUCCCCCAUUAAAGCUAUUAUCUUCUUCAUACGAUUAUAUUAGUAGGAUUCAACCACCAUUCUUACACUAACAAGACAUCAUUAUAGCCUUUAAUCGCACAUCAUCAUGCUAUUUAGCAUAAUCUCUGUUUGUCCGUAGCUUAUUUAUCAGACAAUUGCCUCAAAAUAAUGAUUUUUUCUUCCUCACCCCACACACACUCUCUUAAACAUCAAAAGGGGAAGGUCAUGUAAGGGAGUUCUGAUGGAGAAAACACAAGAAGAGGGGUGCUCUUGGGAGCUGUCUGGUUGGCCCUGUUUGGGAGAGGAAGAGUCAAUUUCUUUUGACUCGUGGUAUUUAUAUCUCCCCUUAAAUAAACCGAGGCCUUGUUUCAUCUUGAUGCACGUCGCUCCAGUUAUUAAACCCUUCUCAUACUUGUAAUAUUACUAUAUACGAUCAUCGUUGGCUUAGUUUUAUGUAGUAUAACGAAUCUUAUCCCUUUUUUUUUUUUUUUUUUAUGUUUUAAAUACUCUUAUCCGACACUCGCUGGUUACAUCCCGUGUCAUAAAUUUUCAUUUUCUUUUCUCUAGUCUAUUUUAAACAAAUUCAACAGCAGGUUUCCUCGUAAUUUCAACAUAUUGGUCCCUUCUAUAACUUAUUUUCCACCAAUUGUGUUUUCCCACGGAAAUUAAACACCUACUAACAUCAUUCCAUCCUAAUCAAUAUGGCUUAAACCUUUUUCUAUACCUCUACAGUCGAAACCCAAAUCAAGAACCAUGGGUUUCUCCUCUUCUUUCCUUAUCCUUUCCAAACCCAAUACAUGUUCAUUGCACUAUAUAGUGGUAUAGUAAUUUUAUUUAUUCAUUGAUCAUGCAUCACUCAUUCUAUAAAUUCCCUUCGAAGAUGAUACUUCAUUGGAAUUUAUGUUUUGACACUCAUUACAACAUGUAAUUCUAUGUUCCUUCUAGUUCGCAUCAUCCAAUGACAUGUAUUAUAUACGUGUUGUUAGAUUAACUAAGAAAAUAAUCAUGAUCGUGGUUGUUGUUGUUGUUUUUUUUUUUUUUUUUUUUCCAGAAUGUAAGUAUGUAUUAAGAUCAAAAGUAACCAUACCAGAUAAUUAGAAAGUUCAAGUUCAUAUACAUAUACGAAUAUAAUGAAAACUAAAAGGGAACAAACUCCCAAUUAGAACAGAACCGAAUACAGCCAGGUCAUACAUGCAUUUGCCAACUAUCCGGGAAGCAGUGAAUGAGCAAAUAUAUGGUAUUCCAAUAAAAACAAGAGGGAACAUGCUCCCAGCAAAAGGCUAGACACGCAAGGCCAAACAUCCCAUGGUGAGCAGCAAAAGGUUAAGGAAGAAACCAAACAAGGAUUGCAGGUGUUAAAUUAACCCAAUCAGCAUCAGUAGACAAAAGUGAGGCAUUAUCCACAGCAGCAGCAACAACAAUAGAAGCUAGAGCAUGGAGCAAGUAAUGAACAACGCUGAGCACAAGGAAGCCCGACUACAAAGAAGCAGCUAGAACACGCAGAAAUGGAUGAAGCGGCCAUAUAAUCAAUCCAGCAGCAGAGUUUCUCAAAGCCGAAUGAUGAGAAGGCAGCAGCAAUCAUCACCUGCAACAGUUACCCACAACAGACCAGCAAACGGCUGGAAGAUGAAGGGAUACCUAUGAAUGCUCCAGAUGGAGCGCCACUAGAACAAAACAGAGACAGCAGAAAUAUUUGCAAAAGGCAGCAAUAAUAGCAUGAUGCAGGCCCAGUGACCUGCACCAGCAGCAGAAAAAAUGGCACCAGUAGGAGCAGCAGCAUCCAGGCUAUAAAAGCCAAAGCUGACCAGGACAUCAGCAUCCCUACCAAAACAGAAAUGCUCCAGAGACCACGCAACAUGUGGCAACAACAGACACACAGGACUAUUAGCUGUCCAGCAUAUGAGCAGGCUCUCAUAUGCAAUGGCGAAGGAAGAGUCAACCAGAACUACAUCAUUGAAAAAAGCAAGCCAUGCAGCUGCAGCAGAGGCCAGAGCAUAACCACAACAGCCCGACAAGAGUCAGUAGUAAGACUCUGCAUCAGCCAACAUUGAUAAGAAAUGAUUCUGUUCAUGAAAGUGUAAGACCAUAUAGAAUAAAACUUGAAAUUUGCGAAAGACAUCAGCAUCUGAAUGGCAAGUGCAUUCAACCACCAUUCUUUCUUUCUUUCUUUCUUUUUUUCCUGGUUCUGAGGUUGAUACUUCAAAAGGUAAGUUCAUCGUUUAUUCCAGUCAUAUGUUAACCUUUGCCCCAUAUCAAUAAUACCCGUAUGAAACUUUUACCAUCCAUUAUUCCUGUACCUAUUUUAGAAUUCAUUAUUUCCUAGUUACAACCCUUUUAUACUACUCUUUGAGCAAGACUUGGCACAAUUAUUGCUUUAAGUAUGAAAUACCAGAAACAGGUCCACUUCCCAUGCACAUUUUGAGACACACCUUGAUUCAACUUAUUAGUCACAAUAACAUUUAUUUGUGCCUAGACAAUUAAGUAUUCACUGUAAUCUUCAUACAUUUUCAUUUCUCCCCAAUCCCUUUCAUUAGGACAUCUAACAUCGUAUUGUAUCACUAUUUCAUUGAUAUUCUGGUUUUGUUCCAUUUCAGGAAUUCCAACUAUCAUCUGUCACAUUAUCAAGCAAGUUUCCAACAUUUAACAUUUUUUACUGAUACCACCGUCACACAUUGAUAAUUCAUUUCUUUAUUUACCAGCUUCACGACAAUCAAGCAUCACUUUUUUUUUUUUUUUUGCUAGUAUUAUAAGCAUAUAUAUAACCCAAAGAUCAUUCGUGCUAUCACGAGAUAUAUAGUUAGUCACACCCUUCAUGAUAUUUAGUCUACUGAAUCAUAACCACGCUCUGAUACCAAUUGUAACGCCCGGCGAUUUUGUAAGCAUUUAAAAUUAAUUUCCUACAAUUUGGUAUGUAAAAAUAAGAGUUUUUUUUUUUUUUUUUUUUUUUACACUGUAACGGAAUUUCUACCGAAAUUUUGGCAGAGCCUCCCCUAUACCGGGAGGUCCCAAGUUAUCAACAACUCAUCCUAUACAUAUCUCAUGUUCAUUCCAUCAUCAACGCAUAUCCAUAUCGCAUUGCGACCACAAUUAUUAUUAAUCAUAAUAUUUUGCAAAUCUAGGGAUUCAUUUCGAACAUAUAAUUUACAACACAAAAUAAUAGUAAUUAACUUGAUUAAAAACAUUAAUAUUACAAGCAUAAAUUCUAAAGGUCUCUAUGAUUAAGAUAAAGGAACACUAACAUUAUUCCUGUCAUAUAAUUAUCUAAAGAAAAUACAACAACGUCCAUUUCAUCCCAGAGUCACACAAAAGAAAUAAGGAUGCUAACCCUAAGCCAUACAAAAGGAUUGGACAUGCUAAUUCCUUAAUUCAUACAAAAGAACUAGACACCUAGGACACUACUCCUGACAGGAAUGACAAAGACCUGCAACAUCAAAAUAAAGGAAUAAUUAUAUUAAAUAAAUGAAAUACAACCAGAUAAUGGAGGGUCACCACUACAUGUAACUACGCAUAUGUGUACUAACUCGAUAGGGCAUAAUCAUAAUUGAUCCGCAAAAGAAGAUCCUUUACUACAUCUAACGCCUAUCCUUCCACAACCUACUUAUGGUUUCCUUUUCGAUUAUCAUACAUUAAUUUUUGUCUGAUUUACCCUUUUUCUUAUCCGCCCCAAAUUCUGAGGCAAUCGCUGCCGACACUAAUAACUCCUACUAGUGUCAUUAGUCACCCUUACCCGGAUAGACUAAUCAAUUCCUUAGCAAUGCCGGCACCAACUUAAUCGAUCGAUGCCAUUGAGCUAUUUCCAACCCAAAAUAGUCAAUCAAUUGCUCUCCAUCACUUGGAGAUGUUUCCGGAAAUGCCGAUGCCAAGUUCUCUUGACAUCAUUAACUUCCUCCUCAGGAAGUUAAUCAAGUUAUAAUGGGUUUGCCGAUACAGACAUUAUUUGUUAGUAUCAUUAACUACUCGUGAUACGAAUAGUUAAUCAAGCUCAAUAUUCAUUAUAUUUCCAUCAAGGUCAUGCCGAUGUUAACAAUAUUUGUUAACAUCAUUAGCCGCCCCUAUUCUAGGUCGGCUAAUCAAGUCCAUAGGCGGCCGUUUUUCUUUUUCACAUAUACAUAAUAUAGACCCAUAUCCGAACUCCGCAUCUCGGAGUCUACGACCAAAAUUCAGAUUUCAAAUCCAUGUUUGUUUCACCGUAUCUUUCCUUUUUUUUUUUAGUCAUAUUCACCGGGUGGGCAUAUUCAUAUAAUAAUAUUAUUUCUCGUGCUUGCAGGCAACAUUCACAUAGUAGAAUUAGUAUUUGUUUCCUUGUCCGUAGGCAACAUUCACAUUGUAAUAACAUUUCUUGCUCAUUGGCAAUGUUCACACAAUAAUAAUAUUUCUCCUGCUUGUUGGUAACUUUCACGCAACAAUAUUUGUACUGCCCGUAGGCAGUGUUCACAUAGCAAUAUUUCUCAUGAUACACAUUAGUACAAAUACAUAAUGUCUAUCAUAUAACUAGCAUUACAAGAAUUUAAACAAUUUAAAGAAGCAAGGGGGCAACCCUUACCUUGAACUCCUGUUGUACUUGCACGUGAGAAAUCCGGUCCCACUCUGUAUGCUUCUCCUACAUUCCAGUAGAACAUCCUGAAUUAGUACUCAGACCCUUUUCUGAUUCAUUCAUCACAUGUAUAUUUCACAUGCCCAAUUAGUUUUGAAAACAAGUUCAUGAAUAAGCUAUUUUUAGUCAUCACUUUAAUUCAUUAAAUCAACAUCCAUUCUCACUAAUAUUAAAUGUCCAACAACUCUUUCUUCUACCUUGGCCGAAUAUAGACCUUAUUUCUACAAUAAAUCCUUUUGUGUUUAUAUUCAAGAUAACAUUAUCAAUUCUCAUCUAUAUUGGCAUGAUAUAUAUAUUCCACAUAUUUCAAGUCAAAUAGUAUUACCACACAUAUUACAUGUCUAUCAAAAUGAUCAAGAUUAUUAUUAUUAUUAUUAUUUUUUGCUAGAACUAUUCAUUAAGCACAACAACUAGAUGAAAUAACUUUCUUCCUUGAUAUGGCUACUUGCUAACAAUUUUGGUCAAAACUUCCUAAACACUCAUGUUAAAUUUUCUUUUACUCAAUACCAAGCAUUGCUGAGCAUGUCAAAUGCCUUAAACCAUAACCCUUCCCAUGUUGUUUUCUUUUUGCCGAACAUGCUUAAAUGAAUUAUAAUGAAUUUUCUUCAAUUCCUUUCAUUAUCCACUCUAAGCAACAUUACCUCACCUAAACAUUUUCAUAUGGAUAUGAUCAUUAAUAAUUGUCUAUCUAGAGAUGUUCACAUUACAUAUAUAAUUUUAUUUGUGCCUCUUGCACAUUUUCUUCUUUCAAACUAAUACAUAUACCCACAAGUAUAUUCUUAUGGUUUCUUACUCCUUUCAUUGAACAAUGUAUAUUAAGAUGAUAUCAAUACUUCCUUUAAAAUAUUGUCACUAAAUGUUUAUUUCUAUUCUUCAUACAAGGUUAUUCAAAGUAAUCAUUUCUAUUUUUCAAGCAACAUUCACCAAACCAGAAUUUCUGCCUUGAAUUUCUUCUCUUGGCCGAAACUUGUGCUCCAUGUCCUCAUUAGUUCAUUCAUUUAAAUCACAUCAUUUUCUUCAUUUACAAUGUAUGUUAUCAUACAUAAAACAUAUACCAAUCUCUCAAACAAGAAAUUAUAAGGGAUUCAACAUUUAUUCAUACAAUUUCAAAGAACAUCCACACUUUUAACCUCUGUUCCAGCCCUGUUUUCCUAAAUAUUUGUUCAAGAUCAUGAAUCAUUGAUAUAUAUCUUCAAUUUUCUCCUCCCCCCUUCAAUCCCCUUAUGGCCGGCCCUAAUCUAGGGUUUUCUCCUUAGUUUACAUGAAGUUUUUCUUACUAUACAUUCUUUGAAAUUUGUUCUUUCCUUUAUAAAAUUUAUUGUUCACAAUAUUAGUUUUCAAAACAUUAAUAUGCACAAAAUCCUAAGUUUUCAUUUGGGUUGUUCACCCUUUUCAACAAAGCUCACUCAAGACAACAAUGGAGAUUGAAGGGUUUUUCUUACCAUAUGAAUUAAGCAAGGAUUAAGGAUGAUUUUUUUUUUUGACAACUCUAUACGUGUUCUUCUUGUUCUCUUCCUUGGUUGAUUCUUCUCCCCUCUUUCUGCUUUAGCCGUGAAUCUCUCUCUCUCUUUCUACAUCUCUAUUUUGUGGUCUUUCUCCUCACUUUCACUCUUCAUUCACUCUAGCACCGUAUGGAUGAAAUGCAAGAGAACACUUUGCUGGAUAUUUUGUAAGAGAGGGGGCUGCUAGGGCUGUCUUGGCCGGCAAUAAUGGGAGAGGUAAAGUGACAAUCUUUUCUCCCAACUACUUGUACUCCCUCAUAAAUGAAAUUAGGCCUUGUUUGGUUUGGUUGUUUUUUUUUUUCCAAGGCCGGUUAUUACAUUUAUUUUAGGUUGAUAACCGGGUCAAAUCUUCCCUUACAUGCUCUUCUCCAAAACUCACUCAUUUCACUUUUAUUAUUAUUUUACUCUUUCUUAUAUAUAUUAUUCACACUUAUUGACUGUUACAAAGUUGUUGUUGGGUGAAACUUUUAAAUGGGUUUCAUGUCAGGUUUUAUAAAAGAAAACUUCAUCUCUUAAAACUCGUCUUCAUUUUUGCUAAUAUUAUAAAUUUUAAUCCAAAAUUUAUAACGUUCAUUAUGACUUCCACCAUACUUUUAAAUUUAUCUAUAGAGCUUAUUCUCUCUCUUACCCGUUGUAUUUAUUAUUAUUUCUAUUAUUUAUUCAUUUCUUUUAAUAUUAAGUCUUCAUUACUCAUUGGGGUCAUUCUUUUUUUUUCUUUUUUUUUCUUUUUUUUUUUUCUGCGAUCCUAUGUUCAUGCGAGGGUUUACAUUCUUCCCUCCUUGUAAAAUUUCGUCCUCGAAAUUUUGUCUCUUGUUUAAACUUAACUCCAAAUUUAACUCAUUAUAUACUUAUCUCAUCCUCACUAUUUCCUUUCAACCAUGUUUCUUCUGUGUGCGUAGAUUUGGGCACCUAUAAGCAUCUACUUGCUCUGAUCUUGGUGUACGGGGUUUUUUUUUUUUUUUUUUUUUUUUCAACCAUUAUGAUCUCACCAUUACACCGUAAAGAACUUAAUUAAACUGUACUAUUAUGUGUGUUGUUUAUAGCAGUAAUCCUUAUGUAGAAUCCCACCAUUAAAGCUAUUAUCUUCUUCAUACGAUUAUAUUAGUAGGAUUCAACCACCAUUCUUACACUAACAAGACAUCAUUAUAGCCUUUAAUCGCACAUCAUCAUGCUAUUUAGCAUAAUCUCUGUUUGUCCGUAGCUUAUUUAUCAGACAAUUGCCUCAAAAUAAUGAUUUUUUCUUCCUCACCCCACACACACUCUCUUAAACAUCAAAAGGGGAAGGUCAUGUAAGGGAGUUCUGAUGGAGAAAACACAAGAAGAGGGGUGCUCUUGGGAGCUGUCUGGUUGGCCCUGUUUGGGAGAGGAAGAGUCAAUUUUCUUUUGACUCGUGGUAUUUAUAUCUCCCCUUAAAUAAACCGAGGCCUUGUUUCAUCUUGAUGCACGUCGCUCCAGUUAUUAAACCCUUCUCAUACUUGUAAUAUUACUAUAUACGAUCAUCGUUGGCUUAGUUUUAUGUAGUAUAACGAAUCUUAUCCCUUUUUUUUUUUUUUUUAUGUUUUAAAUACUCUUAUCCGACACUCGCUGGUUACAUCCCGUGUCAUAAAUUUUCAUUUUCUUUUCUCUAGUCUAUUUUAAACAAAUUCAACAGCAGGUUUCCUCGUAAUUUCAACAUAUUGGUCCCUUCUAUAACUUAUUUUCCCACCAAUUGUGUUUUCCCACGGAACAAUUAAACACCUACUAACAUCAUUCCAUCCUAAUCAAUAUGGCUUAAACCUUUUUCUAUACCUCUACAGUCGAAACCCAAAUCAAGAACCAUGGGUUUCUCCUCUUCUUUCCUUAUCCUUUCCAAACCCAAUACAUGUUCAUUGCACUAUAUAGUGGUAUAGUAAUUUUAUUUAUUCAUUGAUCAUGCAUCACUCAUUCUAUAAAUUCCCUUCGAAGAUGAUACUUCAUUGGAAUUUAUGUUUUGACACUCAUUACAACAUGUAAUUCUAUGUUCCUUCUAGUUCGCAUCAUCCAAUGACAUGUAUUAUAUACGUGUUGUUAGAUUAACUAAGAAAAUAAUCAUGAUCGUGGUUGUUGUUGUUGUUUUUUUUUUUUUUUUUUUUCCAGAAUGUAAGUAUGUAUUAAGAUCAAAAGUAACCAUACCAGAUAAUUAGAAAGUUCAAGUUCAUAUACAUAUACGAAAUAUAAUGAAAACUAAAAGGGAACAAACUCCCAAUUAGAACAGAACCGAAUACAGCCAGGUCAUACAUGCAUUUGCCAACUAUCCCGGGAAGCAGUGAAUGAGAAGCAAAUAUAUGGUAUUCAAUAAAAACAAAGAGGGAACAUGCUCCCAGCAAAAGGCUAGACACGCAAGGCCAAACAUCCCAUGGUGAGCAGCAAAAGGUUAAGGAAGAAACCAAACAAGGAUUGCAGGUGUUAAAAUUAACCCAAUCAGCAUCAGUAGACAAAAGUGAGGCAUUAUCCACAGCAGCAGCAACAACAAUAGAAGCUAGAGCAUGGAGCAAGUAAUGAACAACGCUGAGCACAAGGAAGCCCGACUACAAAAGAAGCAGCUAGAACACACGCAGAAAUGGAUGAAGCGGCCAUAUAAAUCAAUCCAGCAGCAGAGUUCUCAAAGCCGAAUGAUGAGAAGGCAGCAGCAAUCAUCACCUGCAACAGUUACCCCAACAGACCAGCAGAACGGCUGGAAGAUGAAGGGAUACCUAUGAAUGCUCCAGAUGGAGCGCCACUAGAACAAAACAGAGACAGCAGAAAUAUUUGCAAAAGGCAGCAAUAAUAGCAUGAUGCAGGCCCAGUGACCUGCACCAGCAGCAGAAAAAUGGCACCAGUAGGAGACAGCAGCAUCCAGGCUAUAAAAGCCAAAGCUGACCAGGACAUCAGCAUCCCUACCAAAACAGAAAUGCUCCAGAGACCACGCAACAUGUGGCAACAACAGACACACAGGACUAUUAGCUGUCCAGCAUAUGAGCAGGCUCUCAUAUGCCAAUGGCGAAGGAAGAGUCAACCAGAACUACAUCAUUGAAAAAAAGCAAGCCAUGCAGCUGCAGCAGAGGCCAGAGCAUAACCACAACAGCCCGACAAGAGUCAGUAGUAAGACUCUGCAUCAGCCAACAUUGAUAAGAAAUGAUUCUGUUCAUGAAAGUGUAAGACCAUAUAGAAUAAAACUUGAAAUUUGCGAAAGACAUCAGCAUCUGAAUGGCAAGUGCAUUCAACCACCAUUCUUUCUUUCUUUCUUUCUUUUUCCUGGUUCUGAGGUUGAUACUUCAAAAGGUAAGUUCAUCGUUUAUUCCAGUCAUAUGUUAACCUUUGCCCCAUAUCAAUAAUACCCGUAUGAAACUUUUACCAUCCAUUAUGUCCUGUACCUAUUUUAGAAUUCAUUAUAUUCCUAGUUACAACCCUUUUUAUACUACUCUUUGAGCAAGACUUGGCACAAUUAUUGCUUUAAGUAUGAAAUACCAGAAACAGGUCCACUUCCCAUGCACAUUUUGAGACACACCUUGAUUCAACUUAUUAGUCACAAUAACAUUUAUUUGUGCCUAGACAAUUAAGUAUUCACUGUAAUCUUCAUACAUUUUCAUUUCUCCCCAAUCCCUUUCAUUAGGACAUCUAACAUCGUAUUGUAUCACUAUUUCAUUGAUAUUCUGGUUUUGUUCCAUUUCAGGAAUUCCAACUAUCAUCUGUCACAUUAUCAAGCAAGUUUCCAACAUUUAACAUUUUUUACUGAUACCACCGUCACACAUUGAUAAUUCAUUUCUUUAUUUACCAGCUUCACGACAAUCAAGCAUCACUUUUUUUUUUUUUUUUUGCUAGUAUUAUAAGCAUAUAUAUAACCCAAAGAUCAUUCGUGCUAUCACGAGAUAUAUAGUUAGUCACACCCUUCAUGAUAUUUAGUCUACUGAAUCAUAACCACGCUCUGAUACCAAUUGUAACGCCCGGCGAUUUUGUAAGCAUUUAAAAUUAAUUUCCUACAAUUUGGUAUGUAAAAAUAAGAGUUUUUUUUUUUUUUUUUUUUUUACACUGUAACGGAAUUUCUACCGAAAUUUUGGCAGAGCCUCCCCCUAUACCGGGAGGUCCCAAGUUAUCAACAACUCAUCCUAUACAUAUCUCAUGUUCAUUCCAUCAUCAACGCAUAUCCAUAUCGCAUUGCGACCACAAUUAUUAUUAAUCAUAUAUUUUGCAAAUCUAGGGAUUCAUUUCGAACAUUAUUUACAACACAAAAUAAUAGUAAUUAACUUGAUUAAAAACAUUAAUAUUACAAGCAUAAAUUCUAAAGGUCUCUAUGAUUAAGAUAAAGGAACACUAACAUUAUUCCUGUCAUAUAAUUAUCUAAAGAAAAUACAACAACGUCCAUUUCAUCCCAGAGUCACACAAAAGAAAUAAGGAUGCUAACCCUAAGCCAUACAAAAGGAUUGGAACAUGCUAAUUCCUUAAUUCAUAAAAAGAACUAGACACCUAGGACACUACUCCUGACAGGAAUGACAAAGACCUGCAACAUCAAAAUAAAGGAAUAAUUAUAUUAAAUAAAUGAAAUACAACCAGAUAAUGGAGGGUCACCACUACAUGUAACUACGCAUAUGUGUACUAACUCGAUAGGGCAUAAUCAUAAUUGAUCCGCAAAAGAAGAUCCUUUACUACAUCUAACGCCUAUCCUUCACAACCUACUUAUGGUUUCCUUUUCGAUUAUCAUACAUUAAUUUUUGUCUGAUUUACCCUUUUUCUUAUCCGCCCCAAAUUCUGAGGCAAUCGCUGCCGACACUAAUAACUCCUACUAGUGUCAUUAGUCACCCUUACCCGGAUAGACUAAUCAAUUCCUUAGCAAUGCCGGCACCAACUUAAUCGAUCGAUGCCAUUGAGCUAUUUCCAACCCAAAAUAGUCAAUCAAUUGCUCUCCAUCACUUGGAGAUGUUUCCGGAAAUGCCGAUGCCAAGUUCUCUUGACAUCAUUAACUUCCUCCUCAGGAAGUUAAUCAAGUUAUAAUGGGUUUGCCGAUACAGACAUUAUUUGUUAGUAUCAUUAACUACUCGUGAUACGAAUAGUUAAUCAAGCUCAAUAUUCAUUAUAUUUCCAUCAAGGUCAUGCCGAUGUUAACAAUAUUUGUUAACAUCAUUAGCCGCCCCUAUUCUAGGUCGGCUAAUCAAGUCCAUAGGCGGCCGUUUUUCUUUUUCACAUAUACAUAAUAUAGACCCAUAUCCGAACUCCGCAUCUCGGAGUCUACGACCAAAAUUCAGAUUUCAAAUCCAUGUUUGUUUCACCGUAUCUUUCCUUUUUUUUUUUAGUCAUAUUCACCGGGUGGGCAUAUUCAUAUAAUAAUAUUAUUUCUCGUGCUUGCAGGCAACAUUCACAUAGAAUUAGUAUUUGUUUCCUUGUCCGUAGGCAACAUUCACAUUGUAAUAACAUUUCUUGCUCAUUGGCAAUGUUCACACAAUAAUAAUAUUUCUCCUGCUUGUUGGUAACUUUCACGCAACAAUAUUUGUACUGCCCGUAGGCAGUGUUCACAUAGCAAUAUUUCUCAUGAUACACAUUAGUACAAAAUACACAUAAUGUCUAUCAUAUAACUAGCAUUACAAGAAUUUAAACAAUUUAAAGAAGCAAGGGGGCAACCCUUACCUUGAACUCCCUGUUGUACUUGCACGUGAGAAAUCCGGUCCCACUCUGUAUGCUUCUCCUACAUUCCAGUAGAACAUCCUGAAUUAGUACUCAGACCCCUUUUCUGAUUCAUUCAUCACAUGUAUUAUUUCACAUGCCCAAUUAGUUUUGAAAACAAGUUCAUGAAUAAGCUAUUUUUAGUCAUCACUUUAAUUCAUUAAAUCAACAUCCAUUCUCACUAAUAUUAAAUGUCCAACCAACUCUUUCUUCUACCUUGGCCGAAUAUAGACCUUAUUUCUACAAUAAAUCCUUUUGUGUUUAUAUUCAAGAUAACAUUAUCAAUUCUCAUCUAUAUUGGCAUGAUAUAAUAUAUUCCACAUAUUUCAAGUCAAAUAGUAUUACCACACAUAUUACAUGUCUAUCAAAAUGAUCAAGAUUAUUAUUAUUAUUAUUAUUUUGCUAGAACUAUUCAUUAAGCACAACAACUAGAUGAAAUAACUUUCUUCCUUGAUAUGGCUACUUGCUAACAAUUCUUGGUCAAAACUUCCUAAACACUCAUGUUAAAUUUUCUUUUACUCAAUACCAAGCAUUGCUGAGCAUGUCAAAUGCCUUAAACCAUAACCCUUCCCAUGUUGUUUUCUUUUUGCCGAACAUGCUUAAAUGAAUUAUAAUGAAUUUUCUUCAAUUCCUUUCAUUAUCCACUCUAAGCAACAUUACCUCACCUAAACAUUUUCAUAUGGAUAUGAUCAUUAAUAAUUGUCUAUCUAGAGAUGUUCACAUUACAUAUAUAAUUUUAUUUGUGCCUCUUGCACAUUUUCUUCUUUCAAACUAAUACAUAUACCCACAAGUAUAUUCUUAUGGUUUCUUACUCCUUUCAUUGAACAAUGUAUAUUAAGAUGAUAUCAAUACUUCCUUUAAAAUAUUGUCACUAAAUGUUUAUUUCUAUUCUUCAUACAAGGUUAUUCAAAGUAAUCAUUUCUAUUUUUUCAAGCAACAUUCACCAAACCAGAAUUUCUGCCUUGAAUUUCUUCUCUUGGCCGAAACUUGUGCUCCAUGUCCUCAUUAGUUCAUUCAUUUAAAUCACAUCAUUUCUUCAUUUACAAUGUAUGUUAUCAUACAUAAAACAUAUACCAAUCUUCAAACAAGAAAUUAUAAGGGAUUCAACAUUUAUUCAUACAAUUUCAAAGAACAUCCACACUUUUAACCUCUGUUCCAGCCCUGUUUUCCUUAAAUAUUUGUUCAAGAUCAUGAAUCAUUGAUAUAUAUCUUCAAUUUCUCCUCCCCCUUCAAGUCCCCUUAUGGCCGGCCCUAAUCUAGGGUUUUCUCCUUAGUUUACAUGAAGUUUUUUCUUACUAUACAUUCUUUGAAAUUUGUUCUUUCCUUUAUAAAAUUUAUUGUUCACAAUAUUAGUUUUCAAAACAUUAAUAUGCACAAAAAUCCUAAGUUUUCAUUUGGGUUGUUCACCCUUUUCAACAAAGCUCACUCAAGACAACAAUGGAGAUUGAAGGGUUUUUCUUACCAUAUGAAUUAAGCAAGGAUUAAGGAUGAUUUUUUUUUUUGACAACUCUAUACGUGUUCUUCUUGUUCUCUUCCUUGGUUGAUUCUUCUCCCCCUCUUUCUGCCUUUAGCCGUGAAUCUCUCUCUCUCUCUUUCUACAUCUCUAUUUUGUGGUCUUUCUCCUCACUUUCACUCUUCAUUCACUCUAGCACCGUAUGGAUGAAAUGCAAGAGAACACUUUGCUGGAUAUUUUGUAAGAGAGGGGGCUGCUAGGGGCUGUCUUGGCCGGCAAUAAUGGGAGAGGUAAAGUGACAAUCUUUUCUCCCAACUACUUGUACUCCCUCAUAAAUGAAAUUAGGCCUUGUUUGGUUUGGUGGUUUUUUUUUUUUUCCAAGGCCGGUUAUUACAUUUAUUUUAGGUUGAUAACCGGGUCAAAUCUUCCUUACAUGCUCUUUCCAAAACUCACUCAUUUCACUUUUAUUAUUAUUUUACUCUUUCUUAUAUAUAUUAUUCACACUUAUUGACUGUUACAAAGUUGUUGUUGGGUGAAACUUUUAAAUGGGUUUCAUGUCAGGUUUUAUAAAAGAAAACUUCAUCUCUUAAAACUCGUCUUCAUUUUUGCUAAUAUUAUAAAUUUUAAUCCAAAAUUUAUAACGUUCAUUAUGACUUCCACCAUACUUUUAAAUUUAUUAUAGAGCUUAUUCUCUCUCUUACCCGUUGUAUUAUUAUUAUUUCUAUUAUUUAUUCAUUUCUUUUAAUAUUAAGUCUUCAUUACUCAUUGGGGUCAUUCUUUUUUUUUUUUUUUUUUUUUUUUUUUUUUUCUGCGAUCCUAUGUUCAUGCGAGGGUUUACAGGGGGGCUGUUUGGAAUUUAUUGAGGGGCCUAAUUGAAGAAAUUGGAAGUUUAUUGAUCAAUUGAGGGCUAAAUUGCAUAAAUCAGAGGCGGACAAGACUGAAAUUGGCAGGGACGCAAUUGAAAGGAACAAAAAUAAUUGGGGGACUGAUGUGAACGUUGGCGCAUUUCUGGUGCCACUUUUAAAUGAAACGGUGCGUUUUCUCCAAAACGACGCCGUUUCAUGCGUUUUUAAAAAAAAAAAGAAAAAGACCAAACGGUGCCGUUUUGAACGACACUGUUUCUCUUCUUCUUCCCCCCAUAGGUGUAGCAGAGAAGAGGAAAAUGGGGGUUUUUGUCCCCGCCUCUCUCCUCACGUGCCAUGGCCCGAUGCUCCACGCCUUGGGACCCCCGAAACCGAAGCCACUAGCCGACCACCCGCCGCGCCACCGAAACCGAGAGAAGCACCUUGGCAGCGGCGCCUGCCGACCGACCGACCAGCACGCCUCGUUCCCCCAUGCAUGCCCCGAUAUGCCUAUAAAUAGAGAAGGAGCAGAGUGAUAACGAGGGGGGGAGGAGAACCGAAGGAGUGACCCGAAAAAGAAAAGACAAAAAACCGAGACAGUGAGAGAGAGAGAGACCGGAGGAGAGAGAAACCACAACUUCAGAAACAACGACUGGAAACACAGGGUGGAGCAGCUUGGGAUAGUUGAAACCGAGAGGAGACUCAAGCAUUUGAAACAGAAGCAAACGAACCGAAGGAGUGGGUCUCGAUCCUCUUGAAAACCACCGCGAGCUAAGCCGCUGAUACCGCCGCCACCGUAGCCUCCGCCAGCAAGCCGCCGUCUCCGCUGCGCCAGGUACGCUACCCCCCCCUGCAUUUUCUUUCAAGGCUGGCGUAGUUUGGCCUCCUGCAUGCAGAAUCGUUUCUGCAUGCAGGAGGCACGGGGGGGGAAAUAAUUCCCCCCGUUCAUUUCUGUUUUUUUCUUUUGGGCCAGACAGGGUCUGGCCCAAUGAUAUGGGUUUGGGCCGGUCUGGUCCAGAUUGCGGGUCCGGCCUAGAAGACAAGAUACUGUUGGGCCGAGUCCGGCCCAACGUUUUUUUUUGGGCUGGAGUCCGGCCCAAUUAAUUGGGCCGGCCUAGCCCAUUUAAUAUAUUAAUAUUAUAUUAUUAUAUUAUGCAUGUAUAUAUAUGUAUAUAUAUAUUUUUUUAAAAGAAAAAAAUAAAAAAUAAAAAAUAUUUCCGAAAAAAUAAAAAAAUAUAUAUUGUUGUUUGCUUUUCACAUAUAUAUAUAUAUUUUUGUUUGUUAUAUACAUUGAUUUGUUUUUUAUACCAUGGGGAUAUAAUUUCAGUGUUUAACAACACCCGUUUUCGUCAAAAAAAAAAAUGUUUUUAAAAUAUAAAAUUGUUUUUUUUAAGAGUUGUGAAUUUUUCUUAGUUUUUUUUUCUUUUCCGGGUGAUUUACGAGUUGACGGGAUUAGAAAACACCAACACCAUAGCAAUUAUAGAGCAAACCAAACACCAAGCAGCUUACCUUAGGUAGGGCGUACUAGGGGUGCUGAUACCUUCCCUUUACACAACCAGUCCCUUGCCUUAGAAUCUCUGAAAGACCAGUUAGGGUUCCUAGUGACCAAAAUACUAGGUGGCGACUCCAAAGAACCAAAUCAUUAAAACACAACGAAAAUCGCCAGCCGAUGUCGCGCUCUUUACAAUUUUUUUGGUGGGGGGGUGUGACAGAAUGGCGACUUCGCUGGGGAAGUUAGGACUAAGCUUGAUUUGUUUGUUUGUUUAUGUUAUGUGUUAUUGGUUUUUGUUUUCUUAUGAUGCUUUGUUUAAAAGCUUUAGCAUAUAUCUUUACAUUCUAUCAUACAUGGCAUAGUCAUGCAUCACUUUAUUAUUAUUAUGUUUUGGAGGGCACACACAUGUAACUUUAAGUUUAAGUAGGGGACUAGCAGCUUGCCUUAUGACUUGAGUCAAGGUUUAAGUUUGUGUAAACCCCAACUCUUUGCUGAGUGUUUAGACUGAUAGUGAUUGGUACACGUGCCAUCCCACUAUCUGCUGGACCUCUAUAUCGCCUUUACGAGGGUGAUCACUGGAACAGCAAGAGACCCUCUUUUAGAGACCUAGUAGUAAACCUACCCUAUGUCUCACGUAAAAGAACUAGAACCUAUCCUUAGGGUGUAUGUUCCGAUAUAAAUCUUUUGCAUUGAAACAAGACUAACCCCCCAUGCAUUUUGAAUUGCAGGAUUUGUGAACGAAAUGACCAUCAUCAAAUCUUCCAUCAUAGAGUAUGUAAAGAAUUCUGAACUGUCACAAUUGACUGAAGGAGACUGCCUUAGAAGCGAUGCUAAGAAGAUGUCGCCAAUCAAGAACCUGAAUUGCAUAUUGAAUGAGGUGAACAAGUUAACGACUCAUUUUCAGAAUGUGGAUAAAGAUGCAUUUUUUAGGAAAUACGGGCGUUUGAUGGAAAUCGCAAAGGUAGAAGUUUUAAGCCCAGUUGUGCGAGCUUUAGUUCAUUUUUGGGAUCCAGACUACCGAUGUUUCUCCUUUGGAAGCAUAGACUUGUGCCCCACGAUUGAGGAAUAUGGAUUGUUGACCGAGUUUCCAAACGACCUGUAUCAGAUUUAUUCUCCUUUGAGAUCCGACAAGAUCAUCCCUGAGCUGUCAAAACUGCUCAGAAUCUCCAACUUGGAAAAGUUUCUGGAAAAGAAUGGCACCGGUUUGAAAUGGAGGAUGCUAGAGUUGGAAAAGGAGUCAGGAGUAGAAAAAGAGAGAAUGAUUGCCUUAGGUAUAUUUGGCCUUGUGUUGUUCCCAAGUCAGAUUGGUUUAGUAAGUUUGGAGGCCGCCGCUGCUUAUGUGGAGUAUGAGAACACACAGAUCAAUCCAGUGGUUGCCAUUUUAGCCGAAACAUUUUUGACACUUAACCAUUGUAGAAGGGCUGGAAAAGGGCAAUGAGAUGUUCACGCAACUGUUGUAUAUUUGGAUGGUUAGCCAUAUCGAAACAAAGAACCUGUCUUCAAUAAUUUUUGUGGUUCACCCAAAACCCUAAAGUUAGUAAGAAGAAGAGUGGGGAGAUCUAGACAACCAGGGUUGGGUUUAUAAAUUAGAAGGUUUACCUAAUAGCGAGCACCAUGGGUAACGACAAUGAAGGUCCUAAUGAGUUGUGGACAAAGGCGUUGGGUACCAUUGGUGGGGAUUACAAUUAUGUGAGUUAUGCCCGGCUUUAGUGGUAAGACAACUUGGGGCAUGCAGUUUUUCCCAGGACUAUGGGAAUUGCUCAAUUCUUUGUCUGUUCAAAGAUCCCAUGGCGAAAGAAGUUUUGGAGAUCACAAACAAGAUUGGAAGCAUCUAGUGUUGGUGGAAAUAGAAGGUUUGAGAGAUCCAAGUGUGAGCGAAGGAUAUGUAAAUGGAGAGCCUCAGCUGCUUCAGCCAUGCCUUGCGUAGAAACUAAAUCUCCUCAAGCUGUAGAGGAGCCUAUUAAGAGAAAGGAGGUUAAUAUUGAAGAUGAUUCAGCUGCUUCAGCCAUGCCUCGUGUAGAAGUCAAAUCUCCUCAAACUGUAGAGGAACCCCUCAAAAGAAAGAGGGUUAGCGGUGAAUUAGAAGGCAAGUGGACAAACUGAGAAUAGAGUUGAGCAAAGCAGAAAGGACAAGGCAACGUUGGAAGAAAUGAUGUUAGAAGAGGAUAAAAGGAGAACAUUUCUAGAUGAGCAAAUACAGUCUAGAGAUGCGAAAAUAACCAAGCUUGAGUUAAAGUUGGUUGAGGAGAAGAUUGCUAGGGAAAGAAGUGAGAAGGAGCUUAAAGGGUUGAGUUUGGAUUGGAUGCAAAGUUGCUCUGAACUUGAAGCAAUGGAGAUGGACUUUAGCGAUUGCCAGGAAAGUGCAAAAUAUUACCAAGAAAAAUUUGUGCAAGUGCAAUUGGAACUAAUGGAUAGGAUUAGGAGGUAUAAGGAUUUGAAUAAGAAAUAUAUGGAGUUGGAAAGCAAAAGGGGAGGAUUCGAGGAUGUUAAAGCAGAGUUAGCGGCCAAGAGGAAUGAGAUAAAAGUUAUGAGAAUAAAGCUCGACAAAGAACGCAAAAAGUCGAAGUAUUUAGACGAGAAACUAGUAGCAACGGAAAAGCACAAGGAUCGAAUCAACGCCAACAACACUGCAUUGAACAGAACUAACAUGUUGCUCAUAGAAAAAAUAACCAAAACAGAUGAGCAAAUGGACGAAGCUGCUGCACAUGCCCUAAUUAUCAGAAUCAAUGCGCGGAAUGUGGGAGGAGACAUCAUUCGCUAUCGCCGAAGCCUAGCUGAAACCGAUGCCUUUCUAGGGAAGAUUAAGAACCGUGGCUUCGCUUUCUUACCUCUGGCUAAAGAGUUUAUGGAGGAAAGAGAUUAGCAUGUUGUAUUUUUCUAAAAUGUAUUUUUAUCCAAGCAUUAAUGAAAAGGGCGUUGACCCAUCUUCUUAUGCAAAAUCUGUCUCUUGGUGAACAUGAUUCAAGCAAACGACUCGAAAGGCAGAACUCCUAUCAAAGCAAUGUGACAAGAGAAUGCUUAUAAUGGGAUGGUUGUUUUUUCGUUCACAAUAAAACAUGCAUGCAUCUGCAUUUUUCAAUCAUGCAUCCAUCACAUUCAUACCCAAUGAAACAUGCAUUUUUCAAUCAUGCAUCCAUCACAAUCAUACAUUUUUCUCAUACAUCUAUGCAUGCGCAGAUCGUGAAACAUAGGUCCCACAUCCAGAAUACACCAAACCCGGUCCAGAUCAAGAAUGGAAAACGAAGAAAGAGCUCAGUUAGAGUCACACUACCAGACCGAGUUGGAAUCUGUGAAAAAUGAAGUUUCUCGGCUAACCAAUCUGCUUGAGCAACUUUUAAGAGCCAAGAACGGAGGGAACAUCUACCCAACCACCUAUAGGAGCACCGUCAGUCCUGUCCCGGGGUUAUCUCAGAACUUGGGGGCAGAUUCAGCGACGGGGGCAGCACUUUGCACCUGCUAUUCCCAUUCAGCCCCCUCAAGCUCAUAUCACUGUAGAUUUAACAGCCGAGGGGCCUUCCGAUAAUAGGUCCACUGGUUUGUGAACGAUGACAAGAUAUCAGCAUUAGAAGAAAGGUUAAGAGCAGUCGAGGGGAUUGGUUUGACCCCAUGCGAGCGUCGGAAAUAUGCUUGGUACCAAACCUCACGGUACCAAAAGAUUUUAGGAUACCAGAGUUUAUAAGGUACACUGGGUUGGAAUGCCCAAACACUCACCUUCGAUCUUAUUGCAAUAAGAUGGCUGAGGUGAUUCAUGACGAUAAGUUAAUGAUCUACUUUUUCCAAGACAGUCUAUCGGGAUCUGCGCUAAGUUGGUACAUGAGGCUGGAUAAUGUCAAGAUUAAGAAAUGGAAGGACUUAGUGGAGGCUUUCCUAAAGCAAUACAAGUUCAAUUUGGAAAUUGCUCCAGAUCGAACGAGCCUCAUGUCAAUGGAAAAGAGAAGCCAAGAGUCAGUGAGGGCUUAUGCGCAAAGAUGGAGGGACGAGGCCACGCACGUGCAACCCCCUUUGAUAGAAACGGAGAUGGUGACUUUGUUCGCCAAUACAUUCAAGGCACCUACUAUGAGCAUUUAAUGGGUAGCUCAUCUCAACAUUUCUAUGAUGUUGUACGUGUGGAAAGGAUAGAGCAAGGAAUUAAAGCAGGGCGCAUAGCGGAGCCUUUAGAGAAGAAAGGUUUUAUGGGAAGGAAAAGAGAAGGGACGUUAACAAUUUGGAAGGCGGGUACAAAGGCAAGUAAAUUUCCACAGUCCACAAGCACCUACCUCUCAAUUCCACGCAUAAACUUUAACCAAUCUUUUUCACCUAACCGAACAAAUAACCAACCAAACUACCAAAUCACUACCAAAGACCCCACCAGGAUACACUUCAGAACAACUGCCGCCUUACCCAUGCCUUUGAAGGACAUGUAUGCCAAACUUUUGAGCAUUGGACAAAUAGCUCCUAUCCCUACACUACCACUACAACCACCAUUCCCAAUUUGGUACAAGCCCGAUUUGACUUGCGAGUACCAUGGGGGUAAUCCCGGGCAUGGGAUUGAAACCUGCUAUGCAUUCAAGAAGAGGUUAUUGGAGCUUAUUAAGUUGGGAUGGGUAUCCUUCGAAGACAAGCCCAAUGUUAAUUCAAACCCAUUGCCUAAGCAUGCUCCAAAUAGUGGUGGAAUAGGCAUGAUCGAAGUGGGAAAUCAAUGCAAGGUGUUGAAGGUGCCGAUGAAAAGGUUGUACGACAUGUUAGUACAAUCAGGAUUUCUAGGAAAGGUAAGGCAAUUGGAGAGAGUGACUACUGUGAGUUCCACGGAAGAGAUGGACAUCACAUUGAGGAUUGCGCCGAGUUUUGCGAAAAGAUCGCAAAAAUGUUGAAGAUGGGACAAUUGAGGAUUGAACCCAUGGAGAGCAGGUGUGAUGAGCAUGAUGGAAGGCAAGAUGAGAUGGCAGGAGUUUGCAGGGUCCAACAGACUGCUAAUGGGCCCCCAAGGCUGAUCUUGAUUAAACCGUCCUGCACAAAAGAGAAUCACAAUGCCAUGCCGUAUAAUUAUGGGUAUGCCUCCAAUUCGAGCGCCUCUUCCUUUGUUCCAGACGGAGAUAAGUGGUUUGACCAGGAGUGGUCGUUGCUUUACGCCUGAAGAAUGGAGGAAGGAAAAGGGUAAGAAGUGGUAGAUCUGGACAAAGCACCAGAAGUUAAUAAGCCGUAACGGAAGAGGAGUCGAAUGAGUUUUUGAAGUUGAUCAAGCAUAGCGAAUAUUGCAUAGUGGAUCAACUAAAAAAGACUCCAGCUCGGAUCUCCCUUAUGUCCUUGAUACUCAGCUCUGAGCCGCAUCGAAAUGCCUUGCAAAAGGUAUUGAAUGAGGCAUAUGUACCCAAGACAUUGAGCAUAAAACCAUGGAGCAUUUAGUGGGAGGAUCCAUGCAACUAAUUACCUCUACUUCACGGCUGAUGAGCUUGAUGCUGAAGGUACCGGACACAACAAGCCUUUAUACAUUACUGUUAGGUGCAAAGACUGCCUCGUAGGGAAGGUGCUCGUCGAUAAUGGCUCGGCCCUCAACGUGUUGCCAAAGCACAUUCUGGAGGAAAUGCCGAUUGAUGAAUCUCAUAUGAAGCCAAGUACUAUGAUGGCCAGAGCAUAUGAUGGCUCACCUAGGCCAAUACUUGGGACUUUAGAAGUGGAGCUAUAUGUGGGACCGCAAAUGUUCCUAGUGACACUUCAGGUUAUGGAUAUCCACCCUUCCUAUAGUAUGUUGUUGGGAAGACCUUGGAUCCACGCAGCGGGGCAGUAGCUUCGUCAUUGCACCAAUGCCUGAAGUACAUCAUGAAUGGGAUGUUGGUAACUGUCAAGGCUGAGGAGGCAAUAUCCAUGAUAAAGAAUGUGGUUGUGCCUUUCAUCGAAGCGGAGGAUUGCAAGGAUAACAAUAUCCAUGCUUUUGAGAUCGUGAACACCGACUGGGUGCCGGAGAACACCGUGCUAAGAAGGCCAAGGAUCUCAGAAGCAGCAAGGAUGGCAAGUCUAUGUUUCUUGAACCGUGGGGUCCCACGUCAAUAUAACCUCGCUUGCGGAAUACCAGAAGGGGCUAAUCCGACAAGGAAGAGAAAAGCUGAUCAAAGAUUUGGGUUAGGAUAUCAACCUAACCAAGAGGAUUAUCGUUGGGCUGCUGAUCGGAGAAGGACAAGAAGGAUGGCUAGAAUUAAAGGAAGAGAUCUUGAAGAAGAACAGCUGAAAUCCCUCCCCUUAGCGUAUCAUUCCCAAGAGCUGCAUACAUAGUGCAACAUGAUAAGGGAGCUGAAAGCCUGGGUAGAGCUGGCAAUAUGAGCAUAAACACCUUGGAGGGAAAAGAAGGAAAAGGUGAUGCGAAAGCAAUAGCGGGAAAAGAAGAUGAAGUGCUGCCACAACUGACGAUCCAUACACUAGAAGAAGUCUCCGCCAAGACCUUUGUGCGCAAGUUGGCUCAGGCGAAAAGUUUCAGAAUUGGGUGACCCAAGAAGCUCCAGUGGUUUUCAAAAUGUAAACCAACUUUGUUUGCCUUAAUGUUUUUGUCAUUGCUUAUGUUUGCUUUUUUUCUCUAGUUGACAAUCAAGGCUCAUGAUGUCAGCUAGAUUCUAUGUUUGUCAUGGAGCCCACCUUUUCCUUUGAAUGAAUGUGAGAUCAUGCACUUUUUCAAAAAUUGUUUUUAUAUAUAUGCAUUUACACCAAGCACUUCCCGCUUUCAGGAAUCCUGAAAGCGGAUCUCCUACAACAUCACAUACAUUAGCAUCAAGAAUAAAUGGCCAAACUUGAACGAGCAUGUAAUAGCUAUGGAAGAAGAAGAGUGGGAUGAAAGCAAUAUCAGUGAAUUCACCAGGCUAGUAGAACAACAGGAACAGACUUGGAAGCCUGCCGGAGGAACUCGAAACCAUCAAUGUGGGCAAUGGUCAGCUCAAGAAAGAGUUGAAAAUAGGUACCCUAAUUACUUCUGAACAAAGGAUAAAAAUGAUCACCCUAUUACAAGAAUAUUCAGAUGUCUUUGCUUGGUCCUAUGAAGAUAUGCCCGGUUUGGAUACAAGUAUUGUAGAACACAAGAUACCGUUGGAAGAAGGUUAUAAGCCAGUCAAGCAGAAACUGAGGAGGGCCCAGGACGUCUGGAUCAAGGUCAAGGCAGAACUCGAAAAGCAAUGGGAUGCUGGUUUCUAGAAGUAGUUAGAUAUCCACAAUGGGUAUCUAACAUUGUUGUGGUGCCUAAGAAGGAAGGGAAGAUUAGAGUUUGUGUGGAUUUUCGGAAUUUGAAUAGAGCUAGCCCUAAGGAUGAUUUUCCUCUACCACACAUAGAUGUUUUAGUGGAUAAUGCUGCCCGAAGUUCCACUUAUUCCUUUAUGGACGGUUUUUCAGGAUACAACCAGAUAAAAAUGGCUCCAGAGGAUAAGGCGAAAACAACUUUUGUCACACCUUGGGGGACCUACUGCUACAAGGUCAUGCCAUUUGGGUUAAAGAACGCAGGUGCAACAUAUCAAAGAGCAAUGGUGACUCUAUUCCACGACAUGAUGCACAAAGAAAUUGAGGUGUAUGUAGAUGAUAUGAUUGCCAAGUCUAAAAAGGAACAAGAUCAUGUGGAAGUUUUGAGGAAGUUAUUUGAGAGGUUGAGGAAGUAUGAACUAAGGCUUAAUCCUGCAAAAUGUUCAUUCGGAGUUAAAUCGGGCAAGCUGUUGGGAUUUGUGGUAAGUGAUAGAGGUAUAGAGGUGGAUCCGGAUAAAGUAAGGGCCAUCCAGGCCAUGUCGUCCCCUAAGACGGAGAAAGAAGUAAGAGGAUUCUUGGGAAGGUUGAAUUACAUUGCUCGGUUUAUAGCUCAGCUAACAACAACAUGCGAGCCUAUAUUCCGACUACUAAGGAAAAAGAAUCCUGGAACCUGGAAUGAGGAGUGUGAGGAGGCAUUCAAUAAAAUCAAGCAUUAUUUACAAAAUCCACCUUUACUGGUUCCUCCUGUAUCAGGAAAACCUCUAGUAUUAUAUCUAACCGUAACUGAAGUAGCCAUGGGAUGUGUAUUGGGUCAGCAUGAUGAAACCGGAAGGAAGGAAAGAGCUAUUUAUUACUUGAGUAAGAAAUUCACUGAAUGUGAGUCCAGAUACACGGAGAUAGAAAGGCUUUGUUGUGCGUUGGUGUGGGCGGCAAAGAGGUUGCGACAUUACAUGUUAUACUAUACCACUUGGUUGAUUUCAAAAGUGGAUCCCUGAGGUAUAUUUGUAAUAAGCCUUUUCUCUCAAGUCGAAUUGCAAGGUGGCAAGUUUUAUUAGCAGAAUAUGACAUAGUGUAUAUGACAAGGAAAGCCGUAAAAGGGAGUGCAAUCGCAGACCAUCUGGCCGAUAAUGCUAUUGAAGAUUACGAACCUUUGGAUUUUGAUUUCCCUGAUGAAGAUAUAUUGUCAAUAGAAAAGGAAGAAGAGAAGACAGAUUGGUGGACCAUGUUUUUUGAGGGGCAGUAAAUGUAUAUGGUAACGGGGCAGGGGCGGUAAUAAUCUCUCCUAAUAAGAAACAAUACCCAGUUUCGGUCAAACUACAUUUCGAGUGCACCAACAAUACAGCUGAGUAUGAAGCUUGUAUCCUCGGUUUAGAAGCGCAUUGGAGUUAAAAUAAAGAAGAUAGAUGUAUAUGGGGAUUCAAUGUUGAUCAUCUGCCAGGUAAAGGGGAAUGGCAAACCAAAGAAGAAAAGUUGAGGCCGUACCAGGAAUACCUAUCCAUGCUAGCAAAGGAAUUUGAAGAAAUUAGAUUCACCCAUCUGGGAAGGGAGGGGAACCAUUUUGCGGAUGCUUUGGCCACACUAGCUGCUAUGACUACCAUUGACUCAAGUGCAAGGUACAACCGGUACACAUUGAUAUUAGAAAUGAUCCAGCUCACUGUUGUUUAGUUGAAGGAGAGAUGGACGGACAACCUUGGUAUUACGAUAUCAAGAAUCUGUGCAGAAUCAGGAAUAUCCGGUGGGAGCUUCUAAACGGAUAAGAAAACCUUGAGAAGGUUGGCUAUAGACUUCUAUUUAGAUGGAGAGAUUUUAUAUAAAAGGUCAUUUGAUGGAACCCUGUUAAGGUGUUUGGAUGAGGCAGAUGCUAGAAGGCAUUAAGAGAGGUCCAUGAGGGGAUUUGCUCAACCCAUGCUAGCGGGCAUAUGAUGGCAAGGAAAAUCCAAAGGGCUGGUUAUUUUUGGAUGACACUAGAAAAAGAUUGUAUCGACUAUGUCAGAAAAUGUCACAAAUGUCAAAUUUACAGUGACAAGGUCAAUAUGCCACCAGCUCCUCUGUUUAACUUAACAUCUCCAUGGCCCUUCGCGAUGUGGGGAAUUGAUGUGAUUGGACCUGUAAACCCAAAAGCGAGCAAUGGUCAUAGAUUUAUCCUCGUGGCUAUUGACUACUUCACAAAAUGGGUAGAAGCCGGGUCAUUUGCUCAUGUGACACAAAAAGUGGUGAAGAAAUUUAUUGAGAGAGAUUUGAUAUGUCGGUAUGGUCCACCAGAAAAGAUUAUAACUGAUAAUGCCCAGAAUUUCAACGGCAAGAUGAUAAUAGAGCUCUGCACUAAAUGGAAAAUCAAGCAUUCCAAUUCUUCGCCAUAUAGACCAAAGAUGAAUGGGGCGGUAGAAGCUGCUAACAAGAAUGUCAAAAAGAUUAUUCAGAAGAUGGUAGUCACCUAUAAGGAUUGGCAUGAGAUGUUGCCAUUUGCCCUUCAUGCAUAUCGCACCGCAGUUCGAACCUCGACAGGGACUACCCCAUAUUCUUUGGUGUACGGUAUGGAGGCAGUGAUGCCUUUGGAAGUGGAAAUCCCGUCGUUAAGAGUGUUAAUAGAUUCCGAGUUAGAAGAGGCCGAGUGGGCCAAAGUGAGACACGAGCAACUGAACCUGAUCAGUGAAAAGAGGAUGGCCGCAAUAUGUCAUCACCAGCUUUACCAGAAACGAAUGGCUAAGGCGUAUGAUAAGAAGGUUAGACCGCGGUUGUUUCAAGAAGGGGAUCUAGUAUUGAAGAAAAUAUUGUCAUUACCCGGAGAUGAUCAAAGCAAAUGGGCACCAAAUUACGAGGGUCCUUAUGUAGUAACAAGGCAUUCUCAGGAGGAGCGUUGAAGUUAGCUAGAAUGGAUGGAGAAGACCUAGCUCGACCUGUGAAUUCUGACUCUGUAAAAAGAUAUUACUUGAUGUAGCCCUAAAUCAAUAAAGCAAAGUUUGGCCAUUGAUUUCUUUCCUUUUGCAUUGAUCUCACAACAAUCAUUUUUGCAUUAAUCCAACAGUGCAUCUCAUCACUCAUUUAAAAGUUUAGCAUCGACUGAACGAAUUUCUUCUCUAUAUAAAAGCUCAAACUAGGAUCACACCCCUACACUGGGGGCAAUACAAGAUGUUUUAUAAAAGUUUUACGGAAGCCUAUAGAUUUGAAAACCAAGCUAAAGCAUUUGACAAAAGCAUGACAAAAAGGCAAUAACAAGUCUUACAUUUUGAGAAAAGGACUACUUGAGGAAAGUCAAAGACUUCUUCUCCAAGAAUAUGAUAAGUAAAAAGGCAACACGAGAGAUGAAUCCAGCAUACGACUUCAAAAGCAAGCUCAUGUUAAGAAAGAGCUUCAUGAACUAGAAGAAGAUGAUGGGGCCUAUGUUUCAAAACCAGGUACGAAUGCAUGCAUUGCAUCUAAUCAUAAAUCAUUGCAUGUAUGUUUUUUAUCGUUACAGGAGGAGAUCUUAGUGCAUUCCAACAAGAUUGUGGACGAAGAAGGAAUCAUUGAGUUGAUUCUAGAACAACAAGAAGAGAAGAUAAUAUUUUUCAAACCUGCCAGCAGGAAGAACGACAUCGAUAGCAAUCGGUAAAAGGGAAUCGCAGAUGGGAUUCCAAGUUGUUUGGUUAAAAGAGAUCGCCAGAAGGGAUCUCGUUUUCGAUGAAGGUCGCCAGAAGGGACUUCAUAUUUCAGUUUGAAUAAAAGGAAUCGCCAGAUGGGAUUCCAAGUUGUUUGAGAUCGCCAGAAGGGAUCUCGUGUUUCACUAUUUGGAGGUCGCCAGAUGGGACCUCGUAUUUCAGUUGGUUAAAAGGAAUCGCCAGAUGGGAUUCCAAGUUGUUUGAGAUCGCCAGAAGGGAUCUCGUGUUUCACUAUUUGGAGGUCGCCAGAUGGGACCUCAAUUUCAUGUUGGUUAAAAGGAAUCGCCAGAUGGGAUUCCAAGUUGUUGAGAUCGCCAGAAGGGAUCUCGUGUUUCACUAUUUGGAGGUCGCCAGAUGGGACCUCAUUUCAUGUUGGUUAAAAGGAAUCGCCAGAUGGGAUUCCAGUUGUUGAGAUCGCCAGAAGGGAUCUCGUGUUUCACUAUUUGGAGGUCGCCAGAUGGGACCUCAGUUCAUGUUGGUUAAAAGGAAUCGCCAGAUGGGAUUCCAAGUUGUUUGAGAUCGCCAGAAGGGAUCUCGUGUUUCACUAUUUGGAGGUCGCCAGAUGGGACCUCAUUAUGUUGUUAAAAGGAAUCGCCAGAUGGGAUUCCAAGUUUGUUUGAGAUCGCCAGGAAGGGAUCUCGUGUUUCACUAUUGUGGAGGUCGCCAGAGGGGACCUCACACUUAACGUUGGUUAAAAGGAAUCGCCAGAUGGGAUUCCAGGUUGUUUGAGAUCGCCAGAAGGGAUCUCGUGUUUCACUAUUGUGGAGGUCGCCAGAUGGGAUUCCAGGUUGUUUGAGAUCGCCAGAAGGGAUCUCAUGUUUCACUAUUGUGGAGGUCGCCAGAUGGGACCUCACACUUAAUGUUGGUUAAAAGGAAUCGCCAGAUGGGAUUCCAGGUUGUUUGAAAUCGCGAGAAGGGAUUUCGUGUUUCACUAUUUUGGGAGGUCGCCGGAUGGGACCUCAUACUUCAUGUUUGUUAAUAGGAAUCCCAGAUGGGAUUCUAAGUUUGAUUAAAGGAGAUCGCCAGAAGGGAUCUCGCAUUUCGAUAUUUGUCAAAAGGAGUCGCCAGAAGGGACCUCAUAUUUCAUUUUCGCUAAAGGGAAUUGCCAGAUGGGAUUCCGAUGGCCGAAGAGGAUUGUUGUAAAGAAAGAGUUUCAGAUCGAUCAAGCUUCGACCAGAUCAGUUUUCGGGAGUUUAGUUGGGACUAUCUUUAUAAAACUUACUACGCAAAACCUUUGCUCCGUAAGCUCUAUAAAGAGGGGGCAUCUGUUGUAACCCAUUUUUGGGUCCCCGCAAAAAAAAAAAAAAAAAGCCAAAGAAGGUUAGAAAAAUAACAGGAGGCAGAAGCGCUCGGAAAAUGGUCAGAAAAUUGGUCAAGGAGUAUAAAAUACAAAGAUUGGAUUUUUGGCAGUAUAUUCUUGAAGGAUGAGGGCCAUUUAGAAGGAAAUUUUGAAUUUUGAGGAGAAAAGCCCAAAUUUGGAUGUUUAUGGACUUAAUUGAAUUUUUUAAUUGGAUUUAUAGGGGAUUUGAUUGCAAGAAAAAUUGAUUUUUAAGUCAAUUUGGGCUUUAAAUAGAAGAAAUUUAAGUUCUGGGGCCAAAUUAUAUUUUUAGGAUUUUAUUAAGUCAAAUCAGGGGCUUAAUUGCAUAAAUAUUGAAGUUUAAUGGCCAAUUAGGGGUUUAAUUGUGAAAAUCCGAAACCAGGGACCAAUUUGGAAAAGGCGCAAAGAUAGGGGGGCUGUUUGGAAUUGAUUGAGGGGCCUAAUUGAAGAAAUUGGAAGUUUAUUGAUCAAUUGAGGGCUAAAUUGCAUAAAUCAGAGGCCAAGGACUAAAGUGGAAAAGGCGGCCAACUAGGCGGACGAGACCGAAAUUGGCAGGGACGCAAUUGAAAGGAACAAAAAUAAUUGGGGGACUGAUGUGAACGUUGGCGCGUUUCUGGCGCCACAUUUAAAUGAAACGGCGCGUUUUCUCCAAAACGACGCCGUUUCAUGCGUUUUAUUUUUUUAAAAAAGAAAAAGACCAAACGGUGCCGUUUUGAACGGCACUGUUUCUCUUCUUCUUCCCCCUGCAGGCGUAGCAGAGAAGAGGAAAACCGGGGUUUUUGUCCCCGCCUCUCUCCUCACGUGCCAUGGCCCGACACUCCACACCUUGGGACCCCCGAAACCGAAGCCACUGGCCGACCACCCGCCGCGCCACCGAAACCGAGAGAAGCACCUUGGCAGCGGCGCCUGCCGACCGAGACCAGCACGCCUCGUUCCCCCAUGCAUGCCCCGAUAUGCCUAUAAAUAGAGAAGAAGCAGAGUGAGAGAGGGAGGAGAACCGAAGGAGUGACCCGAAAAGAAAGACAAAAAAGAGACAGUGAGAGAGAGAGAGACCACAACUUCAGAAACAGCGACUGGAAACACAGGGUGGAGCAGCUUGGGAUAGUUGAAACCGAGAGGGGACUCAAGCAUUUGAAACAGAAGCAAACGAACCGAAGGAGUGGGUCUCGGUCCUCUUGAAAACCACCGCGAGCUAAGCCGCUGCCACCGCCGCCACCGUAGCCUCCGCCAGCAAGCCGCCGUCUCCGCUGCGCCAGGUACGCUACCCCCCCCCUGCAUUUUCUUUCAAGGCUGGCGUAGUUUGGCCUCCUGCAUGCAGAAUCGUUUCUGCAUGCAGGAGGCACGGGGGGGAAAAUAAUUCCCCCCGUUCAUUUCUGUUUUUUUCUUUUGGGCCAGACAGGGUCUGGCCCAAUGAUAUGGGUCUGGGCCGGUCUGGCCCAGAUUGCGGGUCUGGGCCGGUCCGGCCCAGAAGACAAGAUACUGUUAGGCCGAGUCCGGCCCAACGUUUUUUUUGGGGCUGGAGUCCGGCCCAAUUAAUUGGGUCGGUCCAGCCCAUUUAAUAUAUUAAUAUUAUAUUAUUAUAUUAUGCAUGUAUAUAUAUGUAUAUAUAUAUAUUUUUAAAAAAAAAUAAAAAAAUAUUUCCGAAAAAAUAAAAAAAAAAUAUUGUUGUUUGCUUUUCACAUAUAUAUAUAUAUAUAUAUAUAUUUUUGUUUGUUAUAUACAUUGAUUUGUUUUUUAUACCAUGGGGAUAUAAUUUCAGUGUUUAACAACACCCGUUUUCGUCAAAAAAAAAAAUGUUUUCUUGCGUGUUGCAUACGGCCAAUACUCUAACAUGGUUUUGAAUUUUCUUUUUUAUAUACAAAAAAUAUUGGAAGCUUUGAAGGUGUGUUUUCGCAUAGAUUUCUUAAACACAAAUCAUUUUCUUGCAUUUGUGGAUUUUACAACAUGUUUGUAAAACUCCAAAGGGUAUUGGCCAAUAUUCCAAAAACUAUAAAAAUCUUAUUUUGGGAGGAGAAAUUGUAUUUUAUUAUUCACCGCUAAUGUUUGGAUGAAGAAAUCUUUAUAAGGAUGAACAUCUAAAAUAUUAUUGGGAGUAAUAAAUCAGCACACAUGUUGGAAAGAAGCUUUGGUUGUAAUCGAGGAUAUUUCAAAAAAAAUUUUACUCCACGGUUUACGAGUCGUAAAAAUAUAAAAUUGUUUUUUUUAAGAGUUGUGAAUUUUUCUUCGUUUUUUUUUCUUUUCCGGGUGAUUUACGAGUUGACGGGAUUAGAAAACACCAACACCAUAGCAAUUAUAGAGCAAACCAAACACCAAGCAGCUUACCUUAGGUAGGGCAUACUAGGGGUGCUGAUACCUUCCCUUUACGCAACCAGUCCCUUGCCUUAGAAUCUCUGAAAGACCAGUUAGGGUUCCUAGUGACCAAAAUACUAGGUGGCGACUCUAAAGAACCAAAUCAUUAAAACACAACGAAAAUCGCCAGCCGAUGUCGCGCUCUUUACAAUUUUUUUGGUGGGGGGGUGUGACAAAGUGCAUCAAUUAUCAACUAAAAUAUAACAAAAAGGAGAAAAAGAUAGGUGAUGUAGAGAGAGAUGAGUGUUUUAGAGCUAUUUAGGGUAUUUUUGAGGGUGAGAAGAGAAAGUACGAGAACUUAAAAAUAAGUUUCAGAUGGCAUUUGUGAUAUGUGAAAGUGUGUUAGUUUUUUAAUUAUUUUUUUUAACUGUGUUACUUUAUCUUUUAUUUAACUGUUUUAAAAAACAAAAAAUCUCCAAUAAUAGAACUCUAGUUUUCGUAUAAUGACCGGCUGUAAUUUAGUCAACAUGAUUUAAAGAAAAACAGCCUUUUCCUCGACGUUUGAAUUGGAGCAGCGAAGGGCUUUGAAAUUAAUAAUUUCCUGAACCAAAACUUGUCUCCUGGGAGAAGCAUUAAACAAGUUUCCUUAGCUGGGCGACCGACCAAAUUUCAAAUACAAGACUAUCAAGUUUCUUUAGCUGGUCCCUUCGUUAACUAUCAAGAGUGAGCGAGUGUUGGAAACGCGGCAAUAUUAAUUAAAUCAUUAAUGGAAAUUAAACAUGGAUAUAUAUAUAUAUAUAUAUAUAUAUAUAUAUAUAUAUAUAUAUAUAUAUAUAAUGAAAAUGAAGUUAGAGAAUCAAAUCUUCAGAUAAAGCCUUAAUUAAUGAAAUCUUCUGAUCCAAUGUGUAGCUAACAAUUGAACUUUUCUUCAUGUGCCUUUUCCUCAACUUUUGAAUCGGAGCAAUGAAGGACUCAUUUGUUCAUGAGCACAUAAUUGAGAGUUGAAAUUGUUAGUAUUAAAAAUGCAACAAAAACAUAAAGAAGAAUACCUCAUGUUUCUUUUUCAGGACUUAAAAAAAAAUUCAAAACGAGUUGAAGAUGGAAAAAAAUUCAAAAUGAGUUACAGAUGGUAUUGCGACUCGUGAAAAUAUAUUAGUUUUUUUAAUUAUAUUACUUUACUUUUUUUUUAAUUAUAUUAAAAACUAAAAACACUCCAAUAAUUGAACCUUAGUUUUCGUAUAAUAACAGGCUGUAAUUUCGUCAAAAAGAUAAAAAGAAAUCAGCCUUUCCUCGACGUUUGAAUUGGAGCAGAGAAAUUUGAGGAGAAGGAGCGACGGUUAAAUUUUUGGAUUCAAGUGCAAGGGAAACAAAAUGGAAAUGAGAAAUUGAGUGAGGGAUAAUGAAUAAAAAAUAAAGCAGUUCGUAGUCUUAGCUUUCUUGACUCAAAAUUCAGAAGACCACAAAUUAUAUAUAUAUGCAAAAUAAUGUAUAGUUUGCCAAACUACGUAAUAAUUUACUCUACAUGGUUUAAAAAGGAUUAGAAGUAGAGCUCUAGCACAUUAAUCACAUUAAUCCUCGCAAGACCAAAUAUUAAGUUCACACUUUUAGCAUUACAAAUUGGUAUACCGACAAAAAAAGCUUGACUAACCCUGAUUUGCAAUGUCCUUUAAGUAAUUUCAACUUAUAUUUUAAACAUAUUCUAGCCAAGUCGAUCACAUAACAUUUUUGAUAAUUUGUUAAGGGGCAUUUUUGAUGUCGUAGUUAGGAAUUCAUGGCUUCCUCUAUUAUAAGUGAUAUAAUUAUCAGUAUUGAUAAUAAUACUAUCAUGAAAGUAUAAUAUUUAUAAAUUAUAAAUACUCUUUCAAACAACACAACAAAACACAAUUAUAAUUUAUUAAUAUCUUAUGAUUAAUCAAAAUCCAUCAGGCGCGGGGGGGGGGGGGGGGGGGGUGGGGGUGGUUUUGAGAACUUAAAAUUCAAAAUGAGUGGAGGCUAGUUUUUUAAUUAUUUUUUUAGCCGUGUUACUUUACCCUUUACUUUAAUGUGUCAAAAAACAAAAAAUCUCCAAUAAUUGAACUUUAGUUUUCGUAUAAUGACCGGCUGUAAUUUGGUCAAAAAGAAUUAAAGAAAAACAGCCUUUUCCUCGACGUUUGAAUUGGAGCAGCGAAAGACUUUGUUCAUGAGCUCAUAAUUGAGUUGAAGAGGAGAAAUUUGAGGAGACUUUGGAUUAAAUUGUUGGAUUAAAGUGCAACGGAAACAUAAUGGAAAUGAGAAAUUGAGUGAGGGAUAAUGAAUAAAAAAUAAAGUAGUUCGUAGACUUAGCUUUCUUGACUCAAAACUCAGCAAGACCACAAAUUAUAUGUAUGCAAAAUUGUUGCAACGCAUUUUGGCCCCCAUACAAAAAAGAAAAAAUACAAAAAAAAAUCAAAAAUAAAAAAAUUAUACAAGAAAUAAUAACAGUAAAAAGAGAAUGUUAGAACGCUCAAACUAUGGUAAAAAAUUGAUCGAGGAGGUUCAAAAAUACAAAGAUUAAAAUUUGACGAUAUAUCGUUGAUCGAUGAAAGCCUUGUUGAUGAUGAAAAUUUAAUUUGAGGAAGAAAAGUUCAAAAUUAAAUAUAUAUGGACUCAAUUAAAUUUUAUUGAAACAAUAUAACUUUGAGAUGGUUAGAAAUCAAACUCUCUUUUUUCCCCUAUAUAUCCAGGAUAAGUUUACAAGAUUUGUGAUUAGAUAAGUGCAUCAGAUUAGAUUCCAUGCAAGCACUUCAGCAUUGGCUAUAACAGCCACUAAUUAUUAUCAGUCCUAGUAUGAGAAAAUUGAAGAUAUCUAGCAGGAUCAAACCUUAUAUUUCAAUGCCAGAUAGGUAAUGCCAUGUCUAUUCUUCCUUGUAUAUGUUCAUAAACAAGAGGAUGAAAGAAGGGAAGAGGUUCAUAAACAAAUGCCAGAGGAUCUUAGCCAAGUCGCCAAAAGGAGGCAAGUACACUUGCAAGCCUUGUGCUGCUUCUCAUAAAUUCUCACAUUGCCCGAUGCUUGAAUUCACUUGAGAGAUGCAUUUUUUCUCUCUCUGAAUGCGUUGCUGGUUUCAUUUUUCCAGAUCACCCUGUUGGGGAUUCCGACCGGUGAUCUACUGAUAAUUGCUCAACGGAGGGGAAGCACACUGACAACAAUAUUUUACAUGGUUACACCAAAGGAUCACUUCAACCAGAUGGUCUCACACAUCACAUCUGAAGAGUGUUAACGCUCAUCUCUGGGAACAUUCCCCUUCGAGCGUAUCAACCAUGCUCGGUCCGGAAUGAUUUAUCAAGCCUCACACCAAGGCUUACAAUACCCCCUCAAACGAAAUUUUUAUUUCCAAGUGCGAUGAAAUUUUUAUUUCCAAGUGCGACAGUCAUAAUCUGAGUAUCUUAAUAUGAUCACUAGCUCACCACUCUUCCAAGAGUCUACUCAUCCAGGAGUUGCGCCUACCCUCUGUUCCACCUUAGAAACCACGCCUUACUUCUCCAUGAGUCUCUCGCUCUUAGUCUCAAGAGUUCAGGUCGCUAUCCACCUUUAACCAUGGGGGCAGCCCAUUAAAGGUUGAUCCAUAUCUGUCUUCAUACUCUGAGUAUUACAAUGUCAUCUCUGAGCUCACCACCUUGACAAGAGUCAACUUGUUCCCGGAACCUGCGCAUGCCCUCUGCUCAUUCAUAACAGUUGCGUCUUAAUGCUCCACAAGUCACACACUUAUUGUCCAAGGCAAAUGUCUUCUAGCUCAUUGAUCUUUAGCAUGGGGGCAAUAUCCAUGAAAGUCAAUCCUGCAUUUGUCUUCAUACUCAUGAUAGCCACUUCAUUGACUAUCCAUUUGUCCACUUAUAUCUAGCCAUCAUAUCGACUCUGGGGCGUUCUCAACUGGGCUCAUAUCGUGGCCCACACACCUUCUCCUUGGGUGUCUCCGCUCGUCGUCAUGCGGAGAUCUAAAUCUGGGGCUUCUAUCAUGGCCCAUACACCUUCUCCUGAGGUGUCUUUGCCUUUCAUAGGCAGUCACAUCCUCCUUCAGCUGGGAUGCUUCAGCGACUCCAAGAUUCUCUACCACCAUGUGGACUUGGGAAAGAUCAAGGCCACUGAAUACAUAGAAAGUGAAAGUUGCGGAAUACUCCUCGCAAUCCUCCACCUCGAUUUUUAUGUUUGGAGCUUCUACGUCUUUCUGCUUGAUAGCUCCACCUACACCACUCUUUUUGGUGCCUUCGCCUUUCAUAGGCGAUCGCCUUUUAUCAUAGGCGUUUGCACCUCCUCAAUUAGGUGCCUCUACAACAACUCAUCUUUCCAUCCUUGCAUGCAUUGGAAAGGUCCUCGCCUGUUGUCUUCAUUAAGAGCAUAAGAGACUUCAUGUUGUACACAGUCUCUGCUCUGAGCUUCAUCUGGGAACUCUUCUUCUCCUUGCACCUGUUGUCUCAUUACAGUACCUCGUUGGAUCCUACGGGUACUCUUGCACAAUCUCCGUGUGCCCUCGUGCAAUUUCUGUUCUCCAGAUUUUCUCCUUAUUCCUUGCUUAUGUUUGACAGCAGCUCAUCCUGUCACAACAACUGUCCAAGUCAAAAUAGGGUGCCAAUCUUUAUCCCCUUGUUGUAUUUCUCUUCCAUUAUCAGGGUCUUCAUCAAUUCUCCCCUCGAGAAAUCACAUUCACCGAAUCUAACUUCUUUAGAGAAAUCACUACUUCAUCAGAUCCUUGAUCAUACGGAACCCAUCUGUUCCCCUUGUGCCGUCAUCCUGCUAGUCUUCAACCGUUUCAUUACAAACUGCUAUAUAUAUGAAAAUAGUACCGUAUGGAUAAUCCUUCCACUAAGUAAGUUCCCAGGAAAGAUUGGAGGGGUCACACUGGUCCCGCUUAAAACACAAUCUCCUAGACAGAACUUUUUAGGCCAUAUCUAUCCAUCGUACUGUCUUUCCGUAUAUACAACCAUUUGCUAGCUUUGUUGCGGCUUUCCUUUACAAGUGAUCUGGAAUACAGGUUUAAUACAUGAUUUCUCAACAUCUAGCGAGACUACCAGUGCUUAGAUUCGUCAAGAUUGGUCUUCAUCAGUUUUCACUCUCCACCUCAAAUCGUCCACAUAACCGGGUGUCCAGAGUGUCCCAAUUUUGCCUUCCAUCAAGGUAAUUAAAUUCGUCACUUAACAGUUCAGCACAUGUAAUUUGGUAAACAUGUGCACCUUCUUCUUUUUCAUCUCCAUUGACCUCCAUCAAGACCCUUAGAUGCCUCCUGAUCGGGCAAUCUCUCUUAAUAAUUAACCACCACCAUUUCCUGGUCUCGCAUAUCAAUGAUCGGACCGUACCAUUGCAUCCAGAAUGAUCAAAUUAGCUGGAAACAUGUCUUGAAUCGUCCAAAUCGCACUUCAGACGGCUAAGAUUUGAUCAAAACAAUUCUGGCCUGAUCAACGGCUCAGAUUCAAUCUCAGAUCCGGUUGCACGUAGAAUCUGCUGCACAAAAUCCUUUCCCUUGGCUCGCGGCUCGGCUCGGCUCCCAUUCGGCUCGGCUUGGCUCGGCUCGCAGCUGAUGACAUGGCAUGUGGGUCCCACGGUGCUGACGUUUCUGCUGAUUGGGCGAUGACAUGGCAUGCCAACUCUGCAUGCUGACGCCAUACUGACAUCAUGAUGACGUCAUCUCUAUCCGGGUUUGUCACGUGGGUUGGGUCGCCUGGUAUUCGGGUCGGGUCAGGCCAUCCGGGCAAAGAAGACGCGUGGCGCGCGUCUGCGCGCGUGGCCAGCCAUGCCCGACGUCCGAUUUCGACACGGUUUUCAAUUGUGGCUUCGUCUCUUCCUCCUCUACACAGUAGUAUGGUCAAAACACAAUUUUGACAACUUUCAUUUUUGAGCAAAAAUCAAACACCACUUUAAACCAUCAGCUCUGAUACCAAUUUUUGGGGAUUCCGACCGGUGAUCUACUGAUAAUUGCUCAACGGAGGGGAAGCACAUUGACAACAAUAUUUUACGUGGUUUGGCAAAACCGCCUACAUCCACAGGAGAGAGUCAAUAUUAUUUAGAGAUUGAGAAAUGAUACAAUAAGUACAUGGAGAAGGAGGAUCACAUCUACUUUACUCAACUCUCAGCUUUCUUUACUGCCCUUGCAGCUGCUGCAAUGGCUGCUGCCAUUGCAGCUCUUUCUUCUCUCUAUUCUCUUCACAUGCUCACACUCACUCCUUUGCUCUCAAGAUACAUGCCUCUUUUAUAGGCAAAAACAUGGCUGAAAACAUGGCAUGAAUUAUGCCAUAAUUCAUGCUUCCACUUGCUUGGUGGUGGGGUAGCCCCACUAAUAGCAAUACCUAACACACCCUAUAAAUCUAAAAAGAGUGGCUCAUCUGUUAUUCUUAUAAUAGUUAUACCUAGUAGCAACAAAAGUGGGAAGAAUAUUACCAGAAAUAAAUUUGUUCUAAAGUCUUGAAUUGAUAGCUGCAAGUUGUCUGCAAGAUCAAAUCCCUUACAUUUGUCUACAAUGCCUCCAGCACCUGAAUUCGUUUGUCACUUGCUCCCCUUUGAAAAAGGUAACAGCAUUACCAGCUCAAACCCUGAUUCUAACCCUUGAUUGAUUGAACAUGGAGCAUGAUCAUUAUAAAUUGUAUUGGUAAAAUCCUGCCCCAGUGGUGUUUAUCCAUUGUUGAACCUCUUGUGGACACAACCACAGCCAUGAGACCUCAUGUACUGGUCUUCAUCACGCCUUUCAACAUUCUCCAGAUGAUGGAAUAUAAAGUGCAUUAUCUGAUAUAAACAUGAGUUUUUUAUCCUGAAAAAUGUAGUUUUAGCAAAUGAAAAGUUUAGGCACCUACUUAUUUGUUUUUAAAGAUUUUUGAUGGUUGGGGGUUCGAUUUAGUCAUGGAAAAGUUUUGGUAAUUGUUGCCUGUUGUGUUCUAUCCAAAUCCAAUGACUUCCAUCGCAAUGGAUAGAAGAUAGUAUGGUUCCUCAAGAGAACUAGAAGAAAUUAAACAAAGUGUCUUUAUGGACUACAAAAAUAUUAUCCGGAGGAUUUUAUUUGUUUGAGCUUGCUGUGGAUUUUUUAACCCUUUACAAGGCACCUAGGGCAUUGUCCCAGUCAGACUUGCGGAGAGUUCUUGGCACAUCAACUAAGACUAAGGUUGCUGUAAAUGGGUACAGUAAGCCAAUGCUAGAAUAGUCUGUUACGUGAUUUACUCAACUUGAUAUUGUUGGAUUUAUUGUUACUGAUUUGUUAUAACUGCCUAGCUCUAGAAUCUGUUCAUAGUCAUGACAGCUGGUUUCCCCUUCUUCUUUAACCGUCUUCUAAGAAACAAUAUAUAUAUAUGAUUUACUCUCUGACCUUAGAGAUAAGGAGAACAGAGAUUCACAUUCUCAAAUUCUAUCUUUUUGAAAUGAUUGUCAGAGAGGUCGAGCUUUUGAAGAUGAUGCAGGGAGAAAAAGGGUGCUAUUGGAAUGGAGGGUGCCAUAAGGAAUGCUGCAGGAGAGGUCCAGUCCAGUGACAGGCCCGGUUUUCAUGUCACAAGUGACCCCAUCCCACGAGCAGCAGUCUGUACUAUCUAUCCAUGACUCUGUUUUUGGAAAAGGAUAUUGACAGUACUCCAAUGAGGCAGAAGGAUUGUUUGAAUUGAAGGAGAGAAAGAGAUUGGUGAUGAGCACACAAAUGAGAAGAAGAGGAGGAGGAGGAGGAGGAGGAGGAGUGAUUUGAGGAGAGUGGAGAUGAAAUUGUUGAAUGGAAAUGGAAGAGAAACAGAAUGAAAGAGAGAGAUUGAGAGAGGCACAGUUGUGAAAACCCCAUUACAGGAUUCGAAGUAUAAUUAGGAGAGAUGAGAAAUAAAGAAAGGCAUUAUUAGUAGUAUUUAAUUAUUAGUAGUGUUAUCUUCAACACUAUGAAUCUGCCACUUUAGUGUUGUUCCAAAGCCAACUCCACUCGGUAUCACUUGAGGCACAACCUUUAUUGAAAUAACACUGCAAUAAAAACAAUAUAUAACUGUAGUUAUGAUUAUUUAUAAAAAAUCAGAAAGGAAACAACUUACAGAACGAACUUUGAAGAUACUGACUGCAUUGUUUAGUUUCUUCUUGCACCAUUUCUACUAGCUUUCUUCUUUGUUCUGAUUGCAUUAAGACUCCAUUGAUCUUCAACCAUCUUCAGAAACCAUGCAGGUCUUCUUGUUUUAAACACGACAUUUUCAUUAUGACUCCAAACAUAAACCCACAUCCAUACCCAAUUGCCACAGCUUUCCAUCCAAACCCAUCUUCAAGCAAUGUUGAAUCAUCUCCUGCAAUAAAGUUUGAUGGCGGUAAUGGUGGUGCCUCGCCAUUGCUACAUUCUUCUGGCAUUGGAAAUCCACACAAACCGGAGGUUCCUUCGAAUGAGCGAUGAUCAAACGUGUUGAACUGCUUUCCUUUGGGUAUGGGUCCUUCAAGCUGGUUAUGUGAAAGGUCUAAGACUUGAAGAAAUGUUAGAUCUACCAACUGUAUAGGAAUCCUUCCAGUUAAUAAAUUUGAAGAUAGAUCUAAUGAUUCUAGAUUGGUAAAAGUUCCUAAUGAUGAUUGGAUAUAACCAGUAAGGUAAUUGUGAGAGAGGUUAAGUUGUUGGAGUCCUUUAAGCUUUCCGAUCAAAUUUGGAAUCUCACCGGUGAAACUAUUACUUGACAAAUCAAGUACUCUGAGGAUACCUUGAAUUUUUACAAACUCAAAUUCCAAUCCUUUCCACGUCAUUUCUAAGGAAUAGGCAUAAAUAUUGGCAAAGCCAUAGUAAUUGCUCAAUGUCAUGUAACUCGUAUUUUGAUCCGAGGCCAUCAUUGCUUCAAAACUAUUAAAAAACCCUGUUGGUAAUGGUCCACUCAAAUUAUUGCUGGAGAUGUCAAAAAUAUGUAAUUUAGAGAAUGAAUUAUAAGUAGUCGGAUCCUUCACAAAACCCUGGAGAUUAUUGGAUUUUAGAACAAGAACCUGCAACUUUGAAAGCCUUUCUAGGAAAUGGGCGAAUGUAUCCUUAAUCUUAUUGUUGCCAAGAUCAAGAAUUUCCAACAUUAUGCAAUUGAUGAUAGAUGAUGGUAUUUCCCCUUCCAAUUCAUUGUCAUUGAGUUUGAGAUAUUCCAAGUUAUUCCUCUCUGAGAAUGCUAAAGAGAUAGUGCCUUGAAGAUUGUUCAUGCCUAGAUGCAAAAUUGAGAGAGUGUUGCUGAAGUUGCUCAAACACUGUGGAAUAGAACCACUCAGACUGUUGUUGGACAAGUCAAGGAUCUCAAGGUAUUUCAGCUUGCAUAUAGAAUAAGAAAUCUCACCAGUCAAUUUAUUGUUGGACGCAAGAAUAAGGACUUUCAAAUACUCUUGGUUGAAAAUUGAGCUUGGGAGUGGACCAUGGAAUUGAUUAUUGCUCAAAUCAAGGUAUUACAACGAAUUAUGUUGGAAUUCACUUAUAUGGCCUAUGAAAUGAUUGUUUUGAAGGUCCAAAUAACCUAAAGAAGGAAGAGAAAACAAAAAGGAUGGUAUUGUCGCAUUGAAAAAGUUACUAAAUAAAUAUAGACUCUCUAGAUUUGAAAGGUUUUCAAAUGAUGACGGGAUUUCACCGCUUAAAUUAUUAUGUGAGAGGUCUAACAUUCUAAGCUGUGUGAGAUUACCAAGAAGAGCUACAUUUGUCCUUCGAAUGUCACAAUUGCGAAGCCAUAUGUAUUCUAACGACUUGAGCUUUCUGAUGAAGUCAUUUUCUAAAUAAACUGAAAUUCUUGUAUCAGAAAGCUCCAACUACCAGAGGACAUUACUCACAUUGGAGGAAGGAAAAGAGCCAGUGAGGCCUUCGUUGUCUGCCAAAAUGAGGGAGUCAAGGUUUGGUAGAAGAAAGAUGUUACUUGGGAACUCCCCUUGCAAUCCACAAUCCACAAGUGAAAGCAAUGUCAAAGAAGAGGACAAAUUCGUUAAGGAAUUAGGUGCAACCAAAGACAUAUCUAUAUAAUCCAAGUAAAGUACUGUUAGCUUGGUAAGGUUUUGAACAAUCUUGGCAAAAGAGACUGUUUCUAGACUUAGAUGUUUGUUUGAGAUAUCAAGUGUGUUGGGCGGAAUCCGGUGACCGGUGAUGUACUGAUAAUUGCUCAAUGGAGGGAUAAGCACACUGAGACACAAUAUUUUACGUGGUUCGGCAAAACCGCCUACAUCCACGGGAGAGAGUCAUUUUAUUAUAGAUAGAGAAGGGAUACAAUAAAUACAUGGAGGAGGAGGAUCACAUCCACUCACUCAACUCACUCAACUCACUCAUUGCUGUAAUGGCAGCAGGGUUGCUGCCCAUGGUAGCAGCUCCUCUUUCUCUCUUCCUCUCUAUUGCACUCACAACUCUCACAUUUAGCUCUCAAAGAUGGUGCCUAUAUAUAGCAUGAUGGUGCCACCAACUCCAACCUUAUUUUCAACAAAGGUGGAUGGUCAAAGUCAAUGUUAGGUUGCUGCACAUUAAAUGGCAACACACCUAACAAUCACCCCCUUUGACAUUUAUAUGGGCAAUUGUCCUCUUGCUUCUUCAGCACAAUCUUGCAUCCUACAGUUCUUCCAAGCUUACCAUUCCGAGAGAGUCUGCGGCCAAGUUUACAGGUACUUGUCAAACCUUUCAAUCACCAGAUUCACCAAAGCACACCCUUGCUUACACCAAAGGAUCACUUCAACCAGAUGGUCUCACACAUCACAUCUGAAGAGUGUUAACGCUUGUCUCUGGGAACAUUCCCCUUCGAGCGUAUCAAUCAUGCUCGGUCCGGAAUGAUUUAUCAAGCCUCACACCAAGGCUUACAACACCCCCUCAAACAGAUAUUCCAAGUGCGAUAGUCAUUAUCUGAGUAUCUCAAUAUGAUCACAAGCCCACCACUCUUCCAAGAGUCUACUCAUCCAGGAGUUGCGCCUGCCCUCUGUUCCACCAUAGGAACCACGCCUUACUUCUCCAUGAGUCUCUCGCUCUUAGUCGUAAGAGUCCAGGUAGCUCUCCACCUUUAACCAUGGGGGCAGCCCAUUAAAGGUUGAUCCAUAUCUAUCUCCAUACUCUGAGUAUUACAAUGCCAUUACCGAGCUCACCACCUUGACAAGAGUCAACUCGUUCCCGGAACCUGCGCAUGCCCUCUGCUCCUUCAUAGCAGCCGCGUCUUAAUACUCCACAAGUCACCCACUUAUUGUCCAAGGCAAAUGUCUUCUAGCUCAUUGAUCUUUAGCAUGGGGGCAAUAUCCAUGAAAGUCAAUCCUGUAUUUGUCUUCAUACUCAUCAUAGCCACUUCAUUGGCUAUCCAUCUGUCCACUUAUAUCUAGCCAUCAUAUUGGCUCUGGGGCGUUCUGAACUGGGCUCAUAUCGUGGCCCACACACCUUCCAUCUAAGGUGUCUCCGCUCGUCGUUAUACGGCGGUCUGAAUUUAGGGCUCCUCUCAUGGCCCUCACACCUUCUCCUGAGGUGUAUCCGCUCGUCAUCAUACGGCGGUCUGAACUGGGGCUCCUAUCCUGGCCUCCACACCUUCUCCAAGGUGUCUCCGCUCGUCGUGGAGCGGUCUCAUCCUCCUUCAUCGGGAUGACUCCAGUGGCUCCAAGAUUCUCUACCACCAUGUGGACUUGGGAGAGAUUACUGCCACUGACUACAUAUAAAGAGAAAGUUGCGGUAUACUCCUCGCAAUCCUCCACCUCGAUUUCUAUGUUUGGAGCUUCUACGCCUUUCUGCUUGACAGCUCCACCUACACCAACUCUCUUUGGUGGCUUCGCCUUUCAUCAUAGGCGGUCGCCUUUUAUCACAGGCGUUUGCACCCCCUCAAUUAGGUGCCUCUGCAACAGCUCUCUUUCCAUCCUUGCAUGCAUUGGAAAGGUCUUCGCUGUUGUCUUCAUCAAGAGCAUAAGAGACUUCCUGUUGUAAACUUUAACAGUCUCUGCUCUGAGCUUCAUCUGGGAACACUUCUUCUCCUUGCACCUGUUGUCUCAUUACAGUACCGUUGGAUCCCUCGGGUACUGCACAAUCUUCGUGUGCCCUCGUGCAAUUCUGUUCUCCAGAUUUCUCCCUAUUCCUUGCUUAUGUUUGACAGCAGCUCAUCCGUCACAACACCUGUCCAAGUCAAAAUAGGGUGCCAAUCUUUAUCCCCUUGCUGUAUUUCUCUUCCAUUAUCAGGGUCUUCAUCAAUUCUCCCCUCGAGAAAUUACAGUCACCGAAUCUAACCUUCUUUGGAGAAAUCACCACUCCAUCAGAUCCUUGAUCAUACGGAACCCAAUUGUUCCCCUUGUGCCGUCAUCUUGCUAGUCUUCAAUAGUUUCAUAACAAACUGUCACAUAUACGAAAAUAGUACCGUAUGGAUAAUCCUUCCACUAAGCAAGUUCCCAGGAAAGAUUGGAGGGGUCACAACGGUCCCGCUUAAAACCCAAUCUCCUAGACAGAACUUCUUAGGCCAUAUCUAUCCAUCGUACUGUCUCUCCGUAUAUACAACCAUUUGCUAGCUUUGUUGCGGCUUUCCUUUGCAAGUGAUCUGGAAUAUACUGGUUUUAUACCUGAUUUCUCAACAUCUGGCGAGACUACCAGUGCUUAGAUUCGUCAAGAUUGGUCUUCAUCAGUUUUCACUCUACACCUCAAAUCGUCCACAUCUCGGGUGUCCUGAGUGUCCCAAUUUUGCCUUCCAUCAAGGCAUUUAAAUUUUUCCAUUUAACAGUUCAGCACAUGUAAUUGGGUAAACAUGUGCACCUUCUUCUUCUUCAUCUCCAUCGACCACCAUGAUGACCUUCAGAUGCCUCCUCAUCGGGCAAUCUCUCUUUAAUAAUUCACCACUGCCAUUUUUGGUCUCGAAUCUCAACGAUCGGACCGUACCAUUGCAUCCGGAAUGAUCAAAUUAGCUGGAAACAUGUCUUGAAUCGUCCAAAUCGCACUUCAGACGGCUAAGAUUUGAUCAAAACAAUUCUGGCCUGAUCAACGGCUCAGAUUCAAUCUCAGAUCCGGUUGCACAUAGGAUCAGCUACACUGGAUCCUAUCCCUCGGCUCGCGGCUCGGCUCAGCUCAAAUUCGGCUCGGCGUGGCUCGGCUCGCGGCUGAUGAUGUGGCAGGUGGGUCCCCCUAUGCUGACAUGGAUGUUGAAUAGUCAAUUGCUUGCUGACUAUGUAUGCUGAUGUCAUCCUUGCAUUAUGCUGAUGUCAUGAUACCGUCACUGUUUAUAUCUACUGUUCACAUGGGUCGGGUCACCUGGUAUUCGGGUCGGGUCAACUCAUCCGGGUGAAGAAGACGCGUGGCAUGCGUGGGGCGCGUCUGCGCGCGUGGGCAGACGCCUUGCCGGAGAGUGAUGGAGAGUGCGGCCAUAUCCGACGUCCGAUUUUGACUCCGUGUUCACCAGUGGCUUCGUCUCUUCCUCCUCUAUACAGUGGGAUGGUCAAAACACCAUUUUGACAACUUUUAUUUUUGAGCAAAAAAUCGAACACCACUUAAACCAUAUGCUCUGAUACCAAUUGUUGGGCGGAAUCCGGUGACCGGUGAUGUACAAUGUGCAGCAACCUAACAAAGUGAAACCAAUUUGGAGAGAUGAGAGAUUUCCGAUGGAACUUGGCCAGCAAAAUUUGAAUGAGUUAGGUUAAGAUGCAUCAAAUUGGAAAACUGGCCAAAUUGAGAAGAGAUAUUGGAGAAGUUGAAAUCGUUGUAAGAGAGGACGAGCUUUUGAAGAUGAUGAAGAGAGAAGAGAGAAUUAUUGGAAUGCAGGGUUCCGUGAAGCAUGCUGAAAGAGAGGUCCAGUUCAGUCACUUGCCCGAUUUCCAGGUCACAAGUGACCCCAUCCCACAAGCAGCAGUCUGUACCCUCUUUCCACGACUCUGUCUUGGGAUGUUGAUCAUAUUGAUAAUUUCUAGCAAACCAAAAGGGAGUAAUCUGAAUGGAAAAGGAUUGUUUGAAUUGAAGCAGAGGAAGAGCUUGGUGAUGAGCACAUAAAUGAGUAGAAGAGGAGAGAUUUGAGGAGAAUGAUGAUGAAAUUGUUGUCAGAAAAUUCAAGAGAAACAAAAUGGAACAGAGAAACUGAGCGAGGGAUAAUGAAUAAUACUUCAUGUUGGCUUUUCAGGAUUCAAAGUAAAUUUGGAAUUUUGAAGGAAGGAAAUGUGGAAGUCGGGGAAAGAUGAGAAGUAAAGAAAGGCAAUAUUAGUAGUAUUUAUAGACAAACCAAUCUUAGGACUCAGAUUGUGCUCUAUUCCUUCAGUUUCUGUAGUAAAAAAAACGAAAGAGAGACAUCCUUGACUAUACUGACAGGAUGGGUGAAUGUGUAACACAUUUAAAGACGAAAUCAAAGUCAUUAUUAAUGUUUGAUCUUCAUACGUGAGAGUGUAGGUCCCUUAGUUGAUGCUAAAACAUGGAUAUAGACAAUGAAGUUUGAGAAUCUAAUUUUCAGAUAAAACCUUAAUUAAUGAAAUUAAGUUAGAUCUUCUCUAACAAUUGAACUUUUGUUUUCGUCUGAUGUCAUUUCCUCAACUUUUGGAUUGUAGCAAAGAAAGACUUGCAUGGUUGAUCAAAAGCACAUAAUUGAGUUGAAGGGGAGAGAUUUGAGGAGUGGGAUGAUUAAAUUGUUGUAUUAAAAUGCAACAGAAACAAAAUGAAUAAUACUCUUUACAGGCAGUGAACAUUAAAGGAGGUUUGCUUUAAUUUUGUUUGUUUGUAUGUUUGUUUUUUUAUUAUUUUAUUGUUGCUAAUGAACUCUUCUUUGUUGCUUCUCGAUAGGUUGCUUUUAGAGUAAGCAAAAUAUUUUUUUCCCCUUGGUAUUGUGAUCAAGGAUACUACAAAGAUUCCAAAGCUUUUUUUUUUUGUCGAAGAUUCAAUUUAGAUCUUCUCCACCUUAAAUUAGGUAGCUAACAAAUGAACUUCUGUUUCCAUGUAAUUUGGUAAAAAAGAUUUUGUUUUGCUCUCCUUUUUCCUCAACUUUUGUUCUUGAGCACAUAUAAUCGAGUUGAAGAGCUGACAUUUGAGUAGAAGGACGAUGAAAUUGUUGUUUUAAAAUGCAAGAGAAACAUAAUUAAUAAUAACACAUGUUCUUUUUCAGGAUUUAAAAAUUAAAAAAAAAAGUUAAAACGAAAAUCUGCAAUAUGUUUUUCCAUCACUAUUUUACAGACAGUAAGGUUCCUAUAACUUUCCUUCUUGACUAAAAAUUAUCCUAAAUAAUGGCCCGCUAAAUUGUUCUUGCUAGACCAAUGGAAACCAAGGCAAAGUGAUAAUUACAUAAAGCCAACGGAGCACUGGCGACUUUGUCUUUUUAUUCUUUUUCAUGACCCAAAAGUCUUCAUUGACGAGACCAAGAAUGGGAAAACAACUAUUUUUUAUUAUUAUUGUCGGCAAUACAUUUUUGGAUGUUAUUCAUGCAUAAACAGUAUUUUUAAUAGCUUAAUUAUAGAGAAUAAAUUUGAUUUUAUCAAAAUAGAAUACUCCAUAUAUAUUAUAUUAAAGAUAAAGGAUAGUAUAGAGUAUUAAUAAAACUUAUAAUAAAAAUAUUCAAUUUAAUACUUUUUUAGAAAAAAAAAAUAUUUUAUAAGCAAAAACUACCGUAGUUCUAAACAAAUAUGUCAUUGACGGGAAUAAGAAUAGGAACAUGACAGUAUUGAUUUUUAAUAUUAAAUAUUUUUUUAGGGUUGCUAUUUUUCUAAAUUAAUUAAUCCUUUUACUAUUAAAAAUAAUUAAAGAGUUAUUUGACAAAUUUUGAUCAUGCUUAAUUUAGUAAUAUUUUGUUUUUUUUAAAAAAAAUACUUUGCUUGCUUAUCAAUCUUUCAAUUUAUAUACUUUGAUUUUUCCAUUUUCUCAUUAUUAUAGUUGAGUGCUGAAUAACCAAAUUUUAAACAUAAGACUACUAAUCAAGUCUAUAUAUUGGAGAAGACGCGCUGCCACUGUUUAAAUGCCCAUAAACCUUCCAGUCACUAUUCUUGCAGUUGCAAAAGGCCUUCCCUGCCGUUCUUGUAGAUUUUUGGGUUUUAUUUUGUAAUUUUUGAAUUAUAUUUUAUUUUUUUAAAAUAUGUUAUUUUUUAAUCUAAAAGAUAGUGUAUGAGAAAAACAUAAUAAAAGGAGAUGUGGAUGUGUGUGUGUGUGUGUUUUUUUUUUUUAUGUAUGUUAUUGAACUAUAAAAUCAAAAAGAUAAAAAAAUAAAUUUAAUAUUUUAAUUUGUAUAUGGUCAAGUAUCUAAAAGACAAAUAAAAUCAUGUUUUAUUUUUUAUGAAAAUGUAAGAAUAUGUUUCUACAUAUAUUCUGAGAUUUAAUAGCUGAUUUAUUAAAACUUUAGAAUUUGGCUAAUAUUAAAAUUUUCAAAUCACAUUAAAUCACAAAAGCAAAUUAUUUCAGGUAGGGUGCGCUAGGGGUUCUAAUACCUUUCUUAGCCAUAAUCAAUUCUUUACUCGUAAAUCUCUGACAACGAUUAGUACACUCGGGUUUCCUAAUAACCUUCAAUCAAAUACUAGGGACUAAUAAUCUUCAAUCAAAUACCAGGAACUAAUAGAAACUUGAAAAAACACCCUAUUAACCCACAAAAUCAAAAACAAAACGAAAUUCAUGCAACUAAAUAUGUUUUUGAUUGAACUUCUGUUUUGGCCAAAUGAUCUGUAACUUUAUUCUUUUCUCCAAGAAUAUGUGUGUAAAGUUCAUAGAAGAAAGGAUACUACAACCAUUUGAAAUGUCAUUGAAAUAUAAAUCAGGCUAUACAAUCUACCACAAUUCAGCCUUUAUAGAGUGCAUAGAAACAAUUAAUAUUCAAUUAAAAAGUUUUUGAAUUGUCAAAAUCCUAGCCACAUUUCAUUCCGUAAUGCCUCUAUAACAAGAAAAGACACAAAAAAAUAAUCCCCUAUAUGAUUUUAGAAGUUGCUGAUUAUUCUUAUUAUGCAAAAAUUGAAUUAAUUCUUAUGGUAUUAAAAAUAAUUAAAUAAUCAUUUGACAAAUUUUGAUCAUGCUUAAUUUCGUAAUUUGUUGUGGUGUAGACCUACUACAGUUAUUGUUUGACAAAUAUACAGUUUGCAAAUUGAAGAAGAUAUUUCACCAUUCAAAUUACUAUUGGAUGCAAGAAAAACGAUUUCCAGCUGGUUCUCUUGUUUGAAAAUCAAGCUUAGGAUUGUACCAUACAGGUGAUUGUUACUCAAAUCAAGGUAUCUCAAUCAAUUCUGUUAGAAUUAACUUACAUUACCUGUGAAUUGAUUAAUUUGUGUCUCUAAAACAAUCUUAAUUUUGAACACCAUUUUAAUUAAUUUAAGAACUGUUUUUUAAUAAAAAAAAACUUAAAAUAUGAGAUCAUGUAUCCAGAUAAUUAAAAUAAAAAAUUGAUAAAGAAAGUCAUCUUCACCAUCUUAUGUUCACUCCAAUCUAAUCAAAUUCACAGUUGUACACCAAUAAAUUCAUUGAGUGAAUGUAGUCAACACGUUGUUGCAUUAAUUAACAUCACUGAACCAUUACUGGAAAACAGAGCAGCGUACUUAAUAAAACUGAAAAAAGAUUGAAGUUUCAAGGUAUUUGCACUCAAGAUUCAUAAGUUACUGUUGGAUUCUCAAGACCUUUCCUUUCCACCAUCAAAAAGGAAUUAGUACAUAGCCCCGAUCCGAAAGACCAAAGAGAAGUCUAUAACAUUAGAUUGUGCAUCGGAGCAGAUACACUGACAGGAUGGGUGAAUGUGUAACACAUUUAAAGACGAAAUCAAAGUCAUUAUAAUAUGUUUGAUCUUCCUCACUGCUGGGAGAAGCACGAAAACAAGUUUCAUACAACAUGGAUAUAUAUAGACUGGGAGUGUGAAACAUCCUAAGCUGGGUGAAGACCAGAUUUGGAAUUCAAGAUUAUCAAGUAGCAAAUUAAUUUAUGGAGCGAGUGUUGGAAACGCGGCAAUAUUAAUUUAUGGAAAACAUUUAUAUAUAUAGACAAAAUAUAGAUUUUAUGGGCCAUUUUUCUUUCCAUUAAUAUAUAUAGAAUGUAACAAAAGGUGGGGAUAUUACCAAUCUAUAAGUUGUUAAUAUCACUCCUCAUUUAUUAUAAGUUUUGUUAAUACUCUAUAUUAUCCUUUAUCUUUAAUAUAAUGUGGAGUAUUCUAUUUUGAUAAAAUCAAGUUUAUUGAAACAAUAUAACUUUGAGAUGGUAUUGCGACUCGUGAAAAUAUAUUAGUUUUUUAAUUAUAUUACUUUACGUUUUUUUUAUUAUAUUAAAAACUAAAAACACUCCAAUAAUUGAACUUUAGUUUUCGUAUAAUAACAGGCUGUAAUUUGGUCAAAAAGAUAUAAAGAAAAACAGCCUUUUCCUCGACGUUUGAAUUGGAGCAGAGAAAUUUGAGGAGAAGGAUCGACGGUUAAAUUGUUGGAUUAAAGUGCAAGGGAAACAAAAUGGAAAUGAGAAAUUGAGUGAGGGAUAAUGAAUAAAAAAUAAAGUAGCACGUAAACCUAGCUUUUUUUUAUUAUAUUAAAAACUAAAAACACUCCAGUAAUUAAACAUAAUAUGAAUAAUAAAAAAUAAAGUAAAAAUAAAAUUGUGCAGAAUAAUGUCCCACUAAUUAACUGUUGUGUCUAGACGGAUGGAAACCAAGGCAAAGUAAAAAUUACGCCAAGCAAUGGAGCGCUAAUGACUUUGCACAAUUAAAUAUUACGUAAGUGAUGUAACCUCCAUCAAAAUAUAGAAAUUCUAAAGUUUUGUAUUGACGGUUCAAUUAUAGUAGGGCUAAAUCAACUCACAUGAAAAGCCCAGUGAUAUAUGGACCUAAAAAAAAAAAAAAACCUUAUGCACACAAAAACUCAAAAGAAGUCAAACUAGGGAAGUAUAGCAAAAUGCUUUCCCAUCUUCGCUCUAAUUCUAAGAGCAUAUAAAUUUUAAAAAAAAUUGGCUAAAGAAUAGCAAAAUGCUUUCCUAUCUUCGCUCUAGGAGAACUCUGCAAUAUUACAAGUAUUUUUAAUACUCUAUAUUAUCCGUUAUCUUUAAUAUAAUAUGGAGUAUUCUAUUUUGAUAAAAUCAAGUUUAUUGAAACAAUAAAACUUUGAGAUUGUUAGAGAUCAAACUCUCUUUUUCACCUAUAUAUCCAGGAUAAGUUUACAAGAUUUGUGAUUAGAUAAGUGCAUCAGAUUAGAUUCCAUGCAAAGCACUCCGGCAUUGGCAAUAACAGCCACUAAUUACUAUAUAUCAGUCCUAGUAUGAGAAAAUAGAAGAUACAUAGCUAGGAAUAUCCUCUAUUAAAAGGAGCCUAGCAGGAUCAAACCUUAUAUUUCAAUGCCAGAUAGGUAAUGCUAUAUAUGUCUAUUCUUCCUUGUAUAUGUUCAUAAACAAGAGGGUGAGAGAAGGGAAGAGGUUCAGAAAAAAAUGCAAGAGGAUCUUAGCCAAGUUCCCAAAAGGAGGCAAGCAUACUUGCAAGCUUCUCAUAAAUUCUCACAUUGCUCGAUGCUUGAAUUCACAUGAGGGAUGCAUUCUCUCUCUCUCUGAAUGCGUUGCUGGUUUCAUUUUUCCAGAUCACCCGAGAAAUCUAAAAAGAGUGGUUCAUCUGUUAUUCUUAUAAUAGUUACCAAAAAUGGAUUUGUUCUAAACUCCUGAAUGGAUAGCUGCAAGUUGUCUGCAAGACCAAAUCCUUUACAUUUGUCUAGAAUGCCUCCAGCACCUGAAUUUAUUUGUCACUUACUCCCCUUUGGAAAGAGGUAACAGAGUUUGGUGUUUGGAACUAAAGCUCCCAAUUACCAGCUCAAACCCUGAUUCUAACCCUUGAUUGAUUGAACAUGGAGCAUGAUCAUUAUUAAUUGUAUUAGUAAAAUCCUGCCCCAGUGGUGUUUAUCCAUUGUUGAACCUCUUGUGGACACAACCACAAGCAUGAGACCUCAUGUACUGGUCUUCAUCAUGCCUUUCAACAUGCUCCAGAUGAUGGAAUAUAAAGUGCAUUAUCUGAUAUAAACAUGAGUUUUUUAUCCCGAAGAACGUAGUUUUAGCAAAUGAACAGUUUAGGCAGCUACUGAUUUGUUUUUUAAGAUUUUUGAUUGCUGGGGGUUCGAUUCAGUCACUCAUUUGCUCACAGAUUAUGAUGGUAACCAUCUCAGCUCAAUAUCUUUUGCAGCUUCUUUCAGUCUCUAAUGAGUUCUUGAGUUUUUGCCAAAUCUUAAACCAUGUUGUCAGCUCCUUAAUCUGAGCUAUAGAUAAAGUUAGAUGCAGGGUAGUUUAAUCCUAAUCACACGAAAGAAAGUGUCAGGUGUGCAGUAAGAGCGAGACCCCUUUUCUACAAAUUUUCUGAAUUCUAAUGAAAUCUACGGCAAUUUGGAAAAAAACCAACUCUCUGGCAGGAGGGAGAAGAAAGAAGCGUGGAAAACAGGAUCGUUCUCAGGUAUCAUUAGGAAUUGCUUCUAGGAGGAAAAAGUAUAAGGUUAGGUUUCUUAUUGUUGGAUUCAUGGAGUUAUUAUGGGUUGGUGGAAACUGGAGACCAAGUUCGUUUCGGAUAUAUUGGAACUUUUGUACAGUCGUGUUGACCUCUGGGCUGGUGCUAUAGUACUGUUGUCAUUGUUUAUUCAACCAUCCAGUUAUAAUAUUUCCUAGUGUCUUCAAACUUGCCAUUUGUUUUCUAGGCUGUCUAUACUUUGAUGGCUGCUACCAAACAACAAAUACUCAGUUUCUAAUGUCAACUGAAUAUAUGAAAAUAUCCAUCAUAUGGAGUGGAUUUAAGUUUCUGCUUAUCAUAAACUAAUGGCACAUGAUUAGUUCCAUUUAUGUGAGUCCACCUUUUUUGAAAAUGAUACUAUGUGAACGCUGAUGGCUGCUAUGUUCAGUAUUAGCCUCUUGCGUGACUGACUGGGAGGGGUUCAUAGUUGGAAGGAAUUAAAUUUGAAGACUUGGCCUUGAACCAAAAUGAUUGCUAUAACUGGAAAAUAUAGAUAUUAGUUCUUUCUAUGCCUGAUGAAAUUUGGAUUCGAAAACCAACUUUUCAAUUAUGAAACCUUCUGAUUGCAAUUGCUCUGUAGAAGAUGAAUUGCCUCUCUUGUGCUUGAGCUUUGUCUUGCAUUAGCAAAACAAUGAUGGUUUAAAAUUAUUGCAUUGUUAUUCUAAAACUUGCUGUCACCCACCGAUUAUGUUGAGUGAAAUUUAGUUUCACUCUGAUAUGUGAACAUUCCUAACUAAGAUUAAGCAUUCCUAACUUGUCCUUAUUGAAGGAUCUUUAUUAGCAGCAAGAUUUUGUUGGAUGCUCUAUUAACUUUACAAGAAUUGUUUCAAUCCGUUUAUAACUCUAUAACUUUCAAAAUACUCCUAGAAACAGAGAUGUAUUUAAGUUAUUUUAUAGUUAACACAAACUGGUUACAUGCAUGAAUUCUUUUUCAUAGAAGUAUUAUGUAAACUACAAAAAAAAAUAAAAAAAAAAUCCAAUACUAUAUAUGAAUUCGCCACCCUAUUGUUGAUCCACUUGAUAUCUUGUUUGUACUUACUGCAAAAUUAGAAAGGUAAGAAUGAUCAAAUGAAAUAGUAAAGAAAAGAUAGUCUAACAUAAACUGUGAACAUAAAAUUUGAAAACUCAAAUGCUUGCAAAACUUACCUGAAAAUAUCAAUUUCAUUAUUUAGUUUCUUCUAGCACCAUAUCUGCCAGCAUUCUUCUUUGUCUUUCUGCUCUGGAGAUUCCAUUUAUCUUCAACCAUCCUAAGAAACCAUGAAGGCUUUUUUGUUCUAAACACAACGUAUCCCGUUGCAACUCCAAACACAAACCCGCAUCCAUACCCCAUUGUUAUAACCUAAUUUUUGACCAUUUUUUUUUUUAUUAUUAUUUUAUUUAUGGAAAAGGAUGAAAAAAUUGAUGAAAAAAUAAUAAUGAUGAUGAAAUAAAUGAAGAAUGAAUUAAAUUUUGGGUUAAGGGCAAUAUGAAUGAAAGUUUUGAGGUUUAAUUAAACUUUGGAAUUAAUCUAAUUAAGUUUGGAAUUAAUUUGUUUAAUUAAGGGUUUAAUUGAAGAAUUGAUAAAUUUUUAGACUUAAUUAAGCUUGGAAUUAAUUUAAUUCUUCCAAUCAAGGAUUUAAUUGGAGAAUUGAUAAGUUUUGAGACUUAAUUAAGCUUGGAAUUAAUUUAAUUCUUCCAAUCAAGGGUUUAAUUGGAGAAUUGAUAAGUUUUGAGACUUAAUUAAGCUUGGAAUUGAUUUAUUUAAUCCAAUUAAGGGUUUUAAUUGGAGAAUUGAUAAGUUUUGAGACUUAAUUGGACUUGGAUUUAAUUAAAUUAAUAAAAUUAGGGACUUAAUUGAGGAAUAUCAAAGUUUAGAGUUUAAUUGGGGUCCAAAUUGCAAAACUUAAAAUACAAGGACCAGCUUGAAAAUGGCGCGGAAAUACAAGGAUCCAAUUACAUUUUAUCCAGGGGCUUGAUUGCAUGAUUUCAGAACUUCAGUGACUAGAUUGCAAAUGGCCAUUCCCAUCACACAAACGGCGCCGUUUCUAGAAACCAACCAUCGCCUUCUUCGUCUCCUUCCACAGGAACGGUUUCUGCAGUAAUGGCUUUGAAGCCGUUUCAAUUGCAGAGAUGCUUGACAUUCCCUGGCUAUAAAGCCAGAGAAGAUGAGAGAGCGCGAGAAAAAGGAGGGGAGUGGGGGUGGAAGAGAAUCACAGAAACGAAAGGGGAAGAAAAGAGACAGAAACAGGGGACUGAAAGGGGGGAAACAGUGGGAUUUUGGACGAGAAACCGAGGAAAAACUUCAGCUAAACCCAGACAAAAAACCAGAGGAGAAAAACUGGGGGAUCACAGAAACGAAAAAAAAACACAAACGAAGCAGACCCAAGGGGGGAAAGAAAACACAGAACCGAGAGUAUAAAUCCAGAAACGAAGAGAAAUAAACAGGGGAUAGACAGGGGGUUAGAUAGAGAGAUAGCAGAACAAAACAAAAAAAACGACAGAAAAGAGAAAUCAAAGAGCAACACAGAGAGGGGUUUAGUUUUGCCAUUGUUUUCGUCCCUGCAGAAAAACCCAGAAUCAACAACCAAUUCACAGCGGGCCGGCCUCUCCAUCGUCUUCUUGGUUUCAAAAGUCGCUGAAAAAAAACGAAGAGGCAACGUAGAAAAGUGAGCACAUAAGGAGACAAGCAGAAGGGAAAAACAUAAGCAGCCACCGUGACCAGAACCAGUGUCACUGCUGCCUUCGGUUUUGCCAGAACCAGGUAAGUAGGCUUCACUUCCCCCACUUUUCAUUUUAAUUCUCUCCCUUUACCUGCACAUACACGCGUGAUUUAAUUCACGCGUGCUUUAUGUUGCCCAGCCGGGUCACUGGCUUGGGCCAGUGACCGGGCUGGGCUGGGCUGGGUCCAGCCCAAACAAUACAAAAAAAAUAAAAAAAAUAGAAAAAUAAAAAAUGUGUAUGCAUGAAUAAAAAUAAUGUAAAUUUAUUGAUUUAUUCACUGACGCCAGAGUCAGGAAUAAAAAUAGCAGUUUAAAUUUAUAUUAUUUUUAUUCAUUGUAUUUUUAUUUUAUUUAGCUAAAAAAAUAAAAAAUAUAUGCAUGCGUAAAAAAUAAAUUUAUUUUUAUUUAUUCACUAGCGCUAGAGUAGGGAAUAAAAAACAUUAAUCUAUUUUUCUCGUAGCUACGAAUUUUUACCAACGCUAGAGUUGGAAUUAUUCGAGCUCGAAUAUUCACUGGCGCCAGAGUCAGGAAUAUUUAAACAAAUCAUCACAGCAUAAACUAAUAAACAUUUAGCAAUUUAAGACAAAACCAGCAAUGCAGUUUGCCUUAGGCAGAACGUUUAAGGGGUGAUAAUAUCUUCCCUUUUUACGUAACCAAUCCCGAACCAUAGAAUCUCUGUUGACCAGUUAGGGUUCCUAGUGACCAUAAUACUAGGUGGCAACUCCUCAAACGAGACAUUUUUUUCUAAAAAAAACCGGAUGCUAGAAUCUGUUCUUUUUUUCAUAAUUCAAGAGAAUUAUUAUUUUUUAGGGCCGCCGCGAUGUCGGGUGCGACACCCAUUGUCACAGCUUCCCAUCCAAAUCCUUCUCCAAAAAAUGUUGAAUCAUCUCCUUCAUCAAAGCUUGAUGGCGGUAAUGAUGGUGCCUCAUCACCGUAACAUUUUUUUAGCACUUGAAAUCCACAUAAACCCAAGUUUCCUUCAAAUGAGCUUGCAUCAAAGGUGUUGAAUUGCUCUCCACUUGGUAUGGGCCCCUCAAGUUGGUUAUGUGAAAGGUUUAGAAUUGCAAGAAAUGUUAGACCCCCAGCUGCGUUGGAAUUCUUCCGGUAAGCAAAUUUGAAGAUAGAUCUAAUGAUUCCAAAUUGAUCAAAUUUCCUAGUGAUGAUUGGAUAUGGGAAUUAUGAGAAAGGUUGAGCUGUUGGAGUGCUUUAAGCUUUCCCAUCACUUUUGGAAUCUCUUCGGUGAAAUUGUUAUUUGACAAAUCAAGUACUUUGGAUCUUCGUAAACUCUAUGGAAUAGACAUAGCCAGUGUAAUUUGAUGCAUUCAUGUAAAUCAUGUUCUGAUCCGAGGCCAUCAUUGCUUCAAGACUAUUGAAAUACCCAGUUGGCAAUGACCCACUAAAAUCGUUCCCAGAGAUGUCAAGAAUCUGUAAUUUAGAGAAGGAAUUAUGUGUAGGCGAACCCUUCACAAAACCUUGGAGUUUAUUCGAUUUUAGGACAAGAAUUUAGAGCUCUGAAAGCGUUUCUAGAAAGUAGGGAAAUGUAUCCUCAAUCUUAUUGUUGCCAAGAUCAAUAACUUCCAACAUUGUGCAGUUGAUGAUAGACGACAGUAUUUUCCCUUCAAAUUCAUUUCCAUUGAGGUUGAGAUAUUCCAAGAUAUUAUCCUUUGAAAAUGUUGAAGGGAUAAUGCCUUGAAGAUUGUUUAUGCCUAGAUGCAACACUGAAAGCAUGCUGCUGAAGUUCCCCAAACAUAGUGGCGUAGAACCACUCAAGCUGUUGUUGGACAAGUCCAGGACCCGAAGGUAUCUCAGCUUGCAAAUAGAAGAAGAAAUCUCACCUGUCAAUUUACUAUUGGACGCAAGAAUAAGGGCUUGCAAGUUCUCUUGUUUGAAAAUCGAACUUGGGAUUGGACCAUGCAAGUGGUUAUUGCUCAAAUCAAG
Molecule: long non-coding RNA, 109034 nt
Filed under: Populus tremula
Lineage: Eukaryota; Viridiplantae; Streptophyta; Magnoliopsida; Malpighiales; Salicaceae
Description: long non-coding RNA (PTRE_LNC000681)
Source: RNAcentral